Molecule: long non-coding RNA, 133937 nt
Filed under: Durio zibethinus
Lineage: Eukaryota; Viridiplantae; Streptophyta; Magnoliopsida; Malvales; Malvaceae
Description: long non-coding RNA (DZIB_LNC001514)
Source: RNAcentral
GAUGGCGGUAGAGACACAUUCUUGGCAGCUACUAUUUGAAACAUCACCCCUGCAGAGAAACAGCCCGUAGACCACGUCAGAGUUUCUGCCAGAGGUUGUGCUGUAGAAUCGAUUGUCACGGGUGGCGUUGGAGGAUAGAGAGGAGAGCAGGUGAUUGAGAUCGGCUUGGUAAGUACCGUUUGUGGGAAAAGUGGUCGUGUUCGAACAACUAUGGUAGAGGUAAGUUUGUUGCGCUUCAAUGGUAAAGCUAAGCAAGGAGAGGAACAACAGAGUUCUGAAGGACUUGUAGACAAACAUUUUUUCUGUUUCUUUUUUCCUCGGACCGUAACAGAGAUGAGUUUCUCAAUAUGGGGUUUCCACCGGCACUAAAAGACUUGUACUUCAAGACGCCAACAGUGAAAAACCAGGUGUAGCCAAUUUAAUGGGCCGUCUUAGGCAACCUUGAAAGAUGUAAAGACAUUUACGUGUCUUUGAUGGAUGGGAUGGGAGUUGGAGAUAAAUGUCAAGUGCCGGUUUCACAUUCAUGGUGCCUUAAAAUCGCAGGCGCACUGAUUGGAAGUUAGUGCUCCUGGUUGUAACAUACUUUUUUCAUUACAUUUAGAUUUCUUUGAUCCUCUGUCAAAUGUGUCCCUACCAUUCCAUUCAUCUAAAGGAGGUUUUUUUUUUUUUUUUUUCAAUACUAUUAUAUAAAAAUAUUUUAUGAUUUAUUUUCAAAGUUCUUUGAUCUUUUGGUCGAAUAAGUAUAGUUUAAUUUUAAUAAUAAACGCUUGAAUUAAUUCUUUGAAUAAAAACAGAUAUACUUCAAAAAAGAAAAUCACAUACAUCUAUAGCCAAAAUUUUUUUUUCUUUUGUAUAUUAUUGAUUUAUGUAGAUAUCUCCCAUUCUUUUGUUGAAAAGGUUUAAGUACAUUUUUCGGUGUCAUUCAGCCAAAAAAGGCUUAACAAGUGUUCAGAAGCUAGCAUCCUUAGAAUAGUGCAAUAAAGGGAGAUGCAACUACUAAUCAAUCACCGAGGUGAGAUAUUUGAAAUUGUAACCUCAUUAACAGAACAGAAUUUAUUAUUUGAAGAUGAUUGAAUUGGUUCUGCAACAACACGUCCAACAGAAAAUGCAGGUUCUGCUGGUAUAGGAGGUGUUAUGGUCUCGCUUGCCAACAUGACAAUCACAGAUGACAUGGUAGGUCUGUCUGCUGGGUCUUCUUGCACGCACAACAGCCCAAUAUGGAUGCAUUUAAGAACCUGAGUGGCCACACACGACUGAACAAGGAGCGGGUCUAUUAGCUCCAUCCCUUGACCCUUAGACCAUAGUUUCCAUGCCUGCAAUGUUACUUAAAAUUAGAAUGGUACAACACUACAGCCAUCUACAAAGAUAGGAUAAAAACGUACAAACGUUAGGAGGCUUUCACCAUGCUCCGAGAGAUGAAAGCCAUUGUUCCUUUUGCCACUUAUAAUCUCCAGUAAAAGGACUCCAAAACUGAAAACAUCGGAUUUGACUGAAAAAAGUCCUUCCAUAGCAUACUCUGGUGCCAUGUAUCCACUAUUUCAGUUCAUAAAAAUAGAUAAAAUCAGGCUAGAUUAUGGAAAUAUCAGAACCAAGAAUCUUUCAGUUUGAACAUUGUGCUGUCACAAAAUUGAAGGAUGAUUACAAAUUUUAGAUUAUAAAGAACAGCAAUGUUCCUCUGCGGAACAAACCACAGCAAAGACUGUGAUCUGAUGUACUGCUUUUCCAUUUUAUGAGUUCAAUGCUGAUUCUUUCUUUUCAAUAAAAUUUUAUUUGACACAGACGCAAUAUUAAAGAUCAAAAGAAAACUACUGAAGAACCUAGAUUGGUAAAAAAAAAAAAAAAGAACUGUGAGCCUAGAAGUGCAUGGAAUAGUGGACUUACUAUGUUCCAACCACUCUAUUUGUAUUUGCUUCAUUUUGAUUUCCACCAAAAAUUCUUGCCAUUCCAAAAUCUGAUAUCUUUGGGUUCAUCUCGUGAUCUAGCAAAACAUUGCUAGCUUUAAGAUCUCUAUGAAUAAUUCUAAGACGAGAAUCCUCAUGUAAAUACAGGAUGCCUCGGGCAAUGCCCUUAAUAAUGCCAAGACGCUUCUGCCAAUCCAGUUGCAAACCAAUGCUUGAAUCUGGAAAGGAACCCCCCAAAAGAAUAAUAGUAGUUAGUUGAUUUUUUAACAUAUUGCAUGAAGAAUCCUGUUAAAAAACAGAAUGAAACAAUAAUUUUUUGUUUGAGGAUCAAACCAAAGAGGAACACAUCAAGGCUUUUAUUGGGCAUGUAUUCAUAAACAAGCAGUUUUUCGUUCUGCUCCAAGCAGCAGCCCAGGAGUCUCACAAGAUUUCUAUGUUGUAGUCUGGCAAUUAACAUCACUUCAUUCUUGAACUCAAGUAACCCUUGCCCAGAAGUUCUAGCGAGCCUUUUAACUGCAAUUUCUUUUCCAUCUGCCAAUUUGCCCUAAAAGAAGGAAUUACAAAGCAUCAUAAAAGAACUAAUUAUGUGAAGUUGAAGAGGUGCAUCGUAUACUAAAAGUAUAACAUUCCAUCACCAUGGUCACCUUAUACACAGGGCCAAAUCCACCUUCUCCAAGUUUAUUUUCAUCACAAAAUUGUUUUGUCGCUGCUUGUAAAAUAUCUAACUGAAUCGAGGGAAACUCCUGAGAUCUCACCCCACUCUCACCUUGAAAAUUUUCAAUUGAGUAGUCAUCGCCAGAUCUUCCUCCUAAUUCAAGUAACUGAACUUCUUGGCUGUUAUGAUCUAUAUUCUCUUCAAGAAAAAAUGAAGUGGAUGUAAGAUCCAAUUUCAUACCUUGAAAUUUUCUCCUUCUCCAAAGGAAAAUACCUCCAGAACAGAACAGAGUGACGCCAAAAAUCGUGGAUAAACUUGCAACAAUAGGAACCCACUUUGAUUCGCCUUUUUUGACACCUUCUAAGUCUGUUACUGCAAAAGAAAGUUAUCUUUCACUUGAUUAUUAGUGGAAUAAAUUUCUAAUUUUUGUGUUCUUCUUGCUGUUUCUAUUUUACGGAUAUGAAUUCAUUUAUAAUUAGUUUCUGUAGCAGGUAUUUGUCCUACUUUCUUUUUUGAUGGAUGAAAAGUUCAGUAAUUAAAAAUUAGGCAAGCUAAAUUCUCUAGCAUCUGAUGAUACUAACCGUUUGAGCCACUGGUUUUGUUUACUGAAGGUUGGGGUGCUUUUGGUUCAACUCCAGGAUUCUUGAUAAUCGUAUUGUUUGGUGAUUCGUCUCGAGGUUUUCCAUAAAAUGGAUAUAUCUCAUACCUGAUGUUACAGCUUGGUCCUAACACUCUCGCACCUUGUUUUCCAAUUGCGAAAGAUGGGAUUACAGCAAUUGAGCUACGUAGACAAGAUUGACAGUCUGCAACUGACAAAUCACGGGUGCAUUGAGCAAGUCCAUACAGCUUCAUAGAAAUUGAAACAUUAACUUCUGUAGUUGCAUACAUGCGGUUAGAAGCAUUUGAAAGCUUCGUAAUCAGAUUGUUGUAAGUCUCGGCGAGAUUCUUUUCAAAUUUAUCAGGAUCCGUUACAUUUUUAAUAUUAUACAUACCAAUAGAAGGUGAUAGCUCCAUGAUAGAGAAGAAAGAUCUAUAGGAAUAGCGCAAAAGGCAUUCAUCAUACCAUAUGAUCGCUUCUUUGUCAUUAGCGCACUCCUCCAAGAUCUUAGCGGUUGCUGCGUCAAUGCAGCUUUGGCAGAUAUUGAGUUGAACAUCACCUCUACAGAGGAAAAGGCCAUAAACCUUGUCUUGAUUUUCCCCUUUUGUAUCGCUAAAGAAACCAUAAUUACUUCCUUGAUCAUAAAGCUGGCGGAUGAGAAGGCGCUGAAGGUUGUAAUCGAACUGGCUGGAACGAUUAUAUCUUCCCCGGCAACUUGCAGAGAGAUAAGUCGGCUGUAUUUCGGACAUGUUUUGUGAGAUAACAAGGAGCGGAGAAGAAAGAAAGAAGAGCAGGUAAAAUGCUCCUGAAACAGAAAGAACAACAUAAUAGUGCAUUUUCUUCCAAUGUUUUUCAAUAAUUCAGAAAUCUGAAUUUUAAGGCCAUAAUUUGUCCGGAAUGGGUUAUUAACUGAGACUUCUGACUCGUUCACUUCCACAACUCUUGUCUGCAGAAGAAAUUAUCCCCACAUUCUUUAACCUUUUUUGACCAAGCACGGCACAAACAUAAUCUGUACUGUUUCUCCAACACUAAAAAAAAUGUUAUUAAUUGUUUUGAUCAUCAUGAAAAUUUCUGAUUAAUUAUUUAUGUUAUGUCGUUACCAAGCUUUUACUUAGCUAAGGUAAUUAUUAUUAUCUAAGUUCUCUACUAUUUUUUAAGAUUUACCACUUUGUUAAAGCUUAGUUUAUUACAAUAGAAUAAUUGAAUAAAGGCUCUCAAUAAAUUAAUAAAAAUUUUAUUUGUGAAAUUGAUUAUAAUUUAAAAUUUGAUCAAAUGUAAAAGGUUAAAUAGUCUUCACCCUAUAAAAUAAUUUUAUUUUUUUUAUAAAACACAUAUAUGCUUUCAUUCUAUGUAUAUGAUUAAUGUUACUAUAAAUCAGUUUUGUGCAUAUAUUAUUAUGUAUUAAUUUAUUAUUAUACAAUAAUAUUGAUAUAAUUUUAAUACUUAUAUUUAUAAAAUAAGAGGACCUUUGCUUACGAAUUAAUAUGGUGGAGUGACAUAAUAUCAUUUUCGGAGGUGACGUCAUUACUCUUUCUAGAAGUGAUGUAUUGUCAAAACAGCUGGAGACUUAGCCACUAAGUACAGUCACUUAGACACGCCGUGUAAGACUUAAAUUAAGUAAUUUUAUUUCUAUAUUUGUAAAUUUUCCUUUAAAAAAAUUAUAAAAUAAAUUUUUAUUAUUGAAUUUUGCUAACAAAAAUCUUUAAAAAAACAUUUUAAAAUUAUUAUAUUAAAUAAUAUUUUCUUUCAAUAUAUUAAAAAUUGAUAUAUUAAUUGUCAAUUAUUCAUUAAACAAAAAUAUUAUCAUAAAUACAAUAUUAAUUAAUCUUAAAAAUUCGUUAACAAAACUUUUUAUUAUCAACUAUAUCACUUAUCGCCGGUAUCAACCCUUCCCCUAGAAAAAGAAAGCACUUAAACGUCUUGGAAAACCAGUAAACCAGUCACGACAUUGCAAUUUUCAACUUAAAUUGGGAUCAACAAGUAAAGUUUUUCAAAGAUAUAUUUAUUUUUUACAAAAUAUUAAAUUUUAUAUAUUUAUAUUAUAUUUUAUAUAAAAAUUAUAUAUCAUAAUUUAUAUCGAUAUAAAAAUAUAUAAUAUAUUUUUUAUUUUAUUAAAUUUAUAUAUAAUUAUUAUUAAAAUUUAAAAUUAUAUCAUUUUUAUUUUUAUAUUAUAUUUAUAUUUAUAUUAUAUUAUUAUAUUUUAAAUUAUUAAAUCUAAUUCUCCAACUCUAAUAGAUGACAUUCGAGGUAAAAGUCGAUUCAACGCAAAGUUAGAAUAUUAUUUGCUAACAAGAAGAAGCAAAUGCACCCCCCCACUGUGAUACUUGAGGUAGAAGUCGUUUCCAAGACGCAGUCGAAUAUUAUUUGCUAACAACAAGAAGCAAAUAGAAUAUUCAAGAGAAAGAAAAAAGAAGAGAAAAUCAUUGAAUUUACGUACAACUUUAGGCAAAUAAACAAAUGGGCGGCAAAGUUUAUCAAUAAUUGGAGUAGUUCCAGGAAGAUGCUUUUAGCCCUUUCACCGCUUUAAAGCCAGACGACGCUGGGAUACCUUGACCUGCCCAAAACAGAGAGUUCAAUGAUCAACGAACCGCAUUGGAUAGCUUGUUUUGUCUAAACUUGUCCUUAAAUAUUAGAAGUCCUAAUAAUGCUAAAAUAACAAAAAAAAAAAAAGGUCUCUUAAAUUUCAUAACUUUAAUUAAAUAAAUUUUUAUAUUUUUAUUAUAUUUAAAUAAAUAUUUAAUAUUUAAUUUGCACUCAUAUAAUCCUUUAACAUUUAAUUUGUAUGUAAAUAAAUUAUUAAACUUGUAAUUUCUACAUAAAUAAUUCUUUAUAAAUUAUUCUUUUAUUUGAAAUGAAAAUUUAUUUAGAUACAAAUCAAAUUAUAAAAAUUUAUUUAGAUAUAAUAAAAAUAUAAGAGUUUAUUUUAAAAUAAUAAAAUAAUUCAAAGAUUUUUUUUAAUAUUUUAACUGACUAAUAAUUAUGCUUUGCAUACAUACAUGUGAGACAAUUAUUAAAAUCUGGUAAAUUGAAAGGGUGUAAAUAUUAGAUGGCCUGUUAACAGAACAAUGUCAUCAAUAUGAACAAAAAGGAAUAGAAAUUUUGAACAUUGAACUUUUAUCAUAUCAAAAAUAAUUUAGAGUAGUUAAAUUAAAUUCAUCAAUUUUUUUUACUCGGCCAAAUGUAUUCAACGGGCUGAGAUAUUAGAUAUUGUCAUCAGAUAUAUUAAUGAAUCUAUUGUAGAAAGGCUGAUCAACAAUAAUAACUCUGCCAACAGGCAAAAGCAGGUCUUUUGCCUCAGGAAGAGCAAAUAAGGGUCCACUGGUCCCAGUUGUUUUCCUUCUUUCCAUAGUCCCCAGGCCUGCCAAUGAAUUCACAUAUAUCAAAUUUUUGACAGAAUACAAUAUUGCAAUGGUGGGAAGGACACUUCAAUUUUGAUGACAAAUUACAGGUAUACCUACAUGUGCACGAAGUGUCGGGGCAUGUUCCGUUUGGUAAAAGUCACUAUUUUUUUCCCCCAGCAAUUUCAAUCUUGAGAAUGAUAGAGAUGUUUUAAUUCCCUCAGUUGGAGUCCCCAUGAAAUUUUGACUUCCAGCAGCCUUUUACAGUUGAAUUGUUGACACCUACAACCUUGUAGCCUCAAAAUUAGCCACUGUAAAAAGUUGAAUUAUAAAAAGUUUUGGUGUAAUAAGUAUUGUUUAAUUUUAAUAGUAAAUGACUGAAUGUAAUUCUUUGAAUAAAAAUAGAUACACUUUUGAAAAAAAAUCAAAUACGACUGAAUCUGUAGCCAAUUUUUUUUCUUUUGUAUAUUGAUAUGUGAACAUAUCUCAGCCAAAAUAGGCUUAGUAAGUGUUGAGAAGCUAGCAUCCUUAGAAUAGUGAAAUAAAGGAAGAUGCAACCACUAAUCAAUCACCGAGGUGAGAUAUUUGAAAUUGUAACCUCAUUAACAGAACAGAAUCUAUCAUUUGAAGUGGAUUGAAUUGGUUCUGCAACAAAACGUCCAUCAGAAAAUGCAGGUUCUGCUGGUAGAGGAAGUGUUAUGGUCUCGCUUGCCAACAUGACAAUCACAGAUGAUAUGGUAGGUCUGUCCCGCUGGGUCUACUUGCACGCACAAUAGCCCAAUAUGGAUUCAUUUAAGAACCCGAGUGGCCACACACGAUUGAACAAGUACCGGAUCUAAUAGCUCCAUUCCUUGACCUUUAGACCAUAGUUUACAUGCCUGUAAUGUUUCCUGAAAUUAGAAUGGUACGGUACUACAGCCAUCUAUUUUUUUAACACAAAGAUAGGAUAAAAACAUACAAACGUUAGGAGGCUUUCACCACGCUCUGAAAGAUGAAAGCCAUUGUUUCUUUUACCGCUUAUUAUCUCAAGCAAAAAGGACCCCAAAACUGAAAACAUUAGAUUUGACGGAAAAAAGUCCUUCCAUAGCAUACUCUGGUGCCAUGUAUCCACUAUUUCAGUUCAAAGGAAUAGAUAAAUUAGGUUAGAUUAUGGUAAUAUCAAAACCAAGAAUUGUUAAGUUUGAACAUUAUUCUAUCAUAAAAUUGAAGUAUGAUUACAAAUUUUAGAUUGUAAAGAACAGCCAAGUUCCUCUGCAGAAUAAACCUUAGCAAAGACUGUAAUCUGAUGUACUGCUUUUCCAUUGUACGAGUUCAAUGCUAAUUCUUUCUUUUCAAUAAAAUUUUAUUUGACACAGAUGCAAUAUUAAAGAUCAAAAGAAAACUACUGAAGAACCAAGAUUGGUAAAAAAAAAAAAAAAGAAUUGUGAGCCUAGAAGUGUGUGGGAUAGUGGACUAACUAUGUUCCAACCACUCUAUUUGUAUUUGCUUCAUUGUGAUUUCCACCAAAAAUUCUUGCUAUUCCAAAAUCUGAUAUCUUUGGGUUCAUUUCGUGAUCUAGCAAAACAUUGCUAGCUUUAAGAUCCCUAUGAAUAAUUCUAAGACGAGAAUCCUCAUGUAAAUACACGAUGCCUCGGGCAAUGCCAUUAAUAAUGCUAUGGCGCUUCUGCCAAUCCAGUUGCACACCAAUGCUUGAAUCUGGAAAGGACCACCCAAAAGAAUAAUAGUAGUUAGUUGAUUUUUUACCAUAUUGCAUGAAGAAUCCUGUUAAAAAACAGAAUGAAACAAUAAUUUUUUGUUUAAGGAUCAAACCAAAGAGGAACACAUCAAUGCUUUUAUUGGGCAUGUAUUCAUAGACAAGCAGUUUUUCGUUUUGCUCCAAGCAGCAGCCCAGGAGUCUAUGUUGUAGCCUGGCAAUUAACACGACUUCAUUCUUGAACUCAAGUAACCCUUGCCCAAAAGUUCUAGAGAAGCUUUUAACUGCAAUUUCUUUUCCAUCUGCCAAUUUGCCCUAAAAGAAGGAAUUAAAAAGCAUCAUAAAAGAACUAAUUAUAUGAAGUUGAAGAGGUGCAUCGUAUUCUAAAAGUAUAAUACUCUAUCACCAUAGUUACCUUGUAUACAGGGCCAAAUCCACCUUCUCCAAGUUUAUUUUCAUAACAAAAUUAUUUUGUUGCUGUUUGUAAAAUAUCUAACUGAAUCGAAGGGAACUCCUUAGAUCUCACCCCACUCUCACCUUGGAAAUUUUCAUUUGAGUAUUCAUCGCUAGCUCUUCCUCCUAAUUCAAUUAAGUGAACUUCAUGGCUGUCAUGAUCUAUAUUCUCUUCAAGAGAAAACAAUUAAUUGGGAUAACAAUUGAGUCAAGAAGAAAGUGAAGAGCAAGUAAGAUCCAAUGCAUACCUUGAAAAUUUCUCCUUCUCCAAAAGAAAAUACCUCCAGAACAGAACAGAAUGACGGUAAAAAUCGCGGAUAAACUUGCAACAAUAGGAAUCCACUUUGAUUUGCCUUGUUUGCCACCUUCUAAGUCUGUUACUACAAAAGAAUGUCAUCUUUCAGUUGAUUUUUAGUGGAAUAAAUUUCUAAUUUUUGUAUUCUUCCUGCUGUUUCUAUUUUGCAGAUAUUAAUUAAUUUGUUAUUAGUUUCUGUAGCAGGUAUUUGUCCUACUUUCUUUUUUGAUGGAUGAAAAUUUCAGUAAUUAAAAAUUAGGCAAGCUAAAUCUCUAGCAUCUGAUGAUACUAACCGUUUGAGCCACUUGUUUUGUUUACCGAAGGAAGGGGUGCUUCUGAUUCAAUUCCAGGAUUCUUGAUUAUCGUAGUGUUUGGUGAUUGGUCUCGAGGUUUUCCAUAAAAUGGAUAUAUCUCAUACCUGAUGUUACAGCUUGGUCGUAAAACUCUCGCACCUUGUUUUCCAGUCGCGAAAGGUGGGAUUACAGCAAUUGAUCUACGUAGACAAAUAUGUAAACUUGCUUAUCAGGAAUUCUUAUGAAUAUUUAUCCUAUAAUCCUAUAAUUUUUUGACAUUUUUUCAUAUCUAAAGAUUUUACUAUUUAUAAAUAUACAAAUUUAUCUAUCAAAAAAAUUUUUUUUUAAUAUUUUUUUCUCUUACAAGUUUUUUAUCUAUUACACAAUAUUUAAUCAAUUUUAAACAAAAUUUUUCUAAACUUUGAACCACUAUUCUUUACACUAUUUCCGAUUUCAACUUCUCAACGAACAUUAGAAGUAUUAAUAAUUAUGUCUUGCAUGCAUAGGUGAGACAAAAUUUGUUAAAACGUGUCGAGCAUUAAUGUAUUAAAAGGGUAUAAACGUUGGAUGUCCCGUUAACAGAACAAUCUCAUAAAUAUUCUUGUUACAUUUGAUUUGAACAAAAUAGGAAAAGAAAUUUUGAACAAUGCUCCUUUUAUCAUGAGUUAAUUGUUUGCAAAAUCAAGAUAGUGUUAACAUGCUUAAAACCUUCACGAUUUAGAAAUUGAUAGAUAAACGUUCCAAACACAAAGCUGUAAAAAAUUUCUUAAAAAAGAUUAAAAUCCAUGCUUGAUGCAAACCUAACUGAACAAAAUUAUAAGAAAAGCCAAAGCAAUGCAGUGUCUGCAUCUCCCAGUCCUUGUUGAAUUUAGAUAAAAAAAACUAAAGGUUGAGAUGUGACCAUUUCUAGAAAUAAUGAGCACGGCAUCUGGCCAAAAACAGAAGGGUAAUUAAAUGCGAGGCUAGAACAUGGGAAAAUUCAGUGGUUUGGUGGUUAAACUCUGACUUUGACAAAACAAAAGUAUGGUAAUUAUUUCGAAAGCCAAGCCCCUUGGUGUGUCGACAUUUUCAUGUAGAAACAUUACGGGAGGUGUCAUCUGUUCACUGCCUAAUUCUGUACUUCAGGAACCAGGGCAAAAUUCUGAGAGAACUGAGAAUUGCCGGUAGUUUAAAAUAUAAUGUACCUUAUAUUAGAUAAAAAAAUUUAAUUAUUAUUGAAUAAAAUUAAUUUUUAUAUUAAUUUUAUUUAUAUUUUAAAUAAUUAUAUUUGAAUAAAAAUAAUUAUUAUAUAAUAAAUUAUCAUAAUUAUUUAAAUAUAAAUAUAUUAUUAUUUAUAAAAGUUAUGAUUAUAUAAAAGGUGAUAAUCAUUUGAAUAAAAAUUUAUAGCUAUUUAUUUAUUAUAAAUAAAUCUUUCAAUAUAAUUAUUUUUAUUAUUUUUUAUUAGAGAGUUUGAAAUUUUGUUAUAUCCUAAAGAUAUAAUUAACUUUAAAAAAAUAUUUUUCAUACCUCAAAAUUGAAAUUAUUUUUGAUUAUUUCUCUUUUUUUAUUUAUUUUUUGUAAUAAUUUAAAGGUAAUUAUGAAGAAUUUUUUAUAUUUUAUAUUUAUGGAGAUGCAAAAGAAAGAAAUUUAUAAAUGUUUUGGUGAAAUUUAAAUUCUUGAAAUAAUUAUAAAUAAAGAGAAAUAAUUCUCUACCACGAUGUUAGAUAAGUUUUCUUUAAUUUUUAUUCAAAAUUAAUAUGUUAUUAAUUCAUUGUUUGAUUCCGUUGCAUAAAUCCAAUUUCAUUAUUGUUUUUCAUAUUACUUGGGCUUUUGGAAUUUAUUAAUUGUGCAUUCCAAAAGCUUCACUGAAAUGGAUUUUUCAAAAUUGUAACUUGUAGUAGUCUGAAAUUAAUAGGGUGAAUAUAUGCAUGAAAAUUGUCGUUGAUUUUGGAUUGGAUAAUAAGCCAAGAGCAAGUUUAUACAUGAAGUUAUAAUGUGAUUAAUUGAAAUUGGCUUAGAUAGUCGUAAGCUGAAAUGGGUUCUGUAUAUAUGAUAAAAAUUGGAUUUAGACAUAAUAAAUGAUCUCUUUUGUUCAAUACUAAUGAGAAUUUGGAAAAGAAAAUAGGUUUUAAGGAAAUUGAGAUAAUUGAUUGGGAUCUUUGUUCACAAUAGAAGUUAAUAGAAGUGAAAUGGAGUGUCACAAUAAACUUAUUUUUAAUUAUUUGUGGUUAAUUAAUACAUAUAUUAAUUAAAUGCUUGUUUAUUAUUAUUUUUUAUGCUUACAUUGUUUAGUCAUGCUUGCAUUAACAUGCUUUGAGUUAAAUGGAAUGUUUAUAUAGAGGAGAAUUUGAUUAAUUCAGCUUUAUACUUAUUAUUAAUACAAUUUGCUAAUAACAUGCAUUUAUUAUUUGGUCAAAAGGCAUGAUUGAAAUUUUAAUUUUUGAAUAAGCAUGACUUUAUGUUUACCCUGACAAUCAUUAAAUAAAAGAAUUACGAAAAUAUUGUUAAAUUUAUUAAAACCAUAAGAUAAUGUUUUAAUUGAAAAAAGCUAGAAAAGUAAUAAUAUAUAUUUGCAAUUGUAAUAUUUUGCCCAUAUGAGAUUUAUUUAGAGUAUUAUUAUGUAAUUUAGGGUUAAAUACAUAUUUAGCUCAUGAACUUUAUAAUUUUUAUCACAUUGGUACUUAAAGAAAUUUUUUGUCACAUUGAUACUUAAACUUUUAAAUCGUUAUCACUUUGGAAUCUCUAAUUAACAUUGAUGGUCAAUUUUACUGAUGUAACAUGAAUAUCUUAUACGAUAUUAGUAUGUGUCUAAAAAGUUUAAUCAAUACCAUAUCAUUAAUGUCACGUCAUGCCCACAUCACAUUUAAAAGAAAAUUUUAAAAAAUUCUAAAAUCUUUAAACAAUUCUAAAACAUAUAUAAAAAUUCUAAAAAAUAUUUUUUUAAAAAAAGAAAAGUAUUAAAAAUUCUAAAAAGUAUUAAAGAAUUUUGAAAAAAUUAUAAAUUUUUUAAAAAAAUUUUAAAAAUUCUAAAAACUUUAAAAUUUUCUAAAACAUUUUAAAACAUCAAAAAAAUUAAAAAAUUAUCAAAAUUCAAAAUAAUUUUAAAAUAUUUUAAAAUAUUUUUAAAAACUUCUAAAAAUUUUUAAAAAUAAUUUGAAAAUUUGAAAAUUUUUUUAAAUUUCUUAAAAAAUUCUAAACAUUAUUGGAAAAUUAUAAAAAAAAGUUUAAAAAUUUGAAACUUAUAACAAAAUUAAAAAUAUGAAAUAUUUUAUAAAUUAUAAAAAUUAUCGUAAUUUGGAAAAUUUUAAAAUUUUUGAAAAUUUCUUAAAAAAUCAAAAAACUUAAAAAAAAAGUUAAAAUUUAUAAAAAUUAAAAUUUCUUAAAGCUUUUUAAAAAAUACAAAAACUUAAAAAAACUAAAAAUAAGAAAAAAAUCUAAAAUCUUUUAAAAUCUUUUCAAAAAUUAAAAAAUUUCAAAAUUUUGAAAUAUUAUAAAAAUUUUAAAAAAUCUAAAAUAUAAAAAAAUUAAAUUUUAAAUAAAAAUCCAAAACAUAUAAAAAAUUGACAAAUUAAAAAAUAUAUAAAAAGUUGAAAUUGUAAGAUUAAAAAAUAUAUAAAAAUUUUAGAACCUUCUAAAGAUUUUUAUAUUUUUUCAAAAAAAUUUUGAAUUUUGAAUUUUGAAUUUUGAAUUUUUCUUUUUGUUUUUUUUUUUUUUUGAGUUUUUCUCUUUGUUUUAAAAAAAAAAAUUUAACAAAAUUUUUAUAAUCAUUAAUUUUUUUAUUCUUUUCAUUUUUCUAUUUUUUAUUUGAAUUUUUUUAUUUUUUUUAAUUUUCAAAAAUUUUUAUUUUAAAAUUUUUCAAAAAUUUUUAAAUUUUUCUAGAAUUUUUUUAAAAAUUAUUUUUUAAUAUCUUAAUUUUUUUCAAAAUUUAAAAAUUUUUAUAAUUAUUUAAUUUUUAAAAAAAAUGUUCAAAAAUUUGAAAUUAUUUAAUUUUUGAAAAGAUUUUAAAAUUUUCUAGAAUUUUAAAAAAUCUUUAAUUUUUUUGAUAUCUUAAUUUUUUCAAAAUUUUAAAAAUUUAUUAAAACCAUGAGAUAAUGUUUUAAUUGAAAAAGGCUAGAGAAGUAGUAAUAUAUAUUUGCUAUUAUAAUAUUUUGCCCAUAUGAGAUUUAUUUAGAGCAUUAUUAUGUAAUUUAGGGUUAAAUACAUAUUUGGCUCAUGAAUUUUAUAAUUUUUAUCAUAUCGGCAUUUAAAAGAUUUUUUUGUCACAUUAGUAUUUGAACUUUCAAAUCGUUAUCACUUUGGGAUCUUUAAUUGACGCUGUUAGUCAAUUUUAUUGAUGUAACAUAAAUACCCUAUACGAUAUUAACAUAUGUCUAAAAAGUCUAAUCAACACUACAUCAUUAAUGCCAUGUCAUGCUCACAUCAUAUUUAAAAGAAAAUUUUUUAAAAAUUCUAAAAUUUUUAAACAAUUCUAAAAUAUAUAUAAAAAUUCUAAAAAAAAUUUUAAAACUAAGAAACGUAUUAAAAAUUUUUAAAAAUUCUAAAAACUUUAAAAAUUUCUAAAAAAUUUUAAAACUUCAAAAAACUAUUAAAAAUUAUAAAAAUCCUAAAUAAUUCUAUAAAAUUUUUAAAAUUUUUUAAAAUUUAUAAAAAAUAAUUAAAAUUUCUCAAAAAUUUUUUAAAAACUUGUAAAAAUAAUUUUUAAUACACAAAUAUUUUUAAAAUUUCUCAAAAAAUUCUAAACAAUUUUAAAAAAAUUCUAAACAUUAUUGGAAAAUUGUAACAAAAUUUUGAAAAAUUUGAAAUUUAUAAAGAUUAAAAAUAUGAAAUAUUUUUAUAAGUUAUAAAAAUUAUCAUAAUUUGGAAAAUUUUAAAAAUUCUGAAAAUUUCUUAAAAAAUAAAAAAAUUCAAAAAAAGUUAAAAUUUAUAAAAAUUAAAAUUUCUUAAAAUUUUAAAAAAAUACAUAAACUUAAAAGAUUAAAAAGAAGAAAAAAUCUAAAAACUUUUAAAAUCUUUUCAACAAUUAAAUAAUUUCAAAAUUUUGAAACAUUAUAUAAAAUUGAAAAAAAUUGAAAAAAAAAACUUAAAUUUUAAAUAAGAAUCCAAAACAUAUAAAAACUUAAAAAAAUUAAAAAAUAUGUAAAAAGUUGAAAUUGUAAGAUUAAAAAAUAUGUAAAAUUUUAGAACCUUUUAACUAUUUUUAUAUUUUUUCAAAAAAUUUUUGAAUAUUGCUUUUUGUUUUUUUGAACCUUCUCUUUUUGUUUUAAAUUUAACAAAGUUUUAAAAAUUUUUAAAAUCAUCAUUUUUUUAUUCUUUUAAUUUUUUAAUUUUUUAUUGAAUUUUUAAUUUUCUAGAAUUUUUAGAAAUUUCGAUUUUUUGAUAUCUUAAUUUUUAAAAUUUUUAAAAUUUUUUAAUUUUCUAAAAAUUUUUUGAAAUUAUUUUAAAGUUUUUAGAAUUUUUGAAAAAUUUUUAUAAUUUUAAAAAAUUUUUCAUAUUUUUUAGAUUUUUUUUGAAUUUUUUAAAGUUUUUAAUAUUUUUUUAAUUUUUAAAAAUUUUUAGAUUCUUUAUUUGAAUUUUUAAAAUUUUUUAAAUUUAAAAAAAAUUAUUUUAGAAUUUUUAGAAUAUUUUUUUGAAAAUUUUAAGCUUUUUGUUUAGAUUAUUUUUUUGAAGUUUUGAAUUCUUUGAAUUUUUUAGAAAAUUUUAAAUUUUUUUGAAUUCUUUUAGAAUUUUUAAAUAUUUUUCUUUUAAGUAUGAUAUUAGCAUGACAUGGCAUGAUAUGGUAUUGAUGAUGUGGCACUAGUUAGACUUUUGAUAUGUGUCAGUAUCUUAUUGGAUAUUCAUAUUAUAUCAACAAAGUUGACUAAUGGCGUUAGUCAAAGUUACUAACAUAAUAAAGAUUUGAAAGAUCAGGUAUCAAUAUAACAGAAAAAUUUUUUAGGUACCAAUGUGAUCAAAAUUAUAAAGUUCAGGGGUCAAAUAUAUAUUUAACCCUAUACUUUAUAGUUUGGGAAAUAAGUGUAUGCAUUAUUAAUAUAAUGAUUAUGACCAUGUACAUAUCCAAGGUAAAAUGCACUUAUAUUUAAUAUAUCCAUCAUGCAUACUGCAUUUGCAAGAGAUCUCCGAAAGAGAUACUAUGGAAUUAUAAUAGAAACACAUAUAAGAGGGUUAUGUUCAAUUGUGGUGCCAUAAAAAUCUUGGCAAUGUCAAGAACAUAAAACAUAUAUCCAUUUUUAUAUUUAGAUAAAAGGGUCAUGUUCAACUGUGGUGCCAUAAAAAUCUUGGCAAUGUCAACAAUAUAAAGCAUAUAUUCAUUUUUAUAUUUAUAUGUAUAUCAGCUAAAAAUGAAUAUUGAGUUUUUCAAGUCUUUUAAUUUAAUGAAUGAACAAAGACCACUUAAUGAUGUUAAAUUCAUGGUUCCAUGGGUUAUCACAUUUCAUGGCUUGAAUACAUAUUUUGUGAAUUUUUGUGUAUGGUAAUGAAUUGAAACAUCCAUGAGCCUAGAAUUGGACAUAGAGAACUCAUGCAUGGUUUGCCAUAUAUUAAAAAAAUAAAUGGAAACUCAAAUUAUCUUAUUAUUAGCAUAUAUUGCAUUUAUAUACAUAACAUUGAAAAAAAAAGUGUACAAGUCUUUGUGGUACAUGAGUUUUUAUAGUUUCAGGGUAAGGGUAUUGAUGAGAGCUUAUAUAUGCAACAUUAAUAUAUGGACUUGAUAAUGAUGAUAGCUUUCAAUAACCUCAAUCCUUGGAAUUAAUCGCUAAAUGAGUUAUUCAUGAAGAAUGAGGUAUGAUUCUUAAAUGAACAGUGCUUUUGAUAAAUUUAAAAAUAUUUAUUUGUAUAUAAUACAAAAAUGGUUUUUCUUAAUGAUUUUUGCAUAAAAGUGAUGUUUGUUUAAUUUUAUUUGAUAAUAAUCAUAGCUUGUAUAAACGAUUUACAUCUCAUUAUUUUAUUAAAAGUUUUGAGAUAUAGUGAAAAUAUAAAAUUAUAUUCACAUUGAAAGUCAUGGGUGAUUCAAAGAUUUUGUGAAUAUAAAAAAAAUAGCAAAAUGAAUUCCAUUUGAUCCAUUUGGAUGAUGGACAUGGUUUUGCUCGUGAUAAAAUUAUGUUAAUAGUGUUUAUGAUGAAAUAUAUUCAUAAGUUUCCAUGAGUUGGUAUAAAAGUCUCAAAAAAAGACUUUAGAAAAUAUAAGUUUACUAAAAUAAAAAAAUUUUUUUGAAAGUGAUUAUAUUUGACAUAAUUCUUAUUGAUAUAUACUUUCAUACUGGGUUUAAAUAAAAGUUUUGAAACUUUUAUGAGAAGAAAAUAUUAAGAUAUAGAAUAUUUGCUAGUUAUUUUUUACUAAAGUUUGGAGGCCUCCUACUUAAAAAAAAAAAUCACCUAAUAGCGAAAAGAUAAAUGAGAUAGCAACUUAAUUAAGUAUAUAUGAUAUUAAGAAGUGGAUGGAAAUUAAGAAGUGGAUGGAAAUUAAAAUAAUUUUUUUACAUCAAUUUAUUAUAUGAUAGGAUUGAAAAAUGAAACUUACAUUAUUUUAUCAUUAUAAAUAUUUUAAGUAAAAACUAAAAAGAAAAAUUCUAAAAGUAAAUGAAUAUUUUCUAUUUAUAAUAUUUGACUCAGUCCUCUUUUAUUUUCUACCUUUAAUCUUUUUUAUUUGUAAUGAUUUUUUAUGAAUAAAAAUAAAAAAUGACAAUCUCUCUCUCUCUCUCUCUCUUAUGAUAUGGCUCAAGUCAACUGCAGCUUAACCUACAGAUAAAGCUUAAAUAUUAUGAGUUAAGAAAUCCUAACCGACAGUUGCUACAGAGCAACUUCGCGGAAGAACUUUCGAGUGGAAAUCAUAAAUGCUACGACGGAUUUUCUUAUUCAGAUAAACUACGUAGAAAACUAGAAAUGCAAUGAAUUGACAUAUAUCAUGUGGAAAAAUAAUUUAAAGGUCGUGUAUGUUUGACAUAUUGAGGUAGCACUCAAUUCCAGCACGCCGUUGAUCAUUUACAAACCACUAGAAGCAAAUGCAGGGCCAGUUCAUAAUGUGUGCUUGAAGGGGUCUUCUCCCCCAAAAUUUUGAAACCUUCUAUUAUAUAAUUUAUAUUUUGUUAAAUAAAUUUAAAUUGAUCCCCAAAUUGAGAAUAUUAAUAUUUUUUUAUUUUUUUAUGAUUUCGUAAUCUUGCAAUUUAAUUAAGGGGUUAAAAUUACAUUACUAUUUAUCUUUUUAUUAUAUCCACUAAUCAUUAUUUAGAAAUCUUUAAAAUCAAAAAUUUUGUUGUUUAUUUUAAAUCACAACAAUAUGAUUUUAAUUUUUUAGCUUUCCUGACAAUAUUAAGUUUCUAAUCAAGUAUUAAAUUUGUUUUUUUUUUUGUAAAGAAUUAAAAGAGUGUAAACGUUGGUUGUCCGGUUAAUGGAACAAUCUCAUAAAUAUUCUUGUUAAAUUUGAUUUGAAAAAAAAAAAAAAGAAAUUUUGAGCAAUGCAUGAAGUUGAUUGUUUGCAAAAUCAAAAUCGUGUUAACAUGCUUAAAACCUUCACGAUUUAGAAAUUGAUAAAUUCCGACAGCGAUAACGUUCCAAGCUCAAAGCUGUAAAAAAUUUCUUAAAAAUGAUUAAAAACCAUGCUUGAUGCAGACUUAACUGAAUAAAAUUCCAGAAAGCCACGGCAACGCGGUGUCUGCAUCUCCCAGUCCUCGUUGAAUCUUGACAAAAAACUAAAGUUUGAGAUGUGACCAUUUCCAAAAGCAUCUGUCCAAUUAUUGCGAGGCUAAAAGAAGUUCAAGGCAACAUGGGAAAAUUCCUUGGUUAGGUGGUGGAACUCUGACUUUGACAAGUCAAAAGUAUGGUAAUUAAUUCGAAAGCCAUGUGUCAAAAUUUUCAUAUGGAAACAAGCAGGGAGGUGUCUUCUGUUCUCUGCCUAAUUAUGUUCUCCAGGAGCCAGGAUAAAAUUCUGCCGCUGACUUGGACAUCGGUGUCAGAGAAGUGAGGAUUACGGAAUAAUUAUUGAGAAUUUCACACGUUUUUAGAUGAGAUCCACUUUAUCAAUUUUUUUUUACGAUUUUUUUUUAAAUCAUCAUUUGGUAAAUUUUGUAUUUUACGAAGUUUAACUAAGAUGACAUAUGACAUUUCUCGAUAAUUUUUUUAAGUUAAAUUAGUUUUGUGAAAAAAAUUGAGACCGAUGAAAUUAUAUACAUGGCACUCUUAAUUAGCGUUUUAUGUUUUAUAUUAUUUAAUUUUUAAUUAAAUAAAAUUUUAAAAUAAAAUAUAUCAAUUAAUAAAAAUAUCAAAAUAAUUUGUAUUUAUUUAAUUUUAAUCCAUUCUAAUUUGAUAUGAGUGAUUUUUUAAAUUGAAAUUAAAUUGAGAUAAUAUUUAAAUUUUUUUAAAAUAAGAGUAGGACAAAAAAAAUACUCUUUCACAAUUCAUUUUUUGUAUAUAUAAAAAUAUUUUUUAAAAAAUUUUAUUAUAUACAUUUAUUAAUAAAAUUAUUAUUUUUUAAAUUGGUAAUUGAAUCUUCUUUUUUUUUUUUUUUUCUCAUCCUCUUUUUUCUGAUGUUUAUGUACAUAAGGAUUUAGGUGCGAUUAUAAUUAAUUGAUUUAUAAUUACGUACGGUUGAAGGGAGUAGGAAAAAUAAAAAAUAUAUAUUUGAGACGAUUGAUAAAGAUGGCAGUUGUUAAGGACAAGCCGCCUGGCUUUCUGUGCGCCCAAAAAGCGGUUUUGUCCUUUUCGAAUAUCCUAUAUAUAUAUAUAUAUAUAUAUAUAUAUAUAUAUUUUACUUUAUAGUGCCCAUCACUAGUUAAUUGUGAAUUUAAAAUUUCAUUUAAUUAAUUUAUUAUAAUUAUUUUAAUAUAUUUUAUAAUUUUAAAAUUUAAAUUUUAAUAUCUUUUCGUAAUUAUCACAAGGAACUAAUCCGGCGCCAUGACAUACCAAUUUAAGAAUCUGACUUUGGGUGAUUCAUAAAUUUCUUGCAUAAGAAAUUGCUUGAAGGGCUACGCAGUUCACACACCGUUUAAGAUCAAAAGAAGAUUCAGAAUUAAAACCAAAAAAUAAUAAUAAUAAUAAUAAUAAAGAAGUUGAUUGAGACGGGAGUGGUGGAAGAGGAUAAGCUGUGAAGCUUCUAGUUUAUUUCCCUAUCUAUGAAUGAAAAAAAAAAAAAACAAGGAUUAAAGUUUUUUUAAUAAAAAUUUAAUAAUUAUUAAAAAUUUUAAUAUUUUAUUAUGAUCAAUUAAAUUUUUUAUUUUUUUAUUUUGAUUCAAUUAAAUUUUUAUUGAACAAACCUUAAAACAUAAUAAAAUUAAAUCAUUAAUUUUUAAAUUAUAAUCAAUUAAAUCUUUAAAAAUAUAAAAAAAUAAUUAUUUAUUUACUUUUCACAUAUAUAAUUAUGCAAUAUAAUAAAUAUCUAUCUGUUUAUUAUUAUAUGAAAUUUCAUUUUAAUUGAUAAAAUUAACGAUAUUUAAAUACAAAUUAAUAUUAAAGGUAUUACUUGAAAUAAAAAAAAUAAAAAUGUAAAUAACUUUUUAAUUACAAUUCAGAGAUUUUUAUAUAUUAAAACAAACAAAAAGUUUUACUUUUAUUUCCGUGUGGCACUCAUGUGUCGAGCCAAAAGUCAAUCACAUUGUCCGUCAAAAAAGAAAAAAAAAGGGAGAUUUCAAUUUUUUUAUUCUUUUUUUGUUUGUAUUUGUUCAUCUAUAACAAAUUGAUCACAUGAAAAGGAUUGUCUAAGGGUAAUCCGCUCAAACUGACAAUCACUGAAUUUCUAACAAUCAUGAAUGAUAAUGGUACUGAAUGUUGACACAAAAAUGCUUACAAACUUGACCAGCUUGGUAUCUUGGAUGCAGCUCGGUAAUUGAAACCUCAAUUUUUGAGACUACCACAAUUUCAUUUCUGGAUUGACUGGAUUGUGUUGCCCCUGAAUUUAAGUGCUGCGACCACAGCAUCCCUGAUUGAGUGUUGCUGUGCAAAAAAAUGCAGGUUGUGAGGGUAGUGGCAGAGUGACAGAGUGGCUAGUAAGCAUCAGAACAACCGAAGCCAUGUUUGGUCUCGCAGCUACAUUUUCUUGAACACAAAGCAGCCCGAUGUGGAUGCAUCUCAUCAGCUCAGUUCUUGAACCAUCUCUAAAACUGGGAUCUACAAGAUCCAUUACUGUCCCAUUCUUCCAAUUUCUCCAAGCCUGCAGCGUUUAAUUCAUGCAAAUUAUUAAACAGUAAAUUCUUUUAAUGCUUUGGACAAGUAUCAUAUGAGUUACAAUCUCAUGCUUGAGGACAAAGGAAUACUUACAAAGUUUAGAAGAUCUUCUACAUUACUCCCAUUAUGGAAAGCACUAUUUUUUUGACCACUUAAAAUCUCCAUAAGUAGCACACCAAAACUAAAAACAUCGGACUUAACAGAAAAUUGUCCAUGCGUUGCAUAUUCAGGCGCCAUGUAUCCGCUACAAGUUAAUAAAAGAAAAAUUAGUUUUCCUUGUGGAAAAAAAGGGACACAUGACUUACCAAUCUUUUGAAUUGUUCAAGUGAGGAUGAUCAUCGGUCAUGCAUCAGCCAAGAUUUUUCUUUUAUUCACAUGAUGGGAAGGCAGUUUAACAAAAAUAAUAAUAGUAUAUGCAAUUAAAAGUGUAAUUAUUGACUCAGAAGAUUUCUAACACUUACCAUGUUCCCACGAUUCUAUUAGCAACCCCUUGAGUUUGAUCAACUGCAACCAAUCUUGUCAUGCCAAAAUCUGUAAUUUUAGGAUUCAUCUCUGCGUCUAAUAAUAUAUUGCUUGCUUUGAGAUCACAAUGAAUAAUUUUAAGUAGAGAAUCUUGAUGAAGAUAAAAAAGUCCUCGAGAGAUGCCUCUUAUGACUUUGUAUCGUCUUUCCCAAUUCAAAUAUGUACGGUUAACCGGAUCUGCAUCACCAUAAAUGUACGAAUCCUAAUUAAUAAAAUAAAACAUGGAUGUUGGUCUUUUGCUUUGUAGUAUACAUUCUAUAAUACACCGAUAUAUCAUACCAAAUAAUGAUUUAUCCAGACUUGUGUUAGGCACAAACUCAUAGAUGAGAAGCCUUUCAUUUCCUCCUAGGCAGAAACCUUGAAGCCUAACCAAAUUCCUGUGCUGAAGCUUGGCCAAUAACUGAACUUCGUUUUUGAAUUCAAGAUCUCCUUGUCCGGAUUCUGUAGACAGUCUUUUCACUGCUAUUAAUUCUCCAUUGGCAAGUGUGCCCUGAGAAGAUAUCAGAAUGAAUUAUAUAUGUAUAUGCCUAUUGAACUUGCAUACCCAUUUUAUUUCUUACGGAUGAUCAUUAUCGUCUUACCUUAUAAACUGCCCCAAAUCCACCUUGUCCAAGCUUAUUUGCGUCAGAAAAGUGAUUUGUUGCAGCUCUAAUGGUGUUGAAAUCAUAUUGCAAGGACUCUGCACUUGUGAUUCCAUCCACGGCUUCAGCUGCUUCACGCUCUUCAGAGGUGUAACAAAAGAACAAAAACAUAAACAAGUAAACAUUAGAUUUAGUCACGAGCUAAAUUCAUUAACAACAUUCCAAAAGGAAAAAGAACAAGAACACACUGACACACAAAAAACAAAGAAGAAAAUCAAUAAACCGAUUCUUUUACUUACUUUCAGCAUUCACCUUUGACUUCCUCGCCCCUAAAAAGAUGCAGACGCAGCAGGAAAUGAGAAGUACCGCAAAAGCGACGGCCGAGACGGUUAUGAUAAUAGUAGUUCGAGAUGAAUUACUCUUUUUUCCUGCAAAAUUUCAAAAAAAUGCGUUUUCUAUAAGAGUGCUGAAAUAGUUAACUUUGGAACUACUCUUAACUUAAUUAGUUAAAUUAGAGAAACCCUUUUCUCUGUUGUCUAGGAAAAUAAAAUUUUUACAGGCACACAUCCCAUUGAUACAAGACGGAGAAAUUCUUGAUAUUCUGAGGUAGACGUUCUCAUUUGGGAAAGAAACAACUGUUGAAUUGACAAAACAAAGCAGAAAGCGUACCUGUUGUACUUGUGGUAUCGUUUGAGAGCGGGGGAGAUAGUGGGGAUGCUGGUGUUGGUGGCGGUGAUGAUGGUAUUGGUAUAUCAGCAUUGGUAAGAUCAUAGAAACGUUCAACCUUAAACCUUAAAUUACAGCUAGGCCCAAUUAUCCUGCCUUCUUGUUUUCUGUCACAGCAUACCGGAAUAAAUCCAAUAGCCCGAGACAAGCAAGAGCUGCAGUCAACCUCGGUCAAAUCAGGAGUGCAUUGAACAAGUGCAUAUACCGUUUGGAAAGCUGAAACUUCUGCACUUCCUGUUGCAAACUUGCGAAGGGAAGUCCCCGAUGAAGCGUUAUUUCUUAGGGUAUCCAACACGGAACCCAGGGCCUGAUUAAAAGCAUCCACAUUCGUGACGUUAUUUACAUUCCACAUGUAGAACGAAGGGUUGAUCUCCAUAACACCAAAGAUGGAGCGAUUUGCGUAGCGGAACAUGCAUUUAUUAUACCAGAUGAUUGCCUCUUUCUGGUUGGGGCAGAGAUUUCUGAGCGCAGCGGUUGCGUUAUUGAUGCAGCUGAUGCAAUCACCUGAAUUCACAUCUCCUCUGCAAAGUGCAAUUGCGUUAACUCUGUUCGAGCCUUGGCCGGAUGAAAAAUUGUAGAACCCGUAAUCAUUUGCUGUGUUAAAGGAGGAAGAGGAAAGGAGGCGAUUGAGGUUUGUCUCGUAAGUGCUGUUUCUGGUGAAGUUACCACUACUCUCUAAACAGAAAUAAUAUAGAGGCUGUUGUUGGGCAAUGGUAAGAGUAAGAAGGAAUGUAAUAGUUGAAGAGAAGAAAAACUGCCAUGAAAAUUCCAUUGCCUUGCCUGCGGAGUACAGUAGUGUUCUGCUUCUGCGUCUCCAAAGCUUGUUGGACCUAUGAUUUUCAAAGUUUAUAUUAUAAUGAUGAAUGCUCCUUCUAUCAUGGAGUUGAUUGUUUACAAAAUCAACAUCGUGUUAACAUGCUUAAAACCUUCACGAUUUAGAAAUUGAUAGCUAAUGAUAGUGAAAACAUUUCAAACACAAAGCUGUAAAAAAUUUCCUUAAGAUGAAAAAUCCAUGCUUGAUGCAUACGUAACGGAUUAAAAUUCUAAGCGAGCCACAGCAACGCGGUGUCCGUAACUCCCAGUCCUUGUUGAAUCUUGACAAAAAACUAAAGUUUGAAACGUUACCAUUUCAAGAGGUAAUGAACACGGCAUCUGGCCAAAAACAGAAUGGUAAUUAAUGCGACAAGUCCAUGACAACAUGGGAAAAUCCCUUGGUUUGAUGGUUAAACUCUGACUUUUCCAAGUCAAAAAGUACGGUAUUUAAUUGGAAAUCCAAGUUUCCUUGGUUUCAAAUUUUUCAUGUAGAAACAUGCAGGACGGUCUCUUGUGUUCCCUGUCUAAUUUUGCUCUCCAGGAACCAGGGUAAAAUUCUGCCAUCGCUUGGACAUCUCUGUCAGGGAAGUGAGGAUUACGGGUAAUUAUUGAGAAUUUCACACGUUUUUAGGCAAUAAUUCUGAUUAAGUGACUUUAACUAUGUGCUCUAAUGUCCACUCUUUUGUUGAUAAGGAUAUGUUAUGGGUAAAGGAAUGCCCUGAUUGAGUUUCAUUCAAUUUCAUUGAUUUAAAAUUAAAUGAGUGAAACAAAGUUAUUCCUCUAAAAAUAAAAAAAAACCAAACCGUUGUUAACUGUUACGUGGAGACGGUAUCUAUAGGUUCAGCUAUAAUCAUAUUAAUUUGGUUGAAUUUUCUUAGAUAAAGUUGUUUUUUUCUUCUUUUUUAGAAAAAAAAAAAAAAUACAAAAGCUAAUAUAAUUGCGUCUGAAAUGGGGAAGUGGGAACUGCUGACUCUCAGAUAAAUCAGGCAAUGAUGGCGAUUGGUAAAGAUGCAAGAACUUUGCUGUGGUCUAAUCACCCUUCUCAGUCCCAAUCAAAAGACAUAAUAUUAUUUUUUAGUCUCUCGGGAGAUUAUUCUUGAAUAAAUUGAGAUGACAGUGGAAAAUAAGGUGAUAGAAAAUUCGCUAAUGGCGACUGAAGUGGAUGAAUGACAUCUAACGGGCAAUUUUUAAUUCCUGAAAAAAGUUAUUUCGGAAAGAUGAAUCAGUCCUGAAAUCAUUUAGUUACCCUUUUUCUAUUAGAAAAUGUGGCUUACUAUAGGAAAAGUUUUCCUUGUAAAAUCCAUACUGCAUUGUGCCGAGUCUUUCUUCUUUUUUUUUUUUUUUUUUAAAGGAUAGUGGUGUUAAUUGAGAAAGAGAAAUGUAGUCUUAUGAAGUGGGUACUCAGCUUCGCCGUAGUAUCUCUUACGUGUCACCUCAAUUCCCAGGAGGUAGUGCAUUGGAAAGGAAAUAGGAUCUCUGGACACAGAAAACUAUGGAGUUUGCUACAUUCAUGAUUUCAAAAAUAACAGUAAAGAUAUCAAUUAAUUGUUGUAUAAAAUUCUUAUAGAAAUGUAACUAUCAUCAGGCUGCUAGCUACUGUUUCUUCAACUUAACUGUUAUAAGUUCAUUUAUAUAGUAGUGCUAAUGCUGAUUCGUUUGAAAACAUUUACUUUUGUUUUCUCUUGGGGAAAAUUAUGCUCCCCCAAAUAAAUUGUUCAAGCCAAGAUAAUUCUACAAUAAGCACAUUUACGGGUUAAAUAUAGCUUCUUCAUUAGCAUAUAAAACUGCAAGAGACAAAUGAUGAGCAGCUUAGUUGAUUUAAUAAAACAUGUAGAAUACUACAGAAUAUCAAGAUUUUGGGGGUAAAUAACUCUUGUAUGUCCAGUUCAUACAUAAAGUGACUGGAUCAAGUACACAAGUACCACUACUUAAUCGUACCAAAUAUUCACAGCAAUGGCAGAAAAAGGACUUAUUCAACAUUGGCAGAUUGCUUUCUAUACUGAGGAAGCAUCUAUUAACUCACUUUACCGAGGGUCUAAUUCAGUAAUCGAUGCCUCAUUGAUAGACCAUGGCAUUGAUCGACUAGUGGAUUGAUCAGAUUCCAUCUCCUUGUUUGGCAUACUUCCCUCUGUUCUGCUGUGAAGGAAAAAUGCCGGUUGCUUAGGUAAUGGUAGUGUGACAGAGUAACUGUUAAGCAUGAGAACAAUGGUAGUCAUCGUAGGCCUGUCAACUGGAUCUUCCUGAACACAUAAUAACCCAAUUUGGAUGCAUCUAAUGACUUCAUUUCUAGAGUAAGUAUCCCUCAGAAUAGGAUCCAACAAUUCCAAUGGCGUCCCAUCCUUCCAAUGUUUCCAAGCCUGCAGUGGUUCAUCAAGUAAGAUUUAAAAAGUCACCUCACCUUAAAUUUUAAUUUCGUAUUUCGUAUAGGCUGAAUUAUACUCACGUAGCUAAGGAGGUCCUCAGCACCAUCUGUUUGAUAGAAAUUACUGUUCCUUUGGCCACUAAUAAUUUCGAGAACUAAAACGCCAAAACUAUAUGCAUCUGAUUUCACAGAAAACUGCCCUUGCAUUGCAUAUUCGGGAGACAUGUAGCCACUGCAGAACCAUUAGCAAUGUUAGUAUAAUGACAAGAACAAAAAUUUUUAGUUUGAUCUAAUAAUUUAUUUAUGCUAACAACAAUCAGGAUAGCUUGUUAUAAAUGAUUUAGCUGGAGGUGUUAAUAUGUCACAAGGAUUCCUAAAUUCGAUUAAAAGCAGGGUAUAACCAAAAUGAGCUUUUAUUUCUUUAAGUUGUUCAACAAUUAGGAUGCAACAACUCAUGGUUAAAUUGCGUAUGAAACUUAUGCAAACAAAUGCUAAACAUGUUCAAAACUUACUAGGUACCAACAACUCUUCUGGUGGUUCCUUGAGUUUGAUCAACACCAAAAAUCCUUGCCAUGCCAAAAUCUGAAAUUUUUGGAUUCAUUUCACCAUCUAAUAAUAUAUUGCUGGCCUUGAGAUCCCGGUGUAUGAUUCUAAGCCGAGAAUCCUCAUGCAGAUAAAGCAUUCCUCGAGCAAUCCCUCCUAUGAUCUUGUAACGUCUUGACCAAUCCAAUUGUCCUUGUUUUGCAGGAUCUAUAAAAAUAAAUAAAUAAAUGAAUGAAUAAGUAGUUUUGUUCACACAGCAAAUCUAAGAUUAAGAUAUACCCAUGUAUCUCUCUAGGCAGUGUUUAAAAUCAAUUAAAAGUCCCAACAAAAUUCUUGCAACAGUAUAUUACACGUACCAAAAAGAAAAUAGUCAAGACUUUUAUUGGGCACAAAUUCAUACAAGAGUAUCUUUUCUUCUCCUUCCAAGCAAAAUCCGAGUAGUCUCACUAGAUUUCUGUGUUGAAGCUUGGCAACCAAUACAGCCUCAUUUUUAAAUUCCUCCACCCCUUGCCCUGAACUUCUUGAUAACCUCUUAACAGCUAUCUCUUGUCCGCUAGGAAGGGUACCCUGAGAAUGUAAGAUACCCUUGAUUAGAAAAGCUUUCUGAGAGUUUGAGUUUGGACACUGUAAGCAUGUAUAAAAUGCCUACAUGUCAUUAAAUACUAAUAAUACCUUGUAAACUUCACCAAAACCACCUUCUCCUAGCUUGUUCCUAUCUGAGAAGUUGUUUGUGGCAACUUGUAUCGUGCUAAAAUCAUACUGCAGUGACUCUAUUGUGGUUAUAUCAUUUCCUGCUGUAAAAUCAAACUAGCAAAUGUCAUAUUCUGUAAAACAUAAUCAAAGAACAGGGUGAAACCGGAGAAAUGAGAUUGUUUUGGCUCAAAAUAAGUUGUGUUUUACCAUUUUCUCCUUCUAUAGCUUUGUACUUCCUUGCUCUCCUUUUUAAUAGACAACAACCCACGAAAAAAAGCAAAACAGAGGCAGAAAUUGGAGCAACAAUGGCAAUAAUUAUUUGCCACGAAUUUUGGCUUUUUCCUGCAGAUGCAAUAAAGAAUUAAAGAUGUGUCACGAUAAUUUCUAAUACCAUAAAGCAUGCUUAGAAGGUGGAGAGGAUAUGUGGAAGGCUACAACUAUCAAAUAAAAUCAAAUUCAAAUUCAUUUGUGACUUUUAAUUCGAGAUGUCUUUGCGGCAAUCUUCCGGGAACCAGAACUUUCCCAAUGUCAAUUCCUCAAUUCCAUCAAGGAAAGGCAAAUUUUAGCGUCGGUAAUUUUUUGGAAGAAAACUAUAAGGCAUAUAGUCGUCCUAAUUAUAAUUAUUUAACUCAACUAACAAAAAUAAAUAAAAAGGCAAUAGAACGGAUGGUAUGACUGAACCUGGAGCUGCUGGAGGACGAGUUAUCACAGACGGAGGUGCCGGAACUGAAACUGCGGUUUGAUUAUAGAACGGGUAAAGUUCAUAUCUAAUGUUGCAGCUAGGAGUCAGCACUCUUCCCCCUUGCUUUCCACUGCAACAAUUAGGCAGAGCCGCUAUAGCUCCUCGCAGACAUGUAUUACAAUCCGUGCUUGAUAGGUCAGGAGUACACUGCACAAGGCUGUACAGUGUUUGAAACCCUGAAAUAUUCGCGUCUCUGGUCGCGAAGUUUUUUAAACCUAACGUAGCAUUUACAGCCAGGGUUGCUGCAUUAUUCAUCGUAUCAGCCAGUAUCUGGUUAAAACGCUCUUGGUCCGAGACAUUUCCCGUGUUCAACAUAUAGAUUGCAGGUACAAUGGUCGCGAUGGAAAAGAUAGAUUGAUUUGAGUAACGCAAGAGGCAAUCAUCAUACCAAAUCACAGCAAUUUUUUCAACAGCACAAAGUUGAGUGACGUCGUUGAUGGCAGUAGAGACACAUUCUUCGCAGCCACUAUUCGAAACAUCACCCCUGCAGAGAAACAGCCCAUAGACCACGUCAGAGUUUCUGCCAGAGGUUGUGCUAUAGAAUCGAUUGCCGCGGGUGGCGUUGGAGGAUAGAGAGGAAAGCAGGUGAUUGAGAUCGGCUUGGUAAGUACCGUUUGUGGGAAAAGUGGUUGCGUUCGAACAGCUAUGGGCGAGGUAAGUUUGUUGUGCUCCAAUGGUAAAGCUAAGCAAGGAGAGGAACAACAGAGUUAUGAAGGACUUGUAGACAAGCAUUUUUUCUCUUUCUUUUUUUCCUAGGACCAUAACAGUGGUGAUCUUCUCAAUAUGGGGUUUUCUACCGGCACCUAAAGACUUGGUACCUCUAGACACCAACCGUCAAAAGCAGGUGAAGCCAAUGUAAUGGUCGUGUUGGCUGGUUGAAUGCUGUAAAGACAUUUACACGUCUGUGACGGAUGGAAUAGGAGUUGGAGAUAAACAUCAAGUGCAGCUUUCACUUUAAUGGUGCCUUAAAGUCGCAGGCCCACACUCUAAUCGGAAGUUAGUGCUCCGUAUUGAAACAGACUUUUCUCAUUACAUAUUUACAUUUAGAUUUCUUUGUUCCUGUGUCGAAUUUGUCCGUAGCAUCCCAUUUAUUAAAGGAGUUUUUUUUUUUUUGGAAUAGUAGUAUACAGUAAUUUUUAUGAUUUAUUUUUCAAAGUUCUUUAAUCUUUUGUUCUAAGAAGUAUAGUUUAAUUUAGUAGUAAAUGAUUGAAUUAAUUCUUUAAAUAAAAAUGGAUAUACUUUUGAAAAAUAAAAUCAAAUACAUCUAUAGUCAAUAUAUUUUUUUCUCUUUUGUAUAUUGAUAUAUGAAGAUAGCUCCAAUUCUUCUGUCGAAAAAAUUAAGCACAUCUUAUGGUUGUCAUUCAGUCAAAAACGGCUUAAUAAGUGUUCAGAAGCUAGAAUCCUAAGAAUAGUGAAAUAAAGGACGAUGCAACCACUAAUCAAUCACCGAGGCGAGAUAUUUGAAAUUGUAACCUCAUUAACAGAACAGACUAUCAUUUGAAGUGGAUUGAAUUGGUUCUGCAACAACACGUCCAACAGAAAAUGCAGGUUCUGCUGGUAGAGGAAGUGUUGUGGUCUCGCUUGCCAACAUGACAAUCACAGUUGACAUGGUAGGUCUGUCCGCUGGGUCUUCUUCCACGCACAACAGCCCGAUACGGAUGCAUUUAAGAACCUGAGUUGGCACAGACGACUGAACAAGGAGCGGGUCUAUUAGCUCCAUUCCUUGACCUUUAGACCAUAGUUUCCAUGCCUGUAAUGUUAAUUAGUAUUAGAAUGAUACAGCAAUAUAGCCAUCUAUUUUUUGAAGACAAAGAUAGGAUUAAAACGUACAAAGGUUAGGAGGCUUUCACCACGCUCGGAAAGAUGAAAGCCAUUGUUCCUUUUGCCGCUUAUUAUCUCCAGUAAGAGGACUCCGAAACUGAAAACAUCGGAUUUGACUGAAAAAAUCCUUCCAUAGCAUACCCUGGUGCCAUGUAUCCACUAUUUCAGUUUAUAGGAAUAGUUAAAAUCAGGUUAGAUUACGGAAAUCUCAGAACAAAGAAUCGUUAAGUUUGAACAUUGUGCUGUCAUAAAAUUGAAGGAUGACUACAAAUUUUAGAUUGUAAGGAACAGCCAUGUUCCUCUUCAGAAUGAACCUCCGCAAAGACUAUGAUCUGAUGUAUUGCUUUUCCAUUUUACGAGUUCAAUGCUGAUUCUUUCUUUUCAAUAAAAUUUUAUUUGACACAGAUGCAAUAUUAAAGAUCAAAAGAAAACAAAUGAAGAACCUAGAUUGGUAAAAAAAAAAACAGAACUGUGAGCCUAGAAGGCAUGGGAUAGUGGACUUACUAUGUUCCAACCACUCUGUUUGUAUUUGCUUCAUUUUGAUAUGCACCAAAAAUUCUAGCCAUUCCAAAAUCUGAUAUCUUUGGGUUCAUCUCGUGAUCUAGCAAAACAUUGCUAGCUUUAAGAUCCCUAUGAAUAAUUCUAAGACGAGAAUCCUCAUGUAAAUACAGGAUGCCUGGGGCAAUGCCAUUAAUAAUGCUAAGACGCUUCUGCCAAACCAGUUGCACACCAAUGCUUGAAUCUGGAAAAGAACCCCCCAAAAGAAUGUAGUAGUUAGUUGAUUUUUUACCAUAUUUCAUGAAGAUUCCUGUUAAAAAACAGAAUGAAUAAAGCAGAAACAAGAAUUUUUUGUUUGAGGAUCAAACCCAAGAGGAACACAUCAAGGCUUUUAUUGGGCAUGUAUUCAUAGACAAGCAGUUUUUCGUUCUGCUCCAAGCAGCAGCCCUGGAGUCUCACCAGAUUUCUAUGUUGUAGUCUGGCAAUUAACAUGACUUCAUUCUUGAACUCAAGUAACCCUUGCCCAGAAGUUCUAGAGAGCCUUUUAACUGCAACUUCUUUUCCAUCUGCCAAUUUGCCUUAAAAGAAGGAAUUAACAAGCAUCAUAAAAGAACUAAUUAUGUGAACUGUGAAGUUGAAGAAGCGCAUCGUAUACUAAAAGUAUAAUACUCCAUCACCAUAGUUACCUUGUACACAGGGCCAAAUCCACCUUCUCCAAGUUUAUUUUCAUCACAAAGUUGUUUUGUUGCUGUUUGUAAAAUAUCUAGCUGAAUCGAAGGGAAAUCCUUAGAUCUCACGCCACUCUCACCUUGAAAAUUUUCAAUUGAGUAGCCGUCGCCAACUCUUUCUCCUAAUCCAAGUAACUGAACUUCUUGGCUGUUAUGAUCUAUAUUCUCUUCAAGAGAAAACAAUAAUUGGCAAAACAACAGAGUCAAGAAAAAAUGAGGUGGAAGUGUGAUCCAAUGCAUACCAUGAAAAUUUCUCCUUCUCCAACGGAAAAUACCUCCACAACAGAACAGGGUGACCCCAAAAAUUGCGGAUAAACUUGCAACAAUAGGAAUCCAAUUUGGUUCGCCUUGUUUGCCACCUUCUAAAUCUGUUACUCCAAAACAAAGUUAUCUUUCAGUUGAUUUUUAGUGGAAUAAAUUUCUAAUUUUUGUAUUCUUCUAGCUGCUUCUGUUUGGCAGAUAUUAAUUAAUUUGCAAUUAGUUUCUGUAGCAGGUAUUUUUCCAACUUUCUUUUUUGAUGGGUGAAAAUUUCAGUAACUAAAAAUUAGGCAAGCUUAAUUCUCUAGCAUCUGAUGAUACUAACCGUUUGAGCCACUUGUUUUGUUUACUGAAGGAAGGGAUGCUUCUGAUUCAACUCCAGGAUUCUUGAUUAUCGUAGUGUUUGUUGAUUCGUCUCGAGGUUUUCCAUAAAAUGGAUAUAUCUCAUACCUGAUGCUACAGCUUGGUCGUAAAAAUCUCCCACCUUGUCUUCCAGUCUCUAAAGAUAGGAUUGAGCUACGUAGACAAGAUUGACAGUCUGCAACUGACAAAUCAGGGGUGCAUUGAACAAGGCCAUACAGCUUCAUGGAAAUUGAAACAUUAACUUCUGUAGUUGCAUACAUGUGGUUAGAAACAUUUGAAAGCAUCCUAGUCAGAUUGUCGAAAGUCUCGGCCAAAUUCUUUUCAAAUUUAUCAAGGUCCGUUAUAUUUGCAUCAUUAUACAUAGCAAAAGCAGGUGUUAGCUGCAUGGUAGAGAAGAAAGAUCUAUAGGAAUAGCGCACAAGGCAUGCAUCAUAAUAUAUAAUCGCUUCUUUGUCACCAGCGCAAUCCUCUAAGAUCUUAGCGGUUGCUAAGGCAAUGCAGUAUUGGCAGAAAUUGGGUUAAACAUCACCUCGACAGAGGAAAAGGCCAUAAACCUUCUCUGGAUUUUCCCUUGCCGUAUCGUUAAAGAAACUAUAAAUACUUCCUUGGUCAUUAAACCGCCGGAUGAGAAGGUGGUUAAGGUUGUUCGCGAACCGAAUACUAGAAUUAAAUAUUUCUGAACAUCUUGUAUAGAGAUAAGCCUGCUGCAUUUCGGACACGUUUUGUGGGAUAACAAGGAGCGAAGAAGAAAGAAAGAGGAGCAGGUAAAAUGCGCCUGAAACAGAAAGAACAACAUAAUAGUGCAUCAUCUUCUUCCAAUGCUUUUCAAUAAUUCAGAAAUCUUAAGACCAUAAUCUAUCCGGAAUGGGUUAUUAACCGAGACUGAGAGGCCCUCCUCGACAAAUUGACUUGUUGACUUCUAAAGUUUCCGUCCACCGCCAAAAUUAUCUCCACACCACGAUCUGUUGCCUCGUUUGGCAAAAACGUUACGCUCUGUUUUCUCGUUAACGUGCAGUUUGCAUCUGAAUUUUUUUUUUUAGUAUUUUAAUAAAAUAAUAAUUAUUAAUUGUUUUGGUAACCAUGAAAAUUUCUGAUUAAUUAUUUAUUUUAUGUUGUUAACAAGUUUUUACUUUGCUAAACUAAUUAUUUUUGUUAAGUUCACUAAUUUUUAAGAUUCACCACUUUGUUAAAGCUUAAUUUAUUACAAUUGAAUAAUUGAAUAAAGAUUCUCAAUAAAUUAAUAAAAAAUUUAUUUGUGACAUGAGUAUAAUUUGAAAUUUGAUCAAAGGGAAGAGGUUAAUAUAGUCUACACACCAUAAAAUAAUUUUAUUUUAUUUUUUAUAAAAGACAUACCCUUUCAUUCGAUAUGUGUAAUUAAUGUUACUGUAAAUCAGCUUUAUGCACAUGUUACGUAUUAAUUUAUUAUUAUAUAACAAUAUUGAUAUAAUUUUAAUUACUUAUAUAAUAAGAGUGCUUUUGCUUUCCAAUCAAUGUGAUAGAGUGACAUAAUAUCAUUGAUAUCUCUUGAGGUGAUGUGAUUACUCCUCCGAGAAGGAUGUAAUAUCCAAGCAGAUGGAGAAUUAGCCACCAAGUACAGUCACUUAGAUGUUAGGGAUGAUUAUAGUUUUGAUAUUAUUUAUUAAGGAUCAUUUAGUUUUGAUAUUAUUUGUUAAGUAAAAUUUUUUUAUCUAAUUAAAUAAGUGAAAGUUAAAUUAUAUAAUCAAUCAAUCAUAUAAAAAAUAUUAAUUUAAUAUAAUUCGAUCCAAUUAGUUUAUGUCUACAAAUAAAAAAAAUCAUUAGUUAUAAAAAAUUACAUUAAAAUAUUAAAAUAAUCACUCACAAUUACACCUAUAGACCUUCUCAAUCUCUUCUAAUUCUCUAAAGUAUUCUCAAUCUAAACAAACAUAUAGCUAUAUAUACCUUUUUAACACAAAGAAACACAUACCCAUAUGUACUCAUGUAUCAUAUCUAUAUAGACUAUCUCAAUCUCCUCUAAUCCACUCACAAACAUACAACAUAUACAUUCAUAAGAUGUAAAUCUCUAAUAGUCUUAUAAGUUGUCUAUCACAAUAAAACUUUACAACUCUCUUUCAUCUUUUUCUUAUUCAUGGACUUAGGUCAAUUGGAUCGAAUCAUGUUAAAUUAUUGUUUCUUGUGUGAUUAUUUGAUCAUUUGAUUUUGCUUUCGCUGGCUUACUUGGAUUGGGGCUUUUUAACCUAACAAAUGGUAUCGAAGUUGUAAUAAUUUCUAAUAAAUUAUAUCAGAGCUACGGUAAUCCCUAACAAGUCGUAUCAAACUCAAAGGUUCAAGCCAUUGGAAAAGGUAAGUCCAGAAGAGCUCGAUUCAAGAAAAAAAUUAGAGUUCGUAUUUUAAAAAUUAAUUUGCGUGAAACAUGAAGGUACACAAAAAAAGAUGAUUGUGAGAUUUUUAUUACAGGUACAGUCAAGCAUGUCUAAUAUGAAAAUAUAUGAUUUGAUGAAAUUUGAGUUAAGGUGAAAAUUGUUGGAAAUAGUAACUCAAAUCCCAUAACAGAUUUGUUUGAAAAUUGAUUAGAUAUUAUUUGAUGGACAAGAAGAUUUACUGACGAAGAAUUCUAAAAGAAAAUGAAUUUUUAAUAGGUAAGUUUGACUUACAAAAGAAAAUUUUUAAAAGUAAAAAAAUUUUUAAUAGGCAAAUAUGUAUGUUUAUAAAUAAGUGAACUCUCUACAGGAUUAGGUAUGAGAAAAAGAUAUAAGAGAGUUGUAGGAUUUUAUGAGAUAGACACCUUAUAAAACUACUAAAGAUUUACGUCUUAUGAGUGUGUAUGUUUAUAUAUUUGUAAAUGGACUAAAAGAUAUUGAGAGGGUCUAUAUAGAUAUGAUGCAUGGGUGCACAUAGGUAUGCGUUUGUUUGAGUUAAUAAUACUUCAUAAGACUAGAAGAGAUUGAAAGUAUCUAUGAAUAUUAAUUAUUGAGUGAUUGAUUGAUUUGAUAUAUGUUUGUAACUCUCUAUAAUUAGUGGAUAUUUUUUUCAUCUAUGGACAUAAGUUGAUUUGGUCGAACUACAUUAAAUUGUUGUCUCUUAUAUGAUUGUUUAAUCAUUUGAUUUUGCUUUUGUUGGCUUGAUUGGAUUGGAGUUUUUUAGCCUAACAUUAGACACGUCGUGCGAGACUUAAAAUAAAUAUUUUUAUUUCUAUAUUUGUAAAUUCUCCCUUAAAAAUUAUUUAAAUAAUUUUUUAUUAUUGAAUUUUGCUUACAAAAGUUCUAAAAAAACAUUUUAAAAUUAUUAUGUUAAAUAAUAUUUUGUUUCAAUAUAUUGAAAAUUAAUAUAUUAACUAUCAAUUAUUCAUUAAAUAAAAAUAUUAUUAUAAAUAUAAUAUUAAUUAAUCUUAAAAAUUUCUUAAAAAUAGUCAAGUUAACAAAAUUAUUUACUAUUUAUUAUAACAUUUCUUAUUAUUAAUACCAGACACUGCCUUGAAAAAAAGAAAACAUUUAUUAUUGAUAACAAACACUCCCUUGAAAAACAGAAAGCAUUUAAACUUCCUGGAAAACCAGUAAGCCAGUCACGACAUUGCACUUUUCAACUUAAAUUGAUCAAUUGACAAUUUGCUGUGUGUACAGAGCAAAGUUUUCGGCAUGCACCCCGCAACUAUGCUUGUCAGCUAAAGCACAAAAUUAAACUCUUAAGGGGUCCAUUGCUAUUUCUAUUAAGACCUGUCAUGAAGACCAAUUUAUGGCAGGAAAUGGGGAAGGAAAUUAUGGCACUUUUAAAGGUUUUGCAGAGGAUAGAAAAUUAAAAAGAUAAAAAAUUGAGAGAGAAAAAAAUCCAAAUUAAGAUGGAAAAACUAUGAUUUUUUUUGUUGGUGUGAUUUUGUAAGAAAAAUUAAAAAAUGGAUGGAAUUAAAAUAAUUUUUCUAGAAUCGGCUCGAAAAUCUCAAAUUUUAAUUUUAAUUUUAAUUAAAAACAAUUAAAAUAUUUUUUUUACAUAGUCUAAUUAUUUGAUAGAGUUAAAAAAAAUAACAUUAUUUUAUCAUAUAUAUUUUAAAUAAAAAUAAAACAAUUCUAAAAGUAAAUAAAUAUUUUAUGGAUUUAUAAUAUUUGACUCACUCCUUUUUUAUUUUCUCUUGUUUAUUUUUUUUAUUUCAAAUGUUUUAUUUAUGAAUAAAAAUAAGAAAUGACAAUCUCUCCUAUUAUUAUUUUUUAUGAUAGCUUAAUUAACCUAAAGGUAAAGCUUCAAUAUUAUGAGUUAUAAAUCCUAACUGGCAGUUACCAUAGCAAUUUCGGGGAAAGGGCUUUCAAGUGAAGGUCAUAAUAUAUUAUUACAGAUUUUCUUGUUCAGAGUUUUCUGGUAAACUAAGUAGAAAAUAUAAAUGCAACGAAUUAAAAGGUCGUACGUAUCAACGAGUGUGUGACUUUUGCGGUUGAAGUCGAUUCCGAGGUUGAGUAUUAUUUUCCUAACAACAGGCAAAUGGAAACUUCGAGGGAAAGAAAAAAGAAGAGAAAAUCAUUGAUUCUACGUACAACUGAGGCAAAUAAAGAAAUCGGCGGUAAACUUUACCAACAAUUGGAGUAGUUCCAAGAAGGUACUUAUUAGCCCUUUCAUCACUUUAAAGCCGGACGAUGCACUGGGAUAACUUGACCUACCCCAAACAGAAAGUUCAACGAUCAACGAACUGCACUGGAUAUCUUUUCUUGUCUGAACUUGUCCAUAAAUAUUAGAAGUCCUAAUAAUGCUAAAAUUAAAAAAGAAAAGUAUCUUAAAUUUCAUAACUUUUAUUAAAUAAAAUUUUAUAUUUUUAUUAUAUUUAAAAUUUUUUUUAAUAUUUAAUUUGUACUCAUAUAAUACUUUAACAUUUAAUUUGCAUGUAAAUAAGUUAUUAAACUUUUAAUUUAUACAUAAAUAAUUCCUUAUACAUCAUUCUUUUAUUUGAAAUGAAAACUUAUUUAUAUACAAAUCAAAUUAUAAACAUUUAUUUAAAUAUAAAAAAUAUAUAAGAGUUUAUUUAAAAAUAAUGAAAUAAUUCAAAGAUUUUUUUUUAAUAUUUGGGCUUACUAAUAAUUAUGUCUUGCAUACAUCCAUGUGAGACAAUUAUUAAAACCUGGUAAAUUGAAAGAGGUGUCGAAUAUUUAUGUAUUAAAAGGGUGUAAAUGUUAGAUGGCCUGUGAACAGAACAAUCUCAUCAAUAAGAGACGGAGUCAUAAUUUAUGAUAAGUGAAAUAAAUAUUUUAAGUUAAUUUAAAAUUUUUUUCAUUAAAGUAAAAUUAAUUUUAAAAAUUAAAAAUAAAAUUAGCACGUAUAACCUUUUUGUAAAUGAAAAUAAAAUUUUGUUUUGCAAAUAUAAAUAAUAUUUGCGUAAUUAAUUAUAUGAUUUUUUACAAAUAUAGUCUAAACACUAUUUAGAUAAAUCAUUUAUCUUAAUAGACACACACACACACACACAUAUAUAUAUAUAUAUAUUGAUAUAUUAAUUUAAUAGAAUUUUACUUACAAAAUUCUUAAAAAUAAAUAUAAUAUGUGAAAGAAUGAAAUAAAAAUUAAUAUGUUUAACUUUAUUAUUUACUUUUAAUAUGUUUAGUUUUAUCAUUUAUUUUUAAUAAACAAAUAUAUUUGAUAUUUAUUCAUUAUAAUUUGAAAAAUAAAAAAUUAUUCUUUUCUUACAUACAAUGAAAAGAAGAAUGAAGAUGAUUUUUUUUUUAUUUUAUUACUUCAUAUUUUUUUAUGUUUUUUUAUUUUGUGUUAAAAAGUGGUUAAAUCACUUAUGUAGUGUAAGCUCCAUAUCACAUUAUUCCUAUAAGAUCAAUUUGUAUCAAUCUAAACAAAUUAUUAUGAGAAAUUAAAAAUUUAACAAUUUCAAACUCUCUAGAAAUAAUUUAUUUUAUUUUUUACAAACUUGAAAUAUAUAUAUAUAUAUAUAUAUAUAUAAGUAUAUAUAUAUUAUAAUGAUAUUGCUUAGCACUCAAAGUGUCAAUGUUCAAUUAUUAGAUAAAUAAUGAAAAAUUUCAUAUAUGAACUUUAACUUAGUGGGGGGCAAAUAUGACAACAAAGAUUUUUUAUAAGGACAAAACUUUAAAUUUUCAAAACUUUUGAUAUUUUUAUAAUAAACCCAAAAGAAUUUUAUGAACUCAGUGGGGCAACUGCCCACACAUGCUUCUACGUAGAUCUGCUCCUGUCAUCAAUAUUUUCUUUACAUUUGAUAGAACAAAAAUGGAAUAGGAAUUUUGAACAUUGAACUUUUAUCUUAUCAAGAAGAAUUUACAGCAGUUAGAUUAAAUUCAUCAAAUUUUUUACUCGGCUAAAUAUGUUCAGCGGGCUGAGAUAUUAGAUAUUGUCAUCAGAUUUAUUAAUGAAUUUGUUGUAGAAAGGCUGAUCAACAGGAACAACUCUGCCAAUAGGAAAAAGCAGGUCUUUUGGUUCAGGAAGAGCAAAAGAGGGUCCAUUAGGUCCAAUUGUUUUCCAUUUUUCCAUAGUCACCAGGCUUGCCAACGAAUCACUAUAAGAAAAUAAAAGAUUAGUGACAAUUUUGUAGCAAUAUUUCAUUUACAAAUAUUAUUAAUUUAUGUGUUUUUAUAAAAUUUAAAGCGCUUAUUAUCAAAACAUCAUUAAAUAUUUAAAUAGCGACAUUGUUACUUAUAAACACCACUCAAUACUUGAUAUUAGCGACAUUUAUCGACUAAAACGUCUUCAAUAAUCUUGUCUUAAAAAUUUGAAUGAAUAUUAAAGGAGUUUUUGGUAGAAAAUGACUUAAAUAAUCUCGUUAAAAAAAUUAAUAAAGAAUUACUCAAGGCGUUUUCUACAUGAAAUGCUUUUAAUAAUUUCAUAAAAAAAUUCAACAGGGAUAUUGAAGGUGUUUUUAAUUAAAAAUACCUUCAACAAUAUCCUAUUAAAAUUUUAGGAUCGUACGGAUGUUAACCAUAAGGUGGUAAGUUCGAUCCCUUCAUUUUGCAUUUUUUAAGUUUUUACAGAGAUUAUUUAUAAUUGAUUAUUCUAGGUAUUUUCUGGGCAAAAAUGCCUUCACCAAUCGAUUUAAAAAAUUUUAGAGAGAAUAUUGAAGGCGUUUUUGGUAGAGAAAUGCCCUCAAUAAUCCAUAAAAGAAAUAUGGAACCGAUUCUUGAAGAUAUUUUUGGCUGAACUCACCUUCAAUAAUCCAAUCAAUAAACUUUUAGUUUGGAUUAUUAAAGGCGAUUUUUGUCAAAAAUGCCUUCAAUAAUCCAUACACAAGUUGAAACGGAUUCUUGAAGGCGUUUUUGGCUCAAAAUGCCUUUAAUAUUUCACACGAUAAAUUUAAAUUGUUGGAUUAUUGAAGGCAGUUUUUAUAAAAAAAUGCCUUCAAUAACAUGUUGUUAGGGAUUAUUCAAUACGUUUUCCAGCAAAAAAAAUGCCCUUAAUAAUCCAUAGGAAAAAUAUGGAACAGAUUUGUGAAGGUGUUUUUGGCCAAAAGUGCCUUCAAUAAUCCAUUCAAUUAAUUUUUAGUUGAUAUUAUUGAAGGUAAUUUUUUUUUUUUAAAAUGCCUUCAAUAAUCCAUACAAAAAAGUUGGAAUGGAUUAUUGAAGGCAUUUUUUAUCCUAAAUGCCCUUAAUAUUCUACACAAUAAAUUUUUAGGUGGGAUUAUUGAAGAUAGUUUUGGUAAAAAACUCCUUAAAUAACAUUUUGUUAAGGAUAAUUCAAGGUGUUUUCUUGCUAAAUAUGCCCUUAAUUUGUUUGUAGGAAAAAUAUGAAACGAAUUCUUGAAGGUGUUUUUAGGUGAAAGCGCCUUUAAUAAUCCAAUCAAUAAAUUUUUAAAAUAGAUUAUUGAAGGUGGUUUUUGUCAAAAAUACCUUCAAUAAUCCAUACAAAAUAUUUGGAAAGGAUUCUUAAAGGCGUUUUUGUCCCAAAUCGCUUUUAAUAUUCCACAUAAUAUAUUUUUAGAUAGGAUUAUUGAAGGGGAUUUUAGUUAAAAACUCCUUCCAUAACAUUUUGUUACGAAUGAUUAAAGGUAUUUUCUUGCUAAAAACGCCUUCAUUAAUCCUAUGAAAAAAAUAUUUUUGAUAUUAUAUAUGUCAAGUCAGUUGUAAGUUUAUGCCCAGAAAACAUUUAAAGUCAGUUGUACAUUUAUGCCUAGAAAACAUUUGGUUUAUAUAUGUGAUACUAUGAAUUAUAUUUUGGAAUUUACAUAAUGAAAAUUGUUGUAUUUUAAUAAAUUGACGACACAUUCGAAUUUAAAACUAAUAACGUUGCCAUAUUACUAUACUUUCUGAAAUAAUCGUACUCAAUAAUAUAUUAAGUACACAUAGUGUAUUCAUAUAAAAUAAAUAUAUACCAAUAAUAUUAAAUCAAUACCCCAAUCUACAAACUUAAAAUUUUCAUUCAACAUGGCAUGUUAAAAAAUUAUAAUAAUUUGUUCUUCAUAUAUUUACAUUUAACCAACAAUGCUAAUCUCAAGGUUUAUCAAUAAUGAUAAAUGAUAAUAAAUACUCACACCAUUCUUUAAGGACUUCAUCCAGUUCCUCUACUGUGAAGUUUUCUUUACUCUCUCACUAAAAAAAAAAAUAGAAGUAAAUGUUAAUAAAUGAGAACAUAAUUUAGUUUUUUAUUUUUUUGAAGAUAUAACGAGUUUAUGAAAUUUAUACUAACCUUGAAUGGUGUGAUUAUAAAAUCAUAUAAAACUAUCUCCUGCAUAAAAAGAAGGACAUAAUAUCCACAUUCAGUAUUACUGGUUGAUGAUGUACCUGAAAAUUAAAUUGAGUGGGUUUAAGAAAUAUUUAUCUACACAAACUCAGUAUAAAAGAAUAAAUUUUACAUUUACCGAUAAUGACACCCAUUUCAGUUUCUUUGCCUUCUUAUCAAAUAUAGAUAUUAUCUUAAAUUGAAAAGAAAAAAAUUACUUAAUACAUAAAUAAAAUUACUUAUGAAAAACAAAAGAUAUAUAAUAUAAUAAAGUGUAAUACCUCUUUAUAAAAGUUUGAAUUUUGGUGUUAGGCAUCACCGUUGAUUAACUGAAUUAAGUAAGUAUGGCGUUAAGGAUUUGGUGUCAAUCACAAUAAGCACCCAAUGAUGACUACUAAAUAAUGACAAUGUUAUACUCAGAUUAUUUAUCAUAUUAGAUUUGGGUAAGGUUGAAAUAAUUAUUUGUAUGAAUAUAACUUACCGUGCAUUAUACGAGAGCAAAUAAUAAUCAGUCGAUCUUUUCACGUAUUUAAUCAUAUGAUUAGCAUGAUAAGUGACUGUGCCACUCUGCUCACUAAUGAAGUUGGGGUCAACGAAUCUAAAUUUGUUGGUCAAUUGUCUCCCUUGAGCUCUCUAUAUAGGAAGCUACACGAUAACAAUCAAUAAGACUAGUUAGUAUUACACCAUAAUAUAGAUUAAUACAUAUUGAGGGUGCAUAUUUGUAUUUAUAAGCUAACCUCAUAUAAGCAACAAUAUCAACAACUGAUAAUUCAUCCAAUUCAUAAAAAUUUUUAACCUCCUUCACACCAAUGAAAAAAAAAUGAUGGUUUAUCAAAUAAUCCUUCAUCAGACUCAAUGGUUAUGAAGUUUCCUCUGGAUAAAUGCUUCAACAAAUAAUUAGAUAACUCAUCCAUAGUAGCCUGAGCAAGGGUCAUACUCUGAGUCCCAACAUCCUACUACAAUAUUUAAUGAAAUAUAAAUAUUAAAACCAAAUAAAUAAAUAUAAUAAAUAAAUUAAUAUUAAACUUAUAAACAAAAUUAUACUUCAUGAGUGGUAGUGGAGGUUGAGUUCAUUGCCUGACUUGCAACGGAAGCUUGUCCUACGUGGAUAAUGCUAUUUGACUGGCCUACUGCCAUACUAUGCUACAUUGUUGCCAAUAUGGCCUUCAAAGCAGCGAGUCUUUGCUGUUGCUCAUUGAGGCAUUACUCAUGGUUAUCAAGUCAUUGUUGUUGUUGCUCAAUGAUUGCUUCAUAUUGUGCAUUUGUCAUUCGUAAAGUUUUGGGUUGAUUAUUAAAAAACUUUGAUGACAAGAAAAAUUUACCAAUCCCAUGAACCCGACCAAGCCUUUCUUUAGUACUUAAUGCUAAAGAUAAUGGAUCUUCUCCAUACUGGAUUAUCAGUUCACCAGAUUUGACUUUGGAAACAUAAUCAUCCUAAAAGACAAUAAUAAUAUGGGCUGUAACAACAAAUCUAUUCAAGCUAGUAUACAAUUAUGCAUACAACCACAAUGCUAAUCAUACAUUAUAUUAAAAAAGUAGUUAUACAUACAAUCUUUUUCGGUAUUUUUUCAGUUGCUUCAUUUGCAAAGGAUCUAUAUUUUUGUAGAUGUCCUUAUUUUCAGACAUCCCAUCUGAAAACUUCAGUACCAGAGCUUGCUGAUUUCUAUUAAAUUACUGCAAUAUAAGAAUCUGAAUGUAUGAAAUGAAUGUUCAUAAAUAUUCAUUAAUGAGUAUAAAAUAAGUGUGCGAAUUCAUACAAGUUCAUACUUCACAUUUGCAUAUCUUUUUCUUGUUGUUCAAUGGUGAUAUUGUUGUUUGGCUCAAAUAUUCUGUUGGUUUUCUUUGAUUUUCUACAAAAGAAAAAAAUUACGUCAAUCACAUAUGAAGAUCAAAUGAUAUAUUGCAUAAAAACCUAUAAACAAUUUUUUUGGUAAUGGGUUUGCAUACUGAGAAAUCUUCUGAAAGUCGAUAUUGAACAAAAUUUAUCCAAUCUUCAACACUUAUUACAUCUACAUAUGACGCAGGUGAAAUAGCCAAUACAUCACCUUGAUUAGCCAGCGGUAAAAUAUAUUGGGUUGUUAAUUUGCUUUUAAAAUCUCUGAAUGUUUUCUCAGCAGAUUGCAACACAAUCUUUUUAUAGUCAAUUAAGACAUCAAACCUUCCUAAAUAAUUUAACACAAUUAGUAUGAACAAAUUGAAUUUUAAUUAAAUGAUUAUUUAAUAAAUUUUACGAAAUAGUUGAAUAAACAUACCACAAUCGACUGCCAUAUAUCAUCUUUUAGAUCAUUAGAAACUCAUCACCAAUUGGUGUACAUAAUUGAAAUCCUAUUACGGACGAUGGCUCCAAUAUGAGUAGUCAACUUGGUAGCUCCUUCAGACACAAGCUGCCCAUUUUGAUUGAAGUCAAUGUGAAUUUUUGUGUCACUCACUUUAAUUUGUUUAUUUGGGCCCCUUCCCUUUUUUUUUUGGCCUAUAGGUGUGUCUUGUGCAUGUUUAAUAGAAGGAGAAUGAUGUUGUUCGAAGUUUAUAAUACAUGUAAUUUUGAUCAUAAUUAUAUGAAUUACACAAAAUAACCGUUUAAAUUUAACACUGUACAUAAUUAAAUAAAAUUAAUACCAUACUACAUACAGAAAUACCAUUCAGUAAACUAAUCAGCAAUGUGCUCAAACACAACCAUUCAGAAAUACCAUUUAGCAUACCAUUCAACAUAAAAUUUAGCGUACCAAUAUCAUACAAUACCAUUCAGCAAAAUAAUAUCACACAACAAACCACAAUAUUUAAAGAAAACUACACAGAAACAACACACAUGCAAUGAAAGGUGCUUAGGCAACUUUGCUUAUGGUGAAAUUAAUAAAAAUAUAUGCAUAUGUAAAUAGUAAAGAACCGAAAAAAAUACCUUUAUUGAAUAAUAUCAAUAAUACAGUAAACAAAAAAUAAAAACAUACCAAUAAACAUAGAGGUGCUCACCGUUGAUUUGUUAAAGGUCAAUGACGAUGAUAGGGAUAAAGAAACCAAAAGUCUGAUAGAAAUGUGUUUAUAGGUUUGGUUUGGUUUAUUAAUGCAACUUUUAAUCAUUCUCUAUACUAACAGUUUGUGAUUCUAAUGUUCAAGAUAAGGGAAUGAAUAUAAAAAUUAUAAGUGAAGGCAUUUUUCUGAAAAAAAGGCUUUCAAUAAUUCCUUUAAAAUUUUAGUUGUAGAUUAUUGAAGGUAUUUUUUAUUAAAAAACACCUUUAGUAAUCUAAAAAAUAAUUUUCAAAUGAAAUUAUUAAAGGUGUUUUUCCUCAAGAAAUGCCUUUGAUUAAUUUAAACAAAAAUUAUUAAAGGCGUUUUAGUAGAAAAUCGCUUUCAUUGAUAUUCCUGUGAUAAGAAUUGAGGGAAUUAUUGAAGGCGUUUGUUCUUAAAAAAGCCUUCAAUAAUUAUGUGCAAAAACUAAAAAGAAUUAGUGAAGGUAUUUUUCUGGAAUAAACGCCAUUACUAACCAUCUUAAAAUUUGAGUAUUGAAAUAUUGAAAGCGUUUUUCAUUAGAAGACACUUUUAAUAAUCCCAUAAAUUUUUAAAAGAAAAUUAUUGAAGGCGUUUGUUCUCAAAAAAUACCUUCAAUAAUUAUGUAUAUAAAUUAAAAGAAAUUAGUGAAAGUAUUUUUUAAGAAUAAAUACCUUCACUAACCAUCUUAAAAUUUGAAUAUUGAAAUAUUGAAGGUGUUUUUCACUAGAAGACGCAUUUAAUAAUCUCAAAAAUUUUUUUUAAAAAAUUAUUGAAGGCAUUUUUUGAGAACAAAUGCCUUCAAUAAUUAUGUACAAAAAUUAAAAGGAAUUAGUAAAGGUAUUUUUUUGGAAUAAACACCUUCAUUAACCAUCUUAAAAUUUGAGUAUUGAAAUAUUGAAGGCAUUUUCACUAGAAGACGUCUUUAAUAAUCUCAAAAAUUUUAAAAAAAAUUAUUAAAGACGUUUAUUCUCAAAAAAUGCCUUCAAUAAUUAUAUACAUAAAUUAAAAUGAAUUAGUGAAGGCAUUUUUCUAGAGUAAACACCUUCACUACCUGUCUUAAAAUUUGAGUAUUAGAAUAUUAAAGGUAUUUUUCACUAGAAGAUGCCUUUAAUAAUCCAAAAAAUUUUUAAAAAGAAAUUAUUGAAGGUGUUUGUUCUAAAAAAAUACCUUCAAUAAUUAUGUACAUAAAUUAAAAAGAAUUAGUGAAAGUAUUUUUCUAGAAUAAACGCCUUCAGUAACUAUCUUAAAAUUUAAGUAUUGAAAUAUUGAAGGCAUUUUUUUACUAGAAAACAUCUUUAAUAAUCUCAAAAAUUUUUAAAAAGAAAUUAUUGAAUGUGUUUGUUCUAAAAAAAUCUUCAAUAAUUAUGUACAUAAAUUAAAAAGAAUUAGUGAAAGUGUUUUUCUAGAAUAAAUGCCUUCAGUAACCAUCUUAAAAUUUGAGUAUUAGAAUAUUGAAGGUGUUUUGUACAAAAGACAUGUUUAAUUAUCUAAAAAAUUUUUAAAAGAAAAUUAUUGAAAGAGUUUGUUCUAAAAAAAAGGCUUUCAAUAAUUAUUACAUAAAUUAAAAAGAAUUAGUGAAGGCAUUUUUCUAGAAUAAAUGCCUUCACUAACUAUCUUAAAAUUUGAGUAAUGGACUAUUAAAGGCAUUUUUCACUAGAAGACGUAUUUAAUAAUCCCAAAAAUUUUUAAAAGAAAAUUAUUGAAGAUGUUUGUUCUAAAAAAAUGCCUUCAAUAAUUAUGUACAUAAAUUAAAAAGAAUUAUUGAAGGCAUUUUUCUAGAAUAAACGCUUUCACUAACCGUAUUAAAAUUUGAGUAUUGAAAUAUUGAAGGUAUUUUUCACUAGAAGACAUCUUUAAUAAUCUAAAAAAAUUUUAAAAGAAAAUUAUUGAAGGCAUUUUUUGCAGAAAAUUGCCUUCACUAAUAUUCAUAGAUAAAAAUGAGGGAAUUAUUAAAGACGCAUUUAAUAAUCUCAAAAAUUUUUAAAAAGAAAUUAUUGAAGGUGUUUGUUCUAAAAAAACGCCUUCAAUAAUUAUGUACAUAAAUUAAAAGCUAUUAUUAAAGGUGUUUUUUUGGAAUAAAUGCCUUCACUAACUCCUUAAAAUUUUAGUAGUGUAAUAUUAAAGGUGUUUAGUGCAGAAGAUGCCUUUAAUAAUCUCAAAUAACUUUUAGAAAGAAAUUAUUAAAGAUAUUUUUUUUUUGUAGAAAAUCGCCUUCUUUGAUAUUUAUAGAUAAAAAUGAGAGAAUUAUUGAAGGUGUAUUAUGCAAAAUAUGCCUUCAAUAAAUACACCAUAAAAAAUUAGAUGAAAUUAGUGAAGUCAUUUUUGAGGUGUAAACGCCUUUAAUAAUCUCAAACAAUUCUACUUCGACUCUGCUAAAGGCAUCUAUAAUAUAUUCAAAAACUAUUUAGGAGAAAAUUAUUGAAGGCAUUUUUCUUAGUAAACACUUUCAAUAAUCCGAUCCAAUAAAAUUGUCCCCAAACUUAGCACAUCCAAUCACUAACUUCAAGCUUCAUCUUUAUCAUUUUACUAUUUCUCUUUCCAGUCCAACUACAAUUUACUUUCCCUUUCCUUUAGCUUUUAGUAUUUGAGCAUUGUCUUUUAUUUCAAUUAUUCAUUAGUUAUUUACUUUAGCUUUUACUUCAUUUGACAAUUCCUUUAGCUUUUGCAAUUUACGAUUUUUUUUUUGUUUAAACAAUUUUCUCUAAAACCCACAUUUCUCAAAUACCCAUUUGUAACCCAUAAUCCACUUCCUUGACCCUUUCAUUUUCUUCUUUUUUUGGGUUUCCUUUGUACCAGUUUUACCUUAUUUCAACCUCAACUACAAAUACUCUUGAGUACUAUCUAGGUGAGCAACAGACUUUUAAUAUUCAUAAUAUUAGGUAGCUAAUAAAAUAUUUCACAACAAAGAGUUCUGGUAUUCUGUAAGUACUAGUCUUGUUAUUAUAUUUUAUUUAAAACAUAGUAAACUUAAGUAUUUUGCAUGUUCAUUUUCAUAUAAAUUAUUUAUAUACAUUUAGUCUAAUAAUGUAGCAAGAACUAAAUGGAAAAGAGUUGGAUGUAAAAGUCAAUUAAGUCAAGAGUAUUGAGAUGGGUGACAAAUUUUCUUAAUUUUGCAUUUGAGAAUACAAGUCAAAAUAAUAUGAUAUUAUGCCAAUGUGUGAAGUGUGCUAAUAUCGAUUGGCAAUUGUGUGAAAUUAUUUUUGAACAUUUAAUUUGUAUUGAAUUUCUCUUAGGAUAUGUUAAUUGAUAUUUUCAUGGAGAGUCUGUACCGUUAAGGUUUUUCACUAGAGUUCUUUCAAUUUCAAAGGCUCUCCAAUACCAACAUAAUCUUUUUAUAGCAGAUUACAGUGAAGGCAUAUUGCAAGAUAUUUUUAACAUUCAUAACCAAUAUUUUUGUAAUCUUUCUCCCCAAAAUGAUGGAUUUAAUCAGUCCAAUGUUGAAAUGAAUGAAUUUCGUGAACCUAGGAUAGGUGUAGGUGACCAUCAACCUAGAGAAGAAGCAUCAAAAUUUUAUAAGUUGUUUGAGGAUAUAAAUGAAGAACUUUAUGAGGGAUCGAAGCAUUCAAAGUUAUCUUUUUGCGUUCGUCUUUUUCACUUGAAAUGCUUAUGUGGAUAGAUAGGAAACUCUCUGACUUUAUUAUUUGAGUUUAUAAAAGAAAUGUUUCUUUUUGUAAAAAUCUCUAAAUCUUGUAAGAAAUCAAAGAAGAUGAUCAAAGAUUUAGGUCUCAGAUAUGAGAAAAUACAUAGUUGUCCCAAUAAUUGCAUGUUGUAUUGGGAUGAUAGAAAAAAUCAAGAAUCUUGUCAUUUGUGUGAUAUUUCUGGUUGGAUGGAUAAAAACCCUGAUAAAAGGUUGAAUGAGGAUGGUGAUGAGGUUUGUGUCAAAAAGAAGCCUGUUAAGGUUUUACGUUAUUUUUCAUUAAUACCAAGACUUCAACGACUCUCCAUGUCUUUCAAAACUAUAAAUUCAAUGAGAUGGCAUUAUGAGAAGUAAAUGAAUAAUGGAUCAUUGAGGAUCCUGUAGAUUCUUUGGAAUAAAAAUUAUUUCCUUUUAAGUUUUCAGACUUUGCAUUUGAUCCUCAAAAUGUUAUGCUUGGACUAGCAUCUGAUGGAUUUAAUCCGUUCAAAAUAAUGAGUACUUUUUAUAGUACUUGGCCAGUUGUGUUAAUUUUUUACAAUUUGUCACCAUGGAUAGCUAUGAAGUAAUAGUUAUUUAUAUUAUCUAUGAUAAUUUUUAGGGAAAAAGGUCCAGGUAAUGAUAUAAAUAUCUAUUUUACAACAUCUUAUUAAAGAGUUAAAGCAAUUAUAAGAAGGAGUUGAGACCUAUGAUGCAUUAAAAAAAUAAAACUUUAAUAUGCGUGCUACUUUAAUAUGGACUAUCAACGAUUUUUCUACUUAUGCAAAUUUAUCUGGUUGGAGUAUAAAAGGUUGUUAUGUUUGUCCACAUUAUGCUGCUUAGACAUGUUCGAAGUGGUUACCUAAUGGUAUGAAGUUCUAUUACAUGAGACAUUAUCAAUGGUUAGAUGAUAAUCAUCGAUUUAGAUUCCAAAAACAUCUCUUUGAUGGAACUAAAGAGUUGAAGAGAUCGUCUUUACCAAUUAGUGGGUCAAUUUCUUGUUAAAGUUAAAAUAUAUCAAUUUCACUUAGAAAAAAAUGACUCCAUCAAGAAAAAGAGUGAGGACAUCUUUAAAGGUGUCUGGCCUCAUAUCACGCAAGUUGAUGAUACUGAUACUUAAGUUAGUGAUCUUUACGUUUAAAGUGAUAAAAAAGAUCAUAAAAAAGAUGACCUUAAUGAGUCUGAAUUGUAAAAAAAAGAAGUAUCAUUUUUGAGUUGCCUUAUUGAAAUAUAAUCUAUUACGCUAUAAUCUUGAUUUGAUGCACAUAAAGAAGAAUGUUUGCGAAAAUUUUAUCAGGACAAUUCUCAAUAUGAAUAAAAAAUCAAAUGAUGACUUAAAUAGUUCGCUUGACCUAGUUGAUAUGGGGAUUCACCCUAACUUUUAUUGAAAAUUACUUUCUAAUGGCAAAUAUCGAUUACCUGCUGCUUGUUUUGGGAUUUCUAAAGCCAAAAAAGAUAAGUUUUGCAAGGUUUUAAAAAAUGUCAAAGUUUUGGAUGGCUAUACAUCAAAUAUAUCUAGAUGUGUGAAUCUAAAAGAGCAAAAACUUUCUUCAUUGAAGUUAUAUGAUUAUCACAUUUUGAUGCAAUACUUACUUUCAAUUGCUUUACGUUCAUCAAUGUCAAAGUAAGUUACUUCUGUGGUAAUUGAAUUGAGUAACAUAUUUAAAUCUCUAUGUGAAAAAUGUAUGAAUAUGGAAGAGCUUGACAAACUUCAAGAUCGAGUCACGAUUACUUUAUGCCAUUUAGAGAAGAUUUUUCUUUCAAACUUUUUCACUAUUAUGAUACAUUUGGUUAUCCAUCUUUUAUAUAAAGCAGAAAUCGGUGAGUCAGUUUAUUAUUGAUGGAUGUAUCCUAUCAAAAGGUAUUAUUGUUUAAUAGAUUGAUUAGGUUUUUAUUGAUGAUCAUGCCACUCUAGUUAAAAAGAUAUAUGACUAAUGUUUUAUGCGAUAGGUUUUUAGAGAGAUUAAAGUCUUAUUGUCACAAUAAACGCUAUCGGGAAGGUUCAAUUGCUAUAGGAUAUUUAGCAGAAAAGUGUAUGAUAUUUUGUUCUCGUUAUUUGAAAGAUGUUGAAAUGAGAUUUAAUAGACCAUCGAAAAAUGUUGGUAUGUAACAUACUGAUUCUAUUUAUAAUUAUCUUUUUCAAAGUUUUAGACAACCAAUAAACAAAACUGAAAUGGUAGAGUUAGAUGAUAAAUUUGGGCAUAAGAACAUAAAUAUAUUUUUUUUUAUCAUGACUCUAUUAAAUUGUUUUGCACAUAAGUUUUUUAGCAAAAAAGUUAUUCAUUACAUUAAGCAUAAUUUAUUGUAUUUUUUUAUUGUUAAUACUUUAUCAUGAUACUUUGUAGUGAGCAUAGAAAUAAUUUGAGAGCUUCUGCACAUUAUCGAUGAUCAAACCAUCGAGAGCUUAAUAAGUUAUUCGCUAAAAACUUUUAUAAAUGGUUAGGAGCAACUGUAAGUAAUGCCAUACUUUCAAUUAUGAGAAAUCUACAUAGAAUGCUUAUAAUAUAACUAACAUUAAUAAUAUAUAUUUAUUUAUUUCAGUUUUAUAUGUUUGGAGUAGAAGGCUUCUUAAUGAAGAAGUGACGUAUCUUUCACAAGGUCCGAACAGGAUUGUGAAACGAUACAAAGGUUUCAUUGUCAAUGGAUUUAAAUUUUACACUAAAUACUGUGAGAGAUUUAGAAGUACACAAAAUUUAAAAGUUAUUGUUACUUUAUCAACUACUAGCUAUGCUAGUGCUAGGGACACAAACCCUUUAGUAAAAAAUGUUGACAAUUAUGGCAUGAUUAAUGACAUUAUUGAGUUAGAUUAUUAUGGUAAGUGAAAAUUUAUCUUAUUUUGGUGUGAUUGGGCUGAUGUGAAUAGUACAAGAGGUCUUAAGAAAGAUCAAUAUGGAUUUAUACUUGUGAAUUUUUUUUAAUUAGUUCACACAGGACAACAAUUCAUCGAUAAACCUUAUGUUUUUUCAUCCAAGUCAAACAAGUUUUUUAUUCUAAAGAUCCCAAAGAAUUGGGUUGGUUUGUUAUUCUUCAAAACAUACCUAGAGACUUAUUUGAUAUGAGGUUAGAUACCAAAGAUGAUGUUAAACAUGGCACUGAAUGUUAUCCUUUUGCUGAAUAAAACUUGGAUGAAAAUAUCUCUAGUACCUACACUCAGUGGGUCUAUGAAAAUGUUACUGAAGACAUUUAUAAACCAUGAUGGAUCAUCUAUAUUUUGUAAUUCAAGUGUUUAAGACAUAAUGUAGUAAAUGAUUGUAUGUAAUUAAUGUCGCAUUCACUAUUAUAUAUUUAUUAUAUUAUAAAUCAUACAUUAUCUUUUGAUUUAAUUAAAUCGAUAUGUUAUUUAUAUAUCGUAUGUUAUGAUUUCUUAAUUUCUCAAUGUCUUUAUAUAUGUUCUAAACUAAUAUCUUUUAUAUAUUUUCUUUUAUGAUGCAGGUAAGCUACAAUACGGAUGAGUAGAUUGAAAAGAAUACAUAUCAGAGAUAUUAGUUAAAAUCGUCUGCGGCACCUAUUGAUAUUGGUUAUGGACUGAAUCUUUUGAAGGGGAAUGAAUAUACUGUCGGAUCUAACUCAAUCACUUUUAACUUUUUAACUGAUAUUGGAUCUAGAAAUAUGAAAGAUCCAGGUUUAGAUAGUAUCCCAUCAAUUGAUUAUGCUUUAAAUUUUUUAUGCAAGUAUCAUAUACCCCAUAUUUAGAAUUUGAUUAUAAUGAUAAAAGUAUUGCCAUUUUACAAAUUUAUUUUUUAUUUUUUACAGUUGAUAACAAUGAUCAAUGGAAGACCAAAGGCCAGAUAACUUUGAAUGAAUUAUUUGCAUUACCUUUGAACGAGUGUAUUGUAGUACCUGCAAACUCUGAUAGGCAACUAAUUGGUGAAGAGGCUCAACUAUUGGUUGGAUUUCUAGGCAUGCUUGCCUAUAAUGGAAUGAAAUUGCCUAUCUAUUAUGAAACAUAGCAUAAAGUUCCAGCGAAAGUUAAGGCUGAUGCUUUAAACUUUAUUGAGGAAUUAAUAUAAUUAAUUACAUAUAAAAAUAUAAUUGUUAUACAUUUUGUUUACUUAUUCAAGCUUUUCUUAUUAUAUUAUUAUAGUCAAGAUUUGUACUUGAAAUACCAACUUCAUUUGUGCUUAAGUCAUUGAAAAAGAAAUGGAAAGAUUAUAAGCAUAAUUUGAGGAAUAAGUAUUUUGAUCGAAAUACUACUAUAAAAGUGACGAUGAAAAAUCUACCUUAUAAUGUGAUUAGGUGGUAAUAUGAACAAUUAGUUAGAUUUUGGUUUUUAAGAAAAUGAGAGGUAAUAGUUUAUAACAUUGUAUAGUAGAAUGAAAUAAUGAAAGUGUUUUAUGCUUUAAAUUGGUAAUAUUUGUAUUUCUAUCAUAUACGCAAUUAUUUUUUAUGAUAGGAAAGAGAACAAAUUGGGAUUGAUAGCAGAAAGCAACAGAAAUAUAGCCAUACAAGUGGACCAAAAAGUUUUACAAGAAAACAAAAAGAAAUAGUAAGUUUAUGAUUUUAAACUUAUUCCAAUGAAUGAACUUUUUGUGCCAUUAAAAGGUAAAUAUGCAAAUUAACAGUUAUUGUUCUAUUUUAAUAGUUUCAAUAUAUGAUAUUAAACUUAUCAAAAGUUUUGAACUUAGUUGACAUGGAUGAUAUGUAUGAAAAGUUAUUAUUUACAUCUAUUUAGGUAAAAAUACAAAUUUGUUGUUAUUGUUGUAUUUUAACAGUUUGGAUAGCUUCAAUACUUGAUAUUAAACUUGUCCGAUUGAUUGAACUUGGUUUCUAAGGUUGAUAUGAGUGAAAAAGUUGUUAUUUAUGUUUAUUUGGGACUAUUUUUGCCUUUAAAAGAUAAAAAUACAAAUUAAACUUUUGGAUGGCUUUUAACAGUUUGAAUGGCUUCAAUCCAUGAUAUUAAACUUGCCCAAAUAAUUGAAUUUAGUUUCCAUGAUCGAUGUGUGUUGUCAUAACGGUUUUAUGUCCGCCUGACGAAUUUGGAAACGAAAUAAAAAAUAAUGAAGUUGCCACCAAUCUUUUUUGGCUAGGUGCGAUUGGUCACCUAUUAAAACAUAUCCUUUUAAUGAAAUCUUAAAAUUAAUUAAAAUUUAUUAAAAAGAUAAUUUUAGGAUUUGCGCAACAAUCUAGGUUCAGAAGUAGUUUCGUGUGGGGAACCCCACAAUGCCCAUUUAAAAUGGUACCAAUUAAUUACUUGUUAUUCGUUGAUUUUGAUAAAAAUAGUAUUAUUUUUUAUGUUUGAAAAAUAAUUUCCUUGAUUGUUCAUUUGUUAGCUUUUUUUAUAUACUAUUCGAGAAAUAUAAAUUAGCACUUUUUUGUUGAAAUAAUUCUUAAAAUGUUCUAGUACGUUGGUAACAUUAGAAUAACUUUUUUUCACUUAGAGAUUUCUUAGGCAUUACUUAUUGGAAUAUCGUAGAAUCUCAUCCUCAAAAGGAUCAAAUUUACUUUUCGUAAAAAAAAAAAAUUAUGUUGUGCAUGCAAUGCAAAUAUUAACAUGUUGAUGCACACAUUUUAUUUUUUAUUUUAGAAAUUUUAUUAAUUGUUUUAUUUUUAAUUUAAAUUUUUGAAGAAAAGAAUUUUUAUUAUAUUGAAGUUUUUCUAUAAAUAUUUCAAUACACUGGUAAUAUUUUAAAAAAAAUUUCUCACCUAGGAAUUUCAUAAAGCAUCACUACUCGAAAUACUUUUAGAAUCCCAUUAUUGGAAAAAAUUUUCUUUUUCCUUAUUUAUAUUAUUAUUUUUUUAUAAAUUAAUUAAUUUUUAUUUUUUAUUAACAAAAAGAAAAAUUUUAUUGUAUUAAAAUUUUUUUAUAAAUACUCAAAUACAUAGGCAGUAUUUAAAAAAAAUCUUCUCACCUAGAGAUUUCAUAGGCAUCACUACUCGAAGUACCUUUGAAUCUCAUCGUCGGAUAAAAAUUUCCUUUUCUUAUAUAUUUUUUAAUUUUUUAAAUUUUUUAAAUUAUUUAAGGUUUAUUUUUAUUUUUUUAGUUUAUUUUAAAAUUAUCAAAAUUAUAAAAAUUUUAACAAAAUUUAUUCUAACAAAUACAAAUAAUUUAAUAUGCAUAUAUAUUAUAAAAAUAACAUAUAAAAAAAUAAAAAAAUUUUUUUACCUGAAUCGGACCCGUCAAAGGUUCGAUCAACGCGGAUCCGAUCGGUUCAACCACUUGGUAUGGCCUGGUUGGUUCGACGGUUCGAGGUCGGCCCGACUCGGUUUGAGUCGAUUCAGUUGGACUGAUUAGAGGCUGAGGGAUGGACGGGUCAUCGGGUCAGGUACGCUGACCCUGAGUCGGGUCACGAGUUGACUCGUGGAUCCUCAGGGGCUCAAAUGAUGUCAUUUUGGUUUUGGUCAUUUAUAUAAAAAGCCCUAAAUUUUUUUUCAGUUACUUUUUCCUUCUCCAAAAAAAAAAAAAAAUCUCCCUCACUCUCUCAGACAAAACCCAAGGGGACCGGCCAGUCGUAAGUCGCCGGUCACCGUCGUCGGUGAUAAAAAAAUCUUUAAAAAGACCAAAAUAUUCCUCUCAAUCUCCAAAGUCCGGAUCUGAGCUUAGUUUUAUGAAAAUAGGCUCCAAACGAAACAUAUUUGGCCUGGAAUGUUCGACAAAAAAUAUUUUUUUGUAUGUUUAUGUUAUUUUUUUGUACUGACGCCAGGUUCCCUUACCUUGGGGACUAUGAUUUUUUUUUGGUUGGUUUUUUAUGUCGAUUUUCAAAAAAAAUUUUCUUUGAAUCUGGCAAAAAUUUUUUUGCAAGGUUUCUGAUUUCUUCGAUCACUCCCUUAUCAUGAAAGAAAUGAGCUCUAUUUAUAGAGCUUUCUAAGAUUCGAAUCCCAGAUUUUCUGGGAUUCGAAUCCCAAUUUUUCAACCGACUUAGGCUUUUGGGUGGCCGAAAUUCAUGCUGUCAGGUUAGGUAAAAUUUUAGGCGACUGCUAGUGGUGGCAGUGGUGAUUUUGGACUUUAAAGAGAGUGCAUUUAAUGCACUCGUAUUUUUUGUCAAACUAAUCAAAUAGGAAAGAAGAAAAAGAAAAAAAGAAAGAAAAAAAUAAAAAAAUAAUACAAAUAAUACAAAAAAUACAAAAUGAUGUUUACAGCUGCCCCUUUUUGCCUAUUUCUGAGAAUCAGAAAUAAGGCAAAGAUAAAUAAAUAACCAUUUUGUUCGAAAAGAAGAAAUAUUGAGCACAAAUUUUUUUUUUUAAAAAAAAAUCCUCUAAAGAGAGGUUCAAGAAAAUUUUUGAAAAUUUACAAAUCUCUUUUAAGCAGAGACUCAACAACUUUUGAAAAUUUUAAAGAGGCUAUUCUAAGCAGAGGCUAAAUGACUUUUAAAAAUUUAAAGAGGCUCCUCUAAGCAAAGGCUCAACGACUUUCAAAAAUGUAAAAAAAGUUUCUCUAAGCAGAGGCUCAACAACUUUAAAAAAUGUAAAAAAAGCUUUUCUAAGCAAAGGCUCAACAAGUUUAAAAAUUUAUCUUGAAAAAGCUUCUCUAAGCAGAGGCUCAACAACUUUAAAAAUCCAUCUUGAAAAAGCUCAUCUAAGCAGAGGCUCAACAACUUUAAAAAUCUUAUCUUGAAAAAGGCUCCUUUUAGCAGAGGUUUAACAACUUUAAAUAUCUAUAUUGAAAAAGCUCAUCUUAGCAAAGGCUCAACAACUUUAAAAACUUAUCUUGAAAAAGCUCCUCUCAGUAGAGGUUCAAUAACUUUAAAAAUUUAAUCUUGAAAAAGCUCAUCUCAGUAGAGGCUCAAUAACUUUAAAGAUUAAUUUUUUCUCGAAACUGAUUUUUCAUCUUUAAACAAGUAAAUUUCUCUCUUUUGACAUCUCUUGUUUAAUUAUUAUCUUCAUCUGAAUAUCAAAAUCUUGUUUUUCAUUAAGAAAUAAAAAGUCUUUGUCUUUAUUAUAACUGCUCAUGGAUGCAUGUUCUGAGUGCUCUAAAUGCAAUGCAUAUAAUGCAAUCAAAAUUAUUCAUUGUAGUAAAAAGGUUCUUAAAAUCUCUCGUUUUUCAUUUCUUUUAUCAGAAUUCUCAACAAUUGCUAUAUGACCAAUCUGUUCUUAACAUUUGACCAUUGUAUUCUUCCAUAACAAUACUUUUCUUUUUCAAAAGUCUGCAACAUUAAUGUCUUGUCAUGUUUUUCUCAUUCUUUUUCAUCUGCUUUUGUCAACUUUUAAAAAGUAAUAUUGAGAUUUUUUAUGUUUAUUUUCCUUUUCAUCAUUUUAAGUUCAAGACAAACAAACUGCAAUCACACAUUUUUCCUAUUUGUACAGUGAACAAAAGUAUUAAAUGAGAAUAAAGGAAUGGAUAGGCAUUAUUUCUAAAGGAAAGAUAGCAUAUUUCAUUGAUGGAAAAGUGUUUGAGUUAAAACAAAGGUGCCCCAAAUAAUGAUCACAAGAUAAUCAUGAACAAAAUAUUUUCAGAUUUUUUUUAAAAACUAAAUCAGAUGACUUUCUUGAUCUUUUAGAGUUUAUCAAACUACACUUGCCCCCUAUGUUGUAAGUACAUCCAAGCUGCCUUUUCAGAUUUUCAGCUUAGAUAAGUCAUUAUUUUUUCAUUUUUUUAACUUUUUUAUUUUUUUUCUUCUUUGUUUUUCAAGCAAAAUAUUUUUUUACAGCAUCUGAAUUUAUUGGAGUAGGUAAAUCACCUCUAUCCAUCUCUGUCAAAAUAAAUGUCCCACAAGAAAAGGCCUUUUUCACCACGUAUGGGCCCUUCCAAUUUGGUGUCUAUUUUUUUUUAUUGUCAUGUUGAUUUGGAAGGAUCUUUUUUAGCACUAAGUCUUCUUUCUUAAAAUGACGGGGAUGGAUUUUCUUGUCAUGUGCUCUCAUCAUCCUUUUUUGAUAUAAUUGACCAUGACAAAGUGUUGUAAGUCUUUUUUCUCCAAUGAGAUUCAAUUGCUCGUAACAAUUUCAAACCCAUUUUGCUUUCUCUAACUCUACUUUCAUCAAGACUCUCAACGAGGAAAUUUUCACUUUAACUGGCAGCACAGCUUCCAUUCCAUAUACCAAAGAGAAUGAGGUGGCCCCAAUAGAUAUUCUGACUGAUGUUCUAUAAGCAUGCAGAGUAAAAGGUAACUUCUCAUACCAAUCUUUGUAAGUAUCAGUCAUUUUCUCUAGGAUUAUUUUUAUAUUCUUAUUUACAGCCUCCACUACCUCAUUCAUAUUUGAACGAUAUGGUAUCGAUUUACGAUGAUAGAUCUUGAAUUGAAUGCACACUUCAUUCAUCAUUUUGUUGUUCAAGUUUUUGGCAUUAUAAAAAAUAAUUAUCUCUGAAAGCCCAUAUCUAUAUAUUAUCUCUUUUUUUAUGAACUUGUAUUCCACAGUCGGGUCACACCAGCAUAUGAUGUAGCUUCUACCCACUUUGUGAAGUAAUCAAUCAUUACAAAGAUGAAUUUAUGUUCAUUCGAAGCUUUUGAAGUGAUGGGACUAAUGACAUCCAUGUCCCACAUAGCGAAUGGCCAUGGAGGAGCUAGAAUGUACAAUGUUGAUGGUAGAGCAUAAAUCUUGUCAGUAUAAAUCUGACACUUAUGACAUCUCUUAGCAUAGUCAAUACAGUUACCCUAUAUUGUCAACCAAUAAUAGCCAGCUCUCAUGAUUUGUCUAGCCAUCGUAUGACCAUUUGUAUGUGUCCCACAGACUCUGUCAUGUACUUCUUCGAUAAUCCUCUUUGCUUUAGCUACAUUCACAUAUCUUAAGAGUACUUGAUCUCGACCUUUUUUGUAAAGAACAUCUUUUUUUAGGAAGAAACUCAUAGCUAACCUUCUGAUAGUUUUUUUUAUCAUUUUGUAUUCCAUGCUCUGCAUAUUGUUGACUUUUAAUAUAUUGCAUAAUAUCAUGAUACCAUGACCUCCCGUUAACUUCUUCUUCGACAUCUGAAUAAUGUGCUAGUUCAUUAUUCACAUCCAGCUUAAUGGGUUAAAUUUCAGUAUUUGUAUCUAUUUUAAUCAUUACAGCUAGAGUAACUAAUGUAUUAGCAAUUUGGUUCUCCUCUCUAGGCAAAUGCUCAAAUUAAACUUUUUUGAAUAGUUUAACCAACUCAAAGAUGUAUUUAUGGUACCGGAUUAACUUAGAAUCUCUUGUCUCCUAUUCUCCUCGUAACUAAUAGAUGACUAGAGCAGAAUCUCUAAAUACAUCUAACACUUUGAUUUUUUUUCAAUCGCUGCUUAUAGACCCAUGACACAAGCCUCAUAUUCAGUCACAUUGUUUGUGAAAUUGAAAUUCAACUUGGUUGUGAUAGGAUAAUAAUGUUCAUCCGGAGAUAUUAAAAUUACCCUAAUACCAUGCUUAAAGCAUUAAUAGCUCCAUCAAAAUACAUCCUCAAAGAUUUUUCAACAGGUUCAUUUUUUUCAAUGGCCAUCACAUCUUCAUCGGGAAAAUUUAGUUUCAUUGGCUCAUAAUCUUCGGUUGCACGAUUGGUAAGAAACUCGGCUAUCGUACUUUUUUUAAUAACCUUUUGAGUCACAUAAAUAAUAUCAUAUUCUGAAAGCAUAACUUGCCACUGCACUAUUCUCUCUAUCAAUGAAGGCUUCUCGAAAAUAUAUUUAAUAAGAUCCAACUUUGUUAUGAGACAAGUAGUGUGAUAAAACAUGUAUUGUCGGAACGUUCGAGCUAUCCAGACUAAUGCAUAACACAUUUUCUCUAAUUGAGAAUACUUGGACUCGUAAUCAGUGAAUUUUUUACUCAAAUAGUAAAUUGUUCGUUCUUUCCUGUUAGUUUCAUCUCUUUAUCCUAGCACACAUCCCAUUGAAUUUUCAUGCACUGUUAAGUACAAAAUCAAAUGUUUUCUCAGGAUUAAUGGUACCAACAUAGGUAGAUUUGACAAGUAUUCUUUGAUCUUAUCAAAAGCUUCUCAGCAUUGGUCAUUCUAUUCUGCUGGAUCAUGUUUUUUAAGAAGCUUGAAAAUAGGAUCGUACUUAUAGGUGAGUUAAGAAAUGAAGCAAGCAAUAUAGUUAUGGAUAACUUGUAUCUUAUCUGGGUCCAUUUCAAUUCCUCUUUUACUAACCACAAAGCCCAAUGGUUUUUUUUAUUUGGCACCGAAUGUACAUUUGACAGGAUUCAACUUCAGUUGAAAUCUUCUCAACUUGUCAAAUAGCUUUUUGAGAUUAACUAUAUGAUCUUCUCUUUCACAAGAUUUUAUAAGUAUAUCAUCCACAUAUACUUCUAUUUCUUUAUGCAUCAUAUCAUGAAAAAGAGUCACCAUUACUCUUUGAUGAGUGGUACCAGUAUUUUUCAACCUAAAAGGUAUGACUUUGUAACAAAAUAUCCCUCAUAUGGUCACAAAUAUGAUUUUUUCCAUAUCAUCUCGAGCCAUCUUGAUCUGAUUAUAGCCUAAGAAGCCAUCCAUAAAGGAAAAUAUAGAGUGCUUAAUAGUAUUAUCUACUAGAGUAUCAAUAUGGGGUAAAAAAAAGUUAUCCUUGAGACUUGCUCUAUUCAAGUCUCGAUAAUCGACACACAUUCUCAUUUUUUCAUCUUUUUUGAGAACUGGCACUAUAUUGGCUACCCAUUUAGGAUAUUUUACCACUUUCAAAAAUUUGGUAUCAAAUUGUUUUUUUACUUUCUAAUUAAUUUUUAACAAUAUCUCUGGCUUCAUGCGUCUUAGCUUUUGUUGCACCGGCUUGUAUUUCGAUUUCAAAGGUAACUUGUGCUCUACAAUAUCAGUGCUGAGUCUUGACAUAUCCUGGUAAGACCAUGUGAACACAUCAAUAUAUUCUCAGAGUAGUUUUUCUAACUUUUACCUUUCAACAGGUAAAAAAGAUGUACUAACUUUGACCUCUAUUUUAUUUUCACCGUCUCUCAAAUUCACUAAUUCGAUAAUUUUUUGGUGGGGUUCAAUUGGCUUAUCUUCAUGGUUUAUCAAUUUUAACAAAUCAGGAGGGAGUAUGUAAUUAUUCAAAUCUUUCUCAUUAUCAAGUUCAUCAUCAUGAAUUAAGUUUUCAAAAUCAAAUCCGAGAUUAUUGUCAUGAUUAUUUUCAUGUUCAUUAUUAGGGACCCUGUAAAGGGUAAGAUGAAGAGAAUAUUGGCAUAAAAAAAUAAAAUGGCAAGAAAAUGAUAGAAAGAAAAAAUGGAAAGCAAAAUGAAGAUGAAAAUAAUAGAAAAAAUAUAGUGCAUCUUCUAAGUCUUUUAUUAAAAUGAUAAACAUAAAGACACACAAAAAAUCACCUAAUGCUCAUAGAAGCAAUUAGAGAUUUAAAGUUUCACAAUACAUUACUUUUCAAAAAUUUUAAAGAGAAUAGGCAGCUCUAUGACUCUUCAGUUAUUCAGCUCAAAAUCUGAAGGACAAGGGUGCACGAAUAGUUCUUCAUAUCGUCUCUUUUUUUCUUCGUCAUCCACCAUUUGAAAGGGCAACUCGAAAAACUCUUCCACGAAUCCUGCACUUAGGGCUCUAGGCAAAUCUGGGUAAAUAUGUCUUCCUAAACGAAAAGAAUCAUGAGGUAUGGAAUGACAAUAGGCUCUAACUCGGCUCAUAUCCCCCAAGAUUAGCCAUUCUUUUUUUUUUUAUUCACCAUUUUCAUUCUAUCUCUUCUUGUAGGUUUAUAUCCUAAGCCAAAUCUAUUUUUCUUGUUAUAUAUUGCUAGUGGCUCUAUAAUUCCUUGUAGGUUCCUUUUUAGUCCUGUUUCAAGUUACCAUCCCAUUUUAAUGAUCUAUUUAAUGACCAUUUUAGUAGUCGUAGAUAGGUGUGAUGAAUAUAAUUUAUAUCCUUCAGCCAUAUAUGUUACGUUAGUAAUCUCAAAAGAUCUAUACGAGCACUCUAGGACUUCAUCUAUUGCUUAUACAAUAGGAGUAUUUAUCGAUUGGGUGACCAGUAAAUCUUCUUUUCAUACCACACAUGUCAAUUUUCCAUCAAUAAUCAAUUUGACUUUUUGAUGCAAUUAGGAUAAAACAGCACCUGCCAUAUGAAUCCAUGACCUUUUCAAUAAUUAAUUGUAUGAGGGAGAGAUAUCCAUAACUUGGAAUUUCACGUUGAAAGUGCAUGAGGCCAAUUUGUAAUGGCAUUUCUAUGUCUCUCAGCACCUCUCUUCGGGUCUCAUCAAAGGUUCGAACUAUCAUAUGACUAGAUUUUAUGUAAGAUUCAUCCACAGGUAAUUUUGCCAAAGUAGUCAUGGGUAUAAUAUUGAUGGAUGAGCCAUUAUUAAUUAAAACUUUAGCCAUUAUAUGACUCUUGUAUUUCAUAGUAACAUGAAGAGCCUUGGUACUUUCUUGACAUUCAAGAGGAAUCUUUUCGUCACUAAAAGAGAUAUAAUUUGAAAUCAUUAGAUUACUAACAAGCUGUUUUAUAUAUUCAACAGAGACAUUAUGGGACACAUAUGCUUGAUUAAACACCUUCAAUAAAGCAUUACAGUGUGACUCUGAGCUUAGCAAUAAUGAUAAUAGCGAAAUUCUAGCUAACAUCUUGUUCAACUAUUCUACCACGUUAUACUCGCUAUGUUUUAUUAACUUUAAAAAUUUACAAGCUUCACUCUCAGAGACUAGCUUCUGACAUUCUUUUUCUGGGGCUGUGGCAAGAUUAUUUUGACUUUUCUCUUUUUUUUUUUACCUUUGCUUUCUCUUUUCUGGCUUUCUUUAAAGCUUUUAGAGUAUAACAUCUUUCACUUCGAGUUAUACCUUCUACGCCCGUUAUGUUUAUAAUAUCUGGAUUGACUACGACAUCACAAUCAUACUUUUAUGGUAUUAUUUUGUCAUUCUAGUAUAAAAUAAGGCCAAGAACUUUAAUUGUCACUAUUGGUCGAGAGAUGGGUUUUUUUGGCCUCGGUGUUGACUUUUCAUCAUAAUAAAUUGUUAUUGGUCUACGUACAAACUUAUUCUUUGAAUCAAUGGUAGACACUUCAGCUUUUAUCAACUCUUCUCUUUCUUUGUAAAACUCUAUCUGACCUAUAUCCAUAAACUUUUGCACCUCUUAAUGAAAUUGGUGACAACUCUCGAUAGAAUACCCCAAAGCCCCUCUAUGAUAAUUAUAGCUCUUAGUUGAGUUAAUAGCUUCAGAGCAAUUCUGAAGUUUUAUUGACUUUAACAUGUUAGCUUUGACUAAGGCUUCAAACACUUUACCCAUAGGAGUUUUGACCUCUUUUAUCCCUCUUUUCACAUAGCUUGCUUGCCCAUUAAUCAAAGCAUUUAUCGAUGGCCUAAUAUAGUUCGGUAGAGGGUUCUUAUUAACAUUUGGAGUUUCUCGUUGGCUGGUUUCAAAAUUUAACACCUCUUCAUUGAUUAAUCUUUGUACUUUACACUUCAAAAUAGUACAGUUCUCAGUAAAAUGACCUGAGUUUCCAUAAUGAUAAUCAUAAUGUGCAUUAGGGUCAUACCAUUUAAGAAACGAAGGUUUCAAAGGCUCAAUAAUAACUGGGGCUAGUAAAUGUUUCUCGAUAAAUUGAGGAUAUAAAUCUAUGUAUGUCAUGGAUAUGAGGUUGAUGUGGGUUUUCCUGGAUUUUUUUAGGGUUUUUGGACCAUUAUUUGGACUAAGUCUCUAUUCUGGUUUUGCAGGUAUAGUAGGACGAUUGUAAGAAUAUGUGGGUGUCUGAAAAGAUAGCUAAAAUUAAUAUAGAUAAGCUGGUUGUGGUAAUGGUUGGUAUGGCUAAUAUGGAUAAAGAGUGGGCGUAAUAUUAUUUAUGAGAGGAUAAUGGGUUUGGUAGAUUAGUGCAGGAUAAGGUGUGAAACCUUUGAACUGUUACACCACAUAGUUCACCGCUUGAGCUUCAUUCUCUUUCUUUUUGGGAACUCCAUCUUUUUUUACUCCACUUGUCUCUCCUGCAUCGAGCUUACCAUUUUUUAUAGUAUUUUCAAUAAUCUCACUCGAUAUCAUCAUAUCUAUAAAGUUUUUGGUUGCAUUGCCUAUCGUCUCUCAUAGUGUGAUACUUUUAAAGUAUUAAUAAAUAAGACAGUUAUUUUUUUCUCUGUGAAAGGAGGUUGAACUUAUGCAGCCACAUCUCUCUAUCUCUGUGCAUACUCUUUAAAACUUUCUAUUACUUUUUUUCAUACUUUAUAGAGAUAGAUAGUCUAAAACCAGAUCCAUGACAUGCCGAUAUUGUGUAAGAAAUGCCCUUGUGAGCUUUUGCUAGGAAUGAAUACAAGUUUUAUCUUGUUGAACAUACCAUCUAGCUACAGAUCCUAUAAGGUUAUCUUAAAAUACAUGCAUCAACAACUUUUCAUCACGAGCAUGUGCUGUCAUCUUACGAUAAUACAUGGUGAUAUGGGUUAUCGGGCAUUUUGUGCCAUCAUAUUUUUCAAAUUCAAGGACUUUAAAUUUAGGUGGAAUGACCACGUUUGGGACCAAACAAAGGUCGGCUGCAUCUGUGGAGCAAUAAAAAUUUAUUUUCUCUACGGCCCUAAGUCUUUCUUCUAAUACUUUCAUUUUUUAUUGGGCACUAGUAUCUUCUACUUUCUUGAUUGUCUUUAUCCCUAGCUUUUUUCUCUCAUUAGGAUCAUCCAAGUCAGGGAUCAAGAUUGGCUCGGGUGAUUUUUCCAUCAUAACGGGAUUAACAAAAUUUUGAAAUUAUCCUAGAGUAAGUGUGGAUGUCAUUCCUGGAUAAGGAUUGGGAUAUCCACUAGGAGUAGAAAUUUAUACUUUAGUUCCUUGAAAAAGUUAGGUCAAUCGUGGCUCAAACCUUGAAAGGUAAACAGGAUCUUUCAUAUCUGACGAUUACUCUUGAAAGCUGAUAUUUUCUUCCACUACUUUUCCAUUGUCAAGUUUUUUAAGCAUAACUAUUAUUACAUUGAGAUCUCUUCUUAGUUCUUAUUGAGCUUUCUCGAUUCUUUUAAAUCGACUAGCCUAUUUUUGCUCCAUGAUUCAUGUUUGAGUCUUAGUAUUGUAUGAAUGAUGAAUAGAUUGGGUCAAAAUUUUUAAUGGACGAGCUAUUCUUGAACUUUUAUUACCAUAAUGUUUUUUUUUUUUUAAAUUAGAAUGCUAUGUGUUGAAAAUUUUAUUUUUUUCAUUUAUUUUAUGAAAAUGAUGUACAUGAUGCAUGAAUACAAGUGAGAGAUAUUUGCUCUUAGAUGAAUUUCAACAUUAGAAAUUUUUAUUGAUUCCAUACAACUUUUAUUAUAUGAAAUUUUCCAUCAUAGAAUUAUAUCCAUAGAAGCAUUUAACUUGUUCAUAAUGGUCCUUUGCCUUGUCUAAAAAGUUCACUAGGUGUUGUCCAUAUUUUUCUAUGGGAUUGACUUCUCUUCUUAAUGCUUCUACCUUUUCAACCAUUUCUCAUGCUUUCUUCACUGCCUUGCAAACUUGAUUAGUCAGGUGCUCUAUGUACUGUUGCCUCCCUAAGUUUUUUGCUUUUCAUUUCAUAUGAGCAUCCUUUUCUGAAUCACAUGUGAAGAUCUAAUCUUUUUUCCUUCUAUGCCAUUAAUCUAUUAUUGCUAAAAUAUGGCUCUUGUGGUCUUGCACUUGCAUCUCUAACCCUUGGAUCACUUGGUGAAGUGAUUCUUUUUCAUUUAGUAUUUCAAAGUGCUUUCUUUUCUCUUUUACGAGCAUGGCUUUCAACCUUUCCUUUUUUUUUUAGCAUUCCAUCAAUCUUGCUGAGGUUGUAGAGUAUAAACCCUUCUAAUUUUAACAUUUUUGAGAAAUUUUGAUGAUCUUCUUUUGCUUUUCUUGAGCUUUGCCUUUUCAUUAGUUCAUUUCCUCUCGGAGCUCAUCCAUUUCAUGUUAUCGACUAAGAUAAGACUUGGUGACUUUUUUUAUUUUGAAUUGAACUCGUAAUCUCUUAUUUUUUUGGUGUAGAUCUUUCAAAUUAUUAUUGGUCACAUCUCAUUCUUUUAUGCUCUUUUCUAAUCUGCUCCAUUAUAUUUCUGCUUCAUAUUUUAAUUGUCUCAUCUUUUCGUGAAGUCUUAAAUUUUUUUAUUUUUAUUUCUUCUUUUUCAGCUUCUAAUUCUUUCUUGACAAGCUCACCUUCUAAUAAUUAUACUUUUGUCGAAAGAUUAGUCGAUUGGUAUGAGCUAUCAUCAGGAGGAAGUACUAUGUCUGUAGGUCAUUUUGCUUUUCAAAUAUGAUAGUCAGCGGUGACUUUAUCGAUGAAAUGCCCUAAUCUCAUUCUUCAUAUUUUCUUUCAUGCUUGAAUCAACUGCUCUGAGAUUCUUGGUGGAUUUGGUUCCCUGUAAAUGAAUUCUACCUGAACCAAGCCAUGAGUAGCAAGAACAAACUGCUUUGCACCAAAUUGUCUAAGCACCAUCAAUGAAGCGUAACUUAUAACACCCCAUAACCCUAACAGUGGUAUCCACGGUUCGUUUUCUCCAUGAUGCAACAAAGGCACACAAGGCAUCCAAGGUACCAUUAAUUCAAUUUCAUCCCCGAUAAACCUUCGUAACAAAAAGACCCACUCUUCUUUAGUCUUUAAUGUUAGCUAUUUACUUUGUAGAACUCUUCAAUUGGUGCUUUGUUUCAUAGAUACGGCUUUGAAAAUACACUUUUCUAACACUUGAAAUGACUUUAACCAACACAUAUAAUAGCGAUGCACAUCCUAUGAACUGUCUUUUUCCAUUUCGUCGACAGAAAUUCAAUGACCGGAUGGUUUCUGCCAAGACUGCUGGUGUAGGAUUAAUUGUUUAGGUUUCAAUUUGCUUGAAAAAAACUCACCACAGUUAUCUCGAUGUAACCUAAAGUCUUCGAAAAAAUCACCAUGCCAUACAAUGCUAGAGCAAACACAGCCAUGCCUUGGUCAUCAUUUAAAUUCUCCUGAAUGAAGUUUUAGAGAAAGUCCCAAUGAAUGCUGAGAUGUUCACCUUUAGGCUUUGCGAAGGAAUCAAUGGUUUCUACUUUAACCCCCAUAAGCUUGGCCAACUUUUUAUGAUAACCUGAUUUUGAUUUUCGAGUAAAUACUUUAUCUGGACACUGUAGUUCUAUUUCAAGCAAAAUCACAUACUCUUCAAUAGUUGACACCAAAUCUUUCUAAUUAAAAGUGAAGCAUCUAUAGGAUGGAUCUCAAAAUUGUAUAGCUAUCCUGACUAGCUGUUCAUCGAUCACUACUGAAAUAAGAGAUGCAAUCUACCCAUACUUCUUGUAAAAAUUUUCUUUUAUUUCUUAACUUAACUGACCUUGGAUAGCAGCUAAGUCUUCUAAAUCAUUCUGUGUGAGAUCUAAAUGCACCUUUUUGGGUAACUCAAACACAUGGCUGAUAGACAAACAAUCUCCAUUCUUUUGUUGGACUUCUUUCGAUCAAAUAUAUACUUCAUUAUACGGCUCACAUAGGACACUAAGUAAGAAUGAGCAAAUCUGUAGUUCUACAGGAUCCAUGAAAACUUCUUGGAAGAAAUAUGUCCUAAAGCAAAUAUCUCAAUACAAAAUUGUAUGAUAUGAUUAAUGCAAAACAAAAUUGAGUUAGUGUAAGGAUGCGAUUUGAGAAAAAAUAUUUGUUAAGUUGAGUUUUGAGAUUUUUUUUGUUUUGUUUUGUUUUGUAUUACACAUAACUUUUAUUCUUAGGUAUUUCCUACAAGAAGGUGGACGAGGCUCUACCUACGGCUAGUUUUUUAGGCUUAUUACAUGCUGAAUUUGGAUUGACAUGUGUCUAAAAGUUCCUAAAUUGUUUCUCACUGUCGUCCACGUUGGAUUAGUGAGGCACCUCAAUCCUCAACUAUUACAGGCUAUAAACAAAAAAAAGUUUAAUUUAAGUGAAAGUAUUUGGCUUACCAUUGCAGAGGUUAUCACCUUACGAGGGCAUAAGUACUUUACUUCCUCCUAUAAGGGACGAAACUUGGGUAUAAAGCUUAGGCAUGAGAUGCAUCAUGUUAUUGUGUGUGUAAGUAUAUAUAGAAAAAUAAAGCAUAAGAGGCAUAGUGAAAGAAAUGUAAGUGAAAUUUUUUCUUUUUGUUUUUGAUUUUUUUUACCUUUUUUGUUAAAAGUGAAAAAUAAAAAUGUAAGAAACCGAUUAGGACUGUUUAAAUCAAAAUUUGAAGAUAACACAUAGUUAGUUUUGGCUUGACUCUCGAAAACAAAAGAUAUCCCCAGUGGGGUCACCAAGCUGUCGCAACGAUUUUAUGUCCGUCCGACAAAUUUGGAAACAAAAUAAAAAAUAACGGAGUCGUCACCAAUCUUUUUUGGAUAGGUGCGACUGGCCACCUAUUAAAACAUAUCAUUUUAAUGAAAUCUUAAAAUUAAUUAAAAUUUAUUAAAAGGAUAAUUUUAGGAUCUACGCAACAGUCUGGGUUCAAAAGUCAGUUAUGUGUGAGGAAGGAUUGGCACCACCACAACGUCCAUUUAAAACGGUAUCAAUUAAUUACGUUUUAUCCAUUGAUUUUGAUAAAAACAAUCUUAUUUUCAGUGUUUGAAAAAUAAUUUUCUUGAUUGUUCAUUUAUUAGUUUUUUUUUUUUAUAUUAUUCGAGAAAAAUAAAUUAGAACCUUUUUGUUGAAAUAAUUUUUAAAAUGUUUCAGUACGUUGGUAACAUUAGAAAAACUUUUUCUCACUUAGAGAUUUCUCAGGCAUCACUUCUUGGAAUACCACAGAAUCUCAUCUUUGGAGGAUCAAAUUUACUUUUCGUAAAAAAAAAUUAUGCCAUGCAUGCAAUGCAAAUAAUAACAUGUUGAUGCACACAUUUUAUUUUUUAUUUUAGAAAUUUUAUUAAUUUUUUAUUUUUAAUUUAAAUUUUUGAAGAAAAGAAUUUUUAUUAUAUUGAAGUUUUUCUAUAAAUAUUUCAAUACACUGGUAAUAUUUAAAAAAAAUCUUCUCACCUAGGGAUUUCGUAAAGCAUCACUACUCGAAAUACUUUUAAAAUCUCAUCAUUGGAUAAAAUUUCCCUUUUCCUUAUUUAUAUUAUUAUUAUUUUAUAAAUUAAUUAAUUUUUAUUUUUUAUUAACAAAAAAAAAAUUUAUUGUAUUGAAAACUUUUUAUAAAUAUUUCAAUACACUGGUAGUAUUUUUAAAAAAAUCUUCUCACCUAGAGAUUUCGUAGGUAUCACUACUCGGAAUACCUUUGAAUCUCAUCGUCGAAUAAAAAUUUCAUUUUCUUACAUUUUUUAUUAUUUUUUAAAUUAUUUAAGGUUUAUUUUUAUUUUUGUAGUUUAUUUUAAAAUUAUCAAAAUUAUAAAAAUUUUAACAAAAUUUAUUCUGACAAAUUCAAAUAAUUUAAUAUGCAUAAAUAUUACAAAAAUAACUUAUAAAAAAAUAAAUAAUUUUGUUAUCUGAACUAGACCUGUCAACACGGGUCCAAUCAGUUUAGCGACUUGGUCUGGUUUGAUUGGUUCAGCAGUUCGAGAUCGGUCUGACUCGGUCUGGGUCUAUUCAAUUAUACAGGUUAGAGAUUGAGGGAUGGACGGGUCAUUAGGUCGGGUGCGCGGACUCCGGGUCAGAUCACAGGUUAAUGCGCGGAUCUUCAAGGGCUAAAACGACGUCGUUUUGGUUUUUAUUGAAACGUCGUCAUUUUGAUUCUAGCCUUUUAUAUAAAAAGCCCUAAAUUUUUUUCGGUCACUUCUUCUUUCUUCUAGAAAAAAAAAAACUCUCUCUCACUCUCUCAGACAAAACCCAAAGGGAUCGACCGGUCGUCCGUCGCCGGUAAUCGAAAAAUUCCAAAAAAACCAAAAUAUUCCUCUUAAUCUCCAAAGUCGGGAUCUGAGGUUAGUUUUACGAAAAUAGGCUCCAAACGGCACAGAUCUGACCUGAAAUGUUUGCUAAAAAAUUUUCUUUUUAUGUUUAUAUUGUUUUUUUUUUGUACUAGCAUUGGGUUCCCCUACCUUGGGGACUGUGGUUUUUUUUUGCUUGGUUUUUUAUGUCAAUUUAAAAAAAAAAUUUUUUGAAUCUGGUAGAAAUUUUUUUGCAGGGUUUCUGGUUUCUUUGAUCGCUCCCCCAUCAUGACAAAAAUGAGCUCUAUUUAUAGAACUUUUUAAGAUUCAAAUUCCAAUUUUUCAGUGGGCCUAGACUUUUAGGUGGCCAAAAUUUAUGCUACUAGGUUAGGUAGGAUUUUAGGCAACUGUUGGUGGUGGCGGUGGUGAUUUUGAACUUUAGGAAGAGUGCAUUUAAUGCACUCAUAUUUUUUGUCAAACUAAUUAGAACAGGAAAAAGAAAAAAGAAGGAAAAAGAAAGAAAGAAAGAAAAACAGAAAAUAGAAAAAGAAAGAAAAAAUAUAAUAAUAAUAAUAAUAAUAAUAAUAAUAAUAAUAAUACAAAUAAUACAAAAUGGUGUUUACAUGUGUGAAAUGCCAAAAUGCGUUUAUUUUUUGCGUUUGUUUAAGACUAUUGUGUUGUUAAAGAACCGAAAUAUAAAUACAUGAUAUUAAAAUUAUUUGAAAAUUUUGAACUUGAUUGACAGACUUGAUAUGUAUGAAUAAAUUUUGGUUGAUAUGUAUCAUAUCAAAUAACAUAUGUUUUUAUAUAGGAGAUUGAGAUAGGCAGUAAAAUUGGACGUGUGAAAUUUUUUUGCUUAACACAAAAAAAAAUGGAUCUUACAUGAAUGUCAAAACACAAGAAAUUGUAAUAAUUUGUAACAUCUAUUUUAACAGAAAGUAAAUAUUUACUCUUUUUAACAUAUUAUCAAUUAAUCAUUAAAUUUGAUAGUUGUAUAUAACUAAUUUACAGGAAAAAGCGAAAGAGAAAAUGGUUGCUGAUAUUGAAUUAGCAUCUAAUGGUUCUCUCAACAUGUAAGAAGAAUUGAAAAAUCGGAUAUUCAUAGAAGUUCUUAGAAAAAAAAGGCAUGGACGGGUCUGAGGCCUUGGAUUGGGUCGAAUACCAUCUAACUACUAUGGACAUAGCUCUUAGCGAUUUACAUUCUUAGUAAGUCAAUCUUCACGAGACAUUUCAAUAUUAAGAGAGGAGUUGCAAACUAUGCAACAAUAUUUCCAGCAAAUGGAAGCAGAAAGAGAACAAAAGCAUGCCAAAAUUGAGGAAGAACGUGCUAGAAUAGAGCAAAAGUGUGACCGUUGCAUGAUCAAUUCAAUCAUCUUAUGAAUUUUGUGCAACAAUAAUUUUCAAGAACUGAUCUCGAUGGUCUACCAACUCAGGUAUUAUUUAGUAAAUAUUUAUAUUUUUUAGUAUAAAAAAAGCUUAUAAUGAAGUGUUAAAAAUUGGUGACAUUGAUAUAGUGACGUUUUUCAGAUACAAAUGCCACUAAUAUAGCGCAUUUUAUAAAAAAACGUCGUUAUUUUUUGUGACACAUGUAUAAUCGAUACUCUAACUGACAUUUUUCGUAAACGCCACAAAUCUUUUAAUGGCUUUUAUAAAUAUCGCUAAACAUUAAAAAUAACGCCACUAAAAACCUAAAUGCCUAUAGUGAAUUCACAUAUAUCAAAUUUUAGACAAAAUACAAUAUUGCAAUGGUGGGAAGGACUCUUCAAGAUGACAAAUUACAGGUAUACCUACAUAUGCAAGAUGUGUCUGGGCAUGUUCCGUUUGGUAAAAACCACUAUUUUUUUUUUUCCGGGAAAUUUCAAUCUAGACAACGAUAGAGAUGUUUUAAUUCCUUGAGUUGGAGUCGCCAUGAAAUUUUUACUUCCAGCUGACUUUUACAUUUGAAUUGUAGACAUCCACAACCUUGUAAAUAGGAUGCUUUGGCUUCAAAAAUUGCCAUAUCAAAAUGGAGAUCAAAACCCAUAGGGUUAUCACUUUUCUCAUUACAUAUUUCCAUUUAUAUUUCUUUGUUCCUAUGUCCAAUUUGUCCACAGCAUCUCAUUCAUCUAAAGGAGGUUUUUUUUUUUUUUCAAUAGUAGUAUAUAUAAUUUUUAUGUUUUAUUUUUCAAAGUUCUUUAAUCUUUUGGUCUAAUAAGUAUAGUUUAAUUUUAAUAGUAAAUGAUUGAAUUAAUUCUUUGAAUAAAAAUAGAUACACUUUAGAAAAAAAAUCAAAUACAUCUAUAGCCAAUUUUUUUUUCUUUUAGUAUAUUGAUAUAUGAAGAUAUCUUCCAAUCUUUUGUUGAAGAGGUUUAAGUACAUGUUAUGGUGUCAUUCAGCCAAAAAAGGCUUAUCAAGUGUUCAGAAGCUAACAUCCUUAGAAUAGUGAAAUAAAGGAAGAUGCAACCACUAAUCAAUCACCGAGGUGAGAUAUUUGAAAUUGUAACCUCAUUGACAGAACAUACUCUAUCCUUUGAAGUGGAUUGAAUUUGUUCUGCAACAUCACGUCCAACAGAAAAUGCAGGUUCUGCUGGUAGAGGAAGUCUUAUGGUCUCGCUUGCCAACAUGACAAUCACAGAUGACAUGGUAGGUCUAUCUGCUGGGUCUUCUUGCACGCACAACAGCCCAAUACGGAUGCGUUUAAGAACCUCAGUGGCCACACAAGACUGAACAAGGAGUGGGUCCAUUAGCUCCAUCCCUCGACCUUUAGACCAUAGUUUCCAUGCCUGUAAGGUUACUUAAAAAUUAGAAUGGUACAGCGCUACGGCCAUCUAUUUUUUGAAGACAAAGAUGGUGUAAAAACGUAUAAACGUUAGGAGGCUUUCACCACGCUCGGAAAGAUGAAAGCCAUUGUUCUUUUUGCCGCUUAUUAUCUCCAGUACGAGGAAUCCGAAACUGAAAACAUCGGAUUUGACUGAAAAAGGUCCUUCCAUAGCAUACUCUAGUGCCAUGUAUCCACUAUUUCAGUUCACAAAAAUAGAUAAAAUCAGGUUAGAUUAUGAAAAUAUUAGAACCAAGAAUCAUUAAGUUUGAACAUUGUGUUGUCACAAAAUUGAAGGUUGAUUACAAAUUUUAGAUAGUAAAGAACAGCCAUGUUCCUCUGCAGAAUAAACCUCAGCAAAGACUGUGAUCCGGUGUACUGCUUUUCCAUUUUACGAGUUCAAUGCUAAUUCUUUCUUUUCAAUAACAUUUUAUUUGACACGGAUGCAAUAUUAAAGAUCAAAAGAAAACUACUGAAGAACCUAGAUUGGUCAAAAAGCAAAAAAAAAAAGAAUUGUGAGCCGAGAAAGUGCAUGGGAUAGUGGAUUUACUAUGUUCCAACCACUCUAUUGGUAUUUGCUUCAUUUUGAUUUCCACCAAAAAUUGUUGCCAUUCCAAAAUCUGAUAUCUUUGGGUUCAUUUCGUGAUCUAGCAAAACAUUGCUAGCUUUAAGAUCCCUAUGAAUAAUUCUAAGACGAGAAUCCUCAUGUAAAUACUGGAUGCCUCGGGCAACGCCAUUAAUAAUGCUAAGGCGCUUCUGCCAAUUCAGUUGCACACCAAUGCUUGAAUCUGGAAAAGAACCCCCCCAAAAGAAUAAUAGUAAUUAGUUGAUUUUUUUUACCAUAUUUCAUGAAGAAUCCUAUUAAAAACGGAAUGAACAAAGCAGAAACAAGAAUUUUAUGUUUGAGGAUCAAACCAAAAAGGAACACAUCAAGGCUUUUAUGGGGCAUGUAUUCAUAAACAAGCAGUUUUUCGUUCUGCUCCAAGCAGCAGCCCAGGAGUUUCACAAGAUUUCCAUGUUGUAGUCAGGCAAUUAACAUGACUUCAUUCUUGAACUCAAGUAACCCUUGCCCAGAAGUUCUAGAGAGCCUUUUAACAGCAAUUUCUUUACCAUCUGCCAAUUUGCCCUAAAAGAAGGAAUUAAAAAGCAUCAUAAAAGAAGUAAUUAUGUGAAGUUGAAGAGGUGCAUCGAAUUUUAUUUUUUAAACUCGAACUCAAUUCAAGGUAAAACUCGAAUUAAGUUCAAACUCGUUCGGUUUUUUUUUAUUUUUGGAUAGUUGACCUUUGUUUUCUUCUCUCUGAAGAAAUUGGACAUUGAAGGCCUUUCUCCUUCGAAGUCGAAAAAUUUGAGAGCGUGAUGUCCACAGAUCAGGAUGAAUAUUCCACUCAAGCACUUGAGGAAUCUGCAGUCCUACUUUUGCCGCAGGAUUUGGAUGAGUAUUGGAGCGAGAUAGUGUUGGAAGAACCCACUUUGAUCUGAUCGAAAUAAAGAAAAGUGUGGGAUCAAUUGGAUGAAAUUGAAGUGGAACAAAUGCACUAAAAACGAAGAAGACAAAGUGAAUUGGAUUGAAUGAGUCUAAGUGUCCGGGGCGAACAUGAUUGGAAAAGACCUCCUAUCCCUAUUCUAGCUCGCCAUUAUUCUUUUUAAAAAAUAAUAACAUAUGCUUACCUUGGGAUGUCUCAAAAAACACAGAGACGUUGGAACCAAGUCUUUUCUCUUGUGACUUGUGUAAUAGUGCCAGGGGGGAGAGGAAAGUCAUGAAAUUGAAAGAGAAGAAAAGAGCCAUGAGAUUGAAAGAGAUAGGGAUAGCGUUGCUGGGGGAGAGGAGAGUUGUGAGAUUAAAAGAGAUAGGGCUGGAUUUAUAUUUUAAAAGUAAAAUUGUAAUUUAUAAUUAAAAUAAUAAAAUAUAUAUUAAAAUAAAAAAAUUCGAUAAACUUGCGAACAACUCGAGUAAAGUAUUAAUAUUCGAAUUUGAUUCGUUCAAUAAGUUAAGUUACUCGAGUUCAAGCUCAAACUCGAUUCGACAAUAAUCGAGUCAAAUUCAAAUUUUUUUCAAAUUAAAACCAAAUAGCUUACGAGUAUAAAUAUAUCAUUUAUGCCCUUAAUCUAAAAAAAGUUUUUUUCUUUUUCAAUAGUAGUAUAUAGUAAUUUUAAUGAUUUAUUUUUCGAAGUUCUUUAAUCUUUUGUUGUAAUAAGUAUAGUUUACUUUUAAUAGUAAAUUAUUGAAUGUAAUUCUUUGAAUAAAAAUAGAUAUACUUUUGAAAAAAAUCGUAUAGCCAAUUUUUUUUUUUCUGUUGUAUAUUGAUAUAUGAAGAUAUCUCCCAUUCUUUUGUUGAAAAGAUUUAAGUACAUUUAUGGGUGUCAUUCAACCAAAAAAGGCUUAAUAAGUGUUCAGUGAAAUAAAGAAAGAUGCAGCCACUAAUCAAUCACCGAGGUGACAUAUUUGAAAUUGUAACCUCAUUAACAGAACAGAUUCUAUCACUUGAAGUGGAUUGAGUUGGUUCUGCAACAACACGUCCAACAGAAAAUGCAGGUUCUGCUGGUAGAGGAAGUGUUAUGGUCUCGUUUGCCAACAUGACAAUCACAGAUGACAUGGUAGGUCUGUCUGCUGGGUCUUCUUGCAGGCACAACAGCCCGAUACGGAUGCAUUUAAGAACCUGAGUGGGAACACACGACUGAACAAGGAGCGGAUCUAUUAGCUCCAUUCCUUGACCUUUAGACCAUAGUUUCCAUGCCUGUAAUGUUACUUAAUAUUAGAAUGGUACAGCCUUACAGCAAUCUAUUUUUUGAAGACAAAGAUAGGAUAAAAACGUACAAAGGUUAGGAGGCUUUCACCACGCUCCGAAAGAUGAAAGCCAUUGUUCCUUUUGCCGCUUAUUAUCUCCAGUAAGAGGACUCCGAAACUGAAAACAUCGGAUUUGACCGAAAAAAGUCCUUCCAUAGCAUACUCUGGUGCCAUGUAUCCACUAUUUCAGUUCAUAGGAAUAGUUAAAAUCAGGUUAGAUUAUGGAAAUCUCAGAACAAAAAAUCGUUAAGUUUGAAUAUUGUGCUUUCAUAAAAUUGAAGGAUGAUUACAAAUUUUAGAUUGUAAAGAACAGUCAUGUUCCUCUUCAGAAUAAACCUCAGCAAAGACUGUGAUCUGAUGUAUUGCUUUUCCAUUUUACGAGUUCAAUGCUAAUUCUUUCUUUUCAAUAAAAUUUUAUUUGACACAGAUGCAAUAUUAAAGAUCAAAAGAAAACAAAUGAAGAACCUAGAUUGGUUAAAAAAAAAAAGGAACUGUGAGCCUAGAAGGCAUGGGAUAGUUGACUUACUAUGUUCCAACCACUCUGUCUGUAUUUGCUUCAUUUUGAUUUCCACAAAAAAUUCUAGCCAUUCCAAAAUCUGAUAUCUUUGGGUUCAUCUCGUGAUCUAGCAAAACAUUGCUAGCUUUAAGAUCCCUAUGAAUAAUUCUAAGACGAGAAUCCUCAUGUAAAUACAGGAUGCCUCGGGCAAUGCCAUUAAUAAUGCUAAGACGCUUCUGCCAAUCCAGUUGCACACCAAUGCUUGAAUCUGGAAAAGAAACCCCCAAAAGAAUAAUAGUAGUUAGUUGACUUCUAACCAUAUUGCAUGAAGAAUCCUGUUAAAAAACCGAAUGACACAAGAAUUUUUUGUUUUAGGAUCAAACCAAAGAGGAACACAUCAAGGCUUUUAUUGGGCAUGUAUUCAUAAACAAGCAGUUUUUCGUUUUGCUCCAAGCAGCAGCCCAGGAGUCUCACAAGAUUUCUAUGUUGUAGUCUGGCAAUUAACAUGACUUCAUUCUUGAACUCAAGUAACCCUUGCCCAGAAGUUCUAGAGAGCCUUUUAACUGCAAUUUCUUUUCCAUCUGCCAAUUUGCCCUAAAAGAAGGAAUUAAAAAGCACCAUAAAAGAACUAAUUAUGUGAAGUUGAAGAAGUGCAUUGUAUACUAAAAAGUAUAAUACUCCAUCACCAUAGUUACCUUGUACACAGGGCCAAAUCCACCUUCUCCAACUUUAUUUUCAUCACAAAAUUGUUUUGUUGCUGUUUGUAAUAUAUCUAACUGAAUCGAAGGGAACUCCAUGGAUCUCACCCCACUCUCACCUUGAAAAUUUUCAAUUGAGUAGCCGUCGCCAACCCUUUCUUCUAAUUCAAGUAACUGAACUUCUUGGCUGUUAUGAUCUGUACUCUCUUCAAGAGAAAACAAUUAAUUGGCAUAACAACAGAGUCAAGAAAAAAUGAGGUGGAAGUGUGAUCCAAUGCAUACCAUGAAAAUUUCUCCUUCUCCAACGGAAAAUACCUCCACAACAGAACAGAGUGACGCCAAAAAUCGCGGAUAAAUUUGCAACAAUAGGAAUCCACUUUGGUUCAAUAGGAAUCCACUUUGGUUCGCCUUGUUUGCCACCUUCUAAGUCUGUUACUCCAAAACAAAGUUAUCUUCCAGUUGAUUUUUAGUGGAAUAAAUUUCUAAUUUUUGUAUUCUUCUAGUUGUUUCUGUUUUGCAGAUAUUAAUUAAUUUGUAAUUAGUUUCUGUAGCAGGUAUUUUUCCUACUUUCUUUUUUGAUGGAUCAAAAUUUCAGUAAUUAAAAAUUAGGCAAGCUUAAUUCUCUAGCAUCUGAUGAUACUAACCGUUUGAGCCACGUGGUUUGUUUACUGAAGGAAGGGGUGCUUCUGAUUCAACUCCAGGACUCUUGAUUAUCGUAGUGUUUGUUGAUUCGUCUCGAGGUUUUCCAUAAAAUGGAUAUAUCUCAUACCUGAUGCUACAGCUUGGUAGGAAAACUCUCGCACCUUUUCUUCCAGUCGCUAAAGAUAGGAUUUUAGCUAUUGAGCUACGUAGACAAGAUUGACAAUCGGCAACUGACAAAUCAGGGGUGCAUUGAGCAAGUCCAUACAGCUUCGUGGAAUUUGAAACACUAACUUCUGUAGUUGCAUACAUGUAGUUAGAAACAUUUGAAAUCUUCGUGAUCAGAUUGGCGAAAGUCUCGAGCAGAUUAGUUUCAAAUUUGUCAAUGUCCGUUGCAUUUGCACGAUUAUACAUACCAAAAGAAGGUGAUAGCUCCAUGAUAGAGAAGAAAGAUCUAUUGGAAAAGCGCACCAGGCAUGCAUCAUAAUAUAUGAUCGCCUCUUUGUCACCAGCGCAAUCCUCUACGAUCUUAGCGGUUGCUAAGUCAAUGCAGCUUUCACAGAAAUUGGGUUGGACAUCACCUCUACAGAGGAAAAGGCCAUAAACCUUGUCUUGAUUUUCCCCAACCGUAUCGUUAAAGAAACCAUAGAUACUUCCUUGGCCAUAAAGCCGCUGGAUAAGAAGGUGGUAAAGGUUGUUCUCGAACCGAAGACUAGAAUUAAAUCUUUCUGAGCAUCUUGUAUAGAGAUAAGAGUGCUGCAUUUCGGACUUGUUUUGUGAGAUAACAAGGAGCGGAGAAGAAAGAAAGAGAAGCAGGCAAAAUGCGCCUGAAACAGAAAGAACAACAUAAUAGUGCAUCAUCUUCUUCCAAUGUUUUUCAAUAAUUCAGAAAUCUGAAGUUUUAAGGCCAUAAUUUAUACGGAAUGGGUUAUUAACUGAGAUUAAGAGGCCCUCCUCGACAAAUUGACAUUUGACUUCUAGAGUUCCUUCUGGCGACAAAAUUAUCUCCACUCGAUGGUCUUUUACCUCGUUUGGCAAACACGUUACACACUGUUUUCUCGUUAACGUGCAUUUUGCAUGUGAAUAAUAUUUUUGUUAGUAUUUUAAUAAAAUAAAUAUUAUUAAUUGUUUUGAUCACCAUGAAAAUUUCCGAUUAAUUAUUUAUGUUAUGUUGUUAACAAGUUUUUACUUUGCUAAGCUAAUUAUUUUUGUCUAAGUUUAUUAAUUUUUAUGGUUUACCACUUUGUUAAAGCUUAAUUUAUUACAAUAGAAUUUAAAAUUUGAUCAUAAGGAAAAGGUUAAUAUAAUCUUCGUACCAUAAAAUUUUUUUUCUUCUAUAAAAGAGAUAUAUGCUUUCAUUCUAUGAAUAUAACUAAGGUUACUAUAGAAUCAGCUUUAAGCAUAUAUUACGUAUUAAUUUAUUAUUAUAUAAUAUAAUAUAAUAAGAGUACUUUUGCUUACCAAUUAACGUGAUGGAGUGACAUAAUAUCAUUGAUAUUUCUUGAGGUGAUGUGAUUACUCUUUCGAGAAGUGAUGUAAUAUCCAAACAGAUGGAGAAUUAGCCGCCAAGUACAAUCACUUAGACGCGCCGUGCGAGACAUCAAAAAAUAUUUUUAUUUCUAGAUUUGUAAAUUCUCCCUUAAAAAUUAUAAAUAAUUUUUUACUGUUAAAUUUUGCUAACAAAAGUCUUCAAAAAACAUUUUAAAAUUAUUAUGUUAAAUAAUAUUUUAUUUCAAUAUAUUGAAAAUUAAUAUAUUAACUGUCAAUUAUUCAUUAAAUAAAGAUAUUAUUAUAAAUAUAAUAUUAAUUAAUCUUACAAAUUUCUUAAAAAUACUCGAGAUAACAAAACUUUCUAUUAUUUAUUAUAUCAUUUCUUAUUAUUAAUACCAAACACUUCCUUAGAAAAAGAAAACAUAGCAAACACUCCCUUGAAAAAGGAAAGCAUUUAAACUUCCUGGAAAACCAGUAGGCCAGUCACGACAUUGUAAUUUUCAUCUUAAAUUGGAUCAAUUGACAAUUUGUUGUGUGUACAGAGCAGAGUUUUCCGCAUGCACCCCACAACUAUGCUUUUCAGCUAAAGCACAAAAUCAAACUCUUAAGGGGCCCAUGGAUAUUUCUAUUAAGACCUGCAUCAAGACCAAUUGUAUGAUACAAAAUGGGAAAGGAAAUUGUGGCACUUUUAAAGGUUUUGCAGAGGAUAGAAAAUUAAAAAGAUAAAAAAAAUUGAGAGAGAAAAAAAAUCCAAAUUAAGAUGGAAAAACUAUGAUUUUUUCUUGGUGUGAUUUGGUAAGAAAAAUUAAAAAGUGGAUGGAAUUAAAAUAAUUUUAUUAGAAUCAGCUCUAAAAAUGAAAAUCUCGAAUUUAAACUUUAAUUAUAAUUAAAAUAAUUUUCUUUUACAUCAUUUAAUUAUUUGAUUGAGUUAAAAAAUAAUAUUAUUUCAUCAUAUAUAUUUUAAGUAAAAUAAAACAAUUCUAAAAGUAAAUAAAUAUUUUAUGGAUUUAUAAUAUUUGACUCCUUUUUAUUUUCUCUCGUUUAUUUUUUUAUUUCAAAUGUUUUAUUUAUGAAUAAAAAUAAAAAAUGGCAAUCUCUUUUAUUAUUAUUAUUUUUUUUUUUUUUUUAUGAUAUCAGCUCAACUGCAGCUUAAUUAACCUAAAGGUGAAGCUUAAAUAUUAUGAGUUAUAAAUCCUAACAGGCAGUUACUAUCGAGCAAUUUCGGGGAAGAGACUUUCAAGUGAAGGUCAUAUAUACUAUUACAGACUUUCUUAUUCAGAGUUUUCUGGUAAAACUAUGUAGAAAAUAUAAAUGCAACGAAUUAAUAGGUCUUACGUAUCAAUUAAUGUGUGACUUUUGCGGUUGAAGUCGAUUCUAACGCGCAGUUGAAUAUUAUUUUCCCAACAAGACGCAAAUGGAAAAUUCAAGGGAAAGAAAACGCAAGAGAAAAUCAUUGAUUCUACGUACAACUUCAGGCAAAUAAAGAAAUGGGCGGUAAACUUUAUCAACAAUUGGAGUUGUUCCAGGAAGGUACGUUUAGCCCUUUCACCACUCUAAAGCCGACGAUGCACUGGAUAUCUUGACCUGGCCAAAACAGAAAGUUCAAUGAUCAACGAACGGCACUGGAUAUCUUGUCUUGUCUGAAUUUGUCCAUAAAUAUUAGAAGUACUAAUAAUGCUAAAAUAACAAAAAAAAGUCUCUUAAAUUUCAUAACUUUAAUUAAAUAAAAUUUUAUAUUUUUAUUAUUUAAUUUCCACUCAUAUAAUCUUUUAACAUUUAAUUUGUAUGUAAAUAACUUAUUAAACUUUUAAUUUAUACAUAAAUAAUUCCUUAAUAUAAAUCAUUCUUUUAUUUUAAAUGAAAACUUAUUUACAUACAAAUCAAAUUCUAAGAAUUUAUUUGGAUAAAAUAAAAAUAAAAGAGUUUAUUUAAAAAUAAUGAAAUAAUUCAAAGAUUUUUUUUAAUAUUUUGGCUUAAUAAUAAUUAUGUCUUGCAUACGUACUUGUGAUACAAUUAUUAAAACCUGGUAAACUGAAAUAGGUGUCGAGCAUUUAUGAAUUAAAAGGGUGUAAAUGUUAGAUGGCCCCUUAACAGAACAAUCUCAUCAAUAGUCUUGUUACAUUUGAUUUAAACAAAAAGGAAUAGAAAUUUUGAACAUUGAACUUUUAUCCUAUCAAGAAGAAUUUACAGUAGGUAGAUUAAAUUCAUCAAUUUUUUUACUCGGCUAAAUAUAUUCAGCGGGCUGAGAUAUUAGAUAUUGUCUUGUGAUUUAUUGAUGAAUCUGUUGCAGAAAGACUGGUCAACAGGAAUUAAUAACUCUGCCAACAGGAAAAUGCGGGUCUUUUUGGUUCAGGAAGAGCAAAUAAGGUUCCACUAGUUCCAGUUCUUUUCCUUCCUUCUUUACAUGGUCGCCAGGCCUGCCAAUGAAUUCACAUAUAUCAAAUUUUAGACAGAAAUAUUGCACUGAUGGGAAGGACACUUCAAUUUUGAUGACUAAUUACAGGUAUACCCACAUAUGCAAGAUGUGUCUGGGCAUGUUCCGUUUGGUAAAAACCACUAUUUUUUUUUCCGGGCAAUUUCAAUCUUGACAAUGAUAGAGAUGUUUUAAUUCCUUGAGUUGGAGUCCCCAUGAAAUUUUUACUUCCAGCUGAUUUUUACAUUUGAAUUGUAGACAUCUACAAACUCGUAAUAGGAUGCUUCGGGCUCAAAAUUAGCCAUAUCAAAAUCGAGAUCAAACCCCAUAGGGUUAUGACUUUUCUCAUUACAUAUUUACAUUUAGAUUUCUUUGUUCCUCUGUCGAAUUUGUCCCUAGCAUCUCAUUCAUCUAAAGGAGGUUUUUUUUUUUUUUUUUCAAUAGUAGUAUGUAAUAAUUUUUAUGUUUUAUUUUUCAAAGUUCUUUAAUCUUUUGGUCUAAUAAGUAUAGUUUAAUUUUAAUAUUAAAUGAUUGAAUUAAUUCUUUGAAUAAAAAUAGAUGCACUUUUGAAAAAAAAUCAAAUACAUCUAUAGCCAUUUUUUUUUUCUUUUGUAUAUUGAUAUAUGAAGAUAUCUCCCAUUGUUUUGUUGAAAAGGUUUAAGUACACGUUAUGGUGUCAUUCAGCCAAAAAGGCUUAAUUAAUAUGCAAAUAAUGGAUAAUAAGUUUUAUUAUUGAUGGAAUUAAUUACAAGUAUAAUUAAUUUUAAUAGUAAAAUGAUUGAAUUAAUUCUUUGAUAUAAAUAUAGAUACACUUUCGAAAAAAUAAUCAAAUCCGCAUAGCCAAUUUUUUUUUUUCAUGCAAUAGAAUAUGUGUGAGAUAUCUCCCAUGUUUCUGUCUGAAUAAGGUUUAAUACAUUUUAUGGUGUCAUUCUACCAAAAAGGCUUAAUAAGUGUCCAGAAGCUAGCAUCCACUAUAGGAGAUUAGGUCUUUAGUAAGUUUUUUUUUUUUUUUUUUUCAUGUUUAGCAACGUUUAUAAACUCCUUUAUAUGAUUUGCAACAUUUGUAAAAAACGUCGUUAAAAGUGUCAGUUAUACUUACGUCGGAAAAAAUAAUGACAUUUUAUAAAUUUCACGAUGUUUUUGUACUAAAAUGCCUCUAAAUUUACUAAUUUUAUGGCAUUUCUAUCUAGAAAUAUCACUAAUUUAGUAACAUUUUUUGAGAAACGUCGUUAAGUUUAGCGAUAUUUUUAGUAAAAAUGCUGCUAAAUUUAAUAGUUUUUUUGCAUACAAAUGCCGCUAAAUGAGAUAAUUUACUUUUUUUUAAAGAUUUACUGUUAUAAUUAAAUAAAAAAUAGAUAAAUAUUUUUAAAAUCAUAAAAACAAAUUUAAAUUCAUAAACUAAAUAUUAUAAAUAUCUAAAUAUUUAAAUAUAUAAUUUGUUUCAGUAUGCAUGUAACACAAAGUUUAAUAAGAAAAUUACAACAUUAAUUUUUCAAAUAUUCGAUUAUAUAUAUUUUGUGUUUUCAGAGAACUAGAAGUUAAAUUGGUGUAACAUGUUUGCUCUAGGUGUUGAGUCUCCUUUUAUAAGGAACCCAAAAUUCUAGCCAUCAAAGCCAGCUAACUUCAGGUAAAAACAACAGUACCACACCAAAUUUGAACCAUAAAAUAUAGAUACUUUCAAUUUAUUAAAUGUAACUUAUUGCUUUCAAUUUGUUCUUUAUACCAAUUUCAGCCUAGAGAAAUCUUAAAAAAGAGACAAACUACAGCUAAGAUUUGAGUGUACCUAAAUAAAUUUACUGUCAAGGAAAAUAAUGAUAACUCUACCCAAUUGAUCUUUGUUGACUGCAAACUACAAACGAUUUUACCAACAAACCAAGCUUUGCCUCAAGCUCUGCUAGUUCCUUAAGCUUUGCAAAUUACAAAUGAUUUUAGCUAUGCUUGUUGAGAGGAAAUUUUCAUGAAGAGGAAAUUCAUGAAAAACAAGAAGACCAAGGUUGUAAAUGGAGAGCAAAUCCACAAAAAAAAAAAAAGGGAUAGGCUGAAAAUGAAAGGAAUCAACUAAACAAAUGUAAAACGAUAGGAAAUGGCAGAAACAACAUAAAGGUUUAAGAAUUUGGGGAAAUUUUUAGUGGUGUUUCCUUUUUAAAAACACCACUAAAUACCUUAUUUAACGGCAUUUUCUUUUAAAAUCGCCAUUAAAAUACAUUUAAAAUAGAGAGUUUUAUGUUACUGAAAACAUUUUUUUGGAUUAUUCAAGAAUUUUUUGACAAAAAAUGCCUUGAAUAAUCUCUUAUAAAAAUUGAAUGGGGUUAUUCAAGGCAUUUCUAGCAAAAAACGUGUUGAAAAAUCCCCUCUAAUUUUUUAUUAGGGAUUAUUCAAGGUGCUUUUGAAUAAUUUUUAUAAGGGGAUUAUUCAAGACGUUUUUAGCGUUUUUGGCCAAUUUUUAUGAAGAGAUUAUUCAAAGCAUUUUUAGCCAAAAACGCCUUGAAUAAUCUCCUCAUAAAAAUUGAAGGGAAUUAUUCAAGGCAUUUUUGGAAUAAUCUAAAAAAAAUGAUAAGGGAUUAUUCAAGACAUUUUUGACAAAAAAUGCCUUAAAUAAUCCUUUCAUAAAAAUUGAAGAGGAUUAUUGAAGACAUUUUUAGUCAAAAACACUUUAAAUAAUCCCCUCAUAAAUAUUGAAAUGGAUUAUUCAAGGCAUUUUUAGCCAGAAAUACCUUGAACCAUUCAAUUUUUUAAGGGAUUAUUCAAGAUAUUUCUGAUUAAAAAUGUCUUUAAAACACCUUCAAUAAUCCAAAAAAAAGGUAGAGAAUUAUUUAAGGCAUUUCUGGUCAAAAAAACAUAUUAAAUAAUCCCUUCAUAAAAAUUGAAGGGGAUUAUUAAAAGUAUUUUUUGUCAGAAAUACCUUAAAUAACCUCAUUCAAUUUUUUUGUAAAGGAUAAUUCAAAGCUUUUUUUGAGCAAAAAUGUCUUAAAUAAUCCUCAAUAAAAAAUUACUGUGGAUUAUUCAAAACAUUUUUAACCAGAAAUACUUUGAAUAAUCUCAUUUAAUUUUUUGUAAGAGAUUAUUUAAGGCGUUUUUCAUACCAAACGCCAUAUAUAAACCAAAUUUAACGGCGUUUCCUUUUUAAAAUGCCACUAAAAUAUAUUUAAAAUAGAGAGUUUUAUGUUAAUAAAAAUAAUUUUUUUUGAAUUAUUCAAGUUGUUUUUUUGUCAUAAAUACCUUAAAUAAUCACUUACAAAAGAUUGAAAGAGGUUAUUCAAGGUGUUUCUAGUAAAAAACAACUAGAAUAAUUCCUUUCAAUUUUUAUGAUGGGAUUAUUCAAGGCAUUUUUGGUCAAAAACAAAAACACCUUGAAUAAUUCCUUCUAAUUUUUGUUAUUGAUGAUUAUUCAAGGUAUUUUUUUAUAAAAAAACACAUUGAAUAAUCCUUUGCUAAAAAUACUAGAGCAGUUUAAUCGGUUAGAGUAUAUAGCUAUUAAUUAUAAAGUCAUAGAUUCGAUCUCUUCUUUUAGAAAACACUUGUUAAAUCCUCAAAACGUUAGAAGGACUUAUCAAAGCCCAUUGCAUUUGUAGUAUUAUACAUAUAAAUAGAGGGUGAUAGCUCAAUGAUAGAGAAGAAAGAUCUAUAAGAAUAACGCACUAGUUGUUCAACUCUACAGAGGAAAAGGCCAUAAAUCUUAUCUGGAUUUUCCCUUUCAAUAUCCUUAAAGAAACCAUAAAUAAUUCCUUGACAAUAAAGACGUCGGAUGAGAAGGUGGUUAAGGUUGAUCUCGAAUUGGCUGUAACUGAAAGGCCAAAAGGCCUUAAUCCAAUCACACCAACGGAAGCAAAAUCAAACAAUCAAUUAAUCACACAAGAAAUAAUAAUUUAACGUGAUUUGGUCAAAUCAACUUACGUCCAGGAUGAGAAACAAAAUCUACUAAUUGUAAAAAAUUAUAAACAUAUUUCAAAAUAUAUCAACCACUCAACAAUCAAUACUCAUAGAUCCUCUCAAUCUCUUGUAAUCUUAUGGAGUAUUAUCAACCUAAAUAAACAUAUACUCAUGUGCAACUUUGCAACACAACCAAACACAUACCCAUAUGCACUCAUACAUCAUACCUGUGUGGACCCUCUCAGUCUACUCUAGUCCAAUCACAAACAAACAUACACACCCAUAAGACGUAAAUCUUAAGUAAUCUUAUGGGGUGUCUACCCAUAAAAUCUUACAACUCUCAUAUAUAUUUUUCUUAUAUCUAACCCUAUAGAGACUUCACCUAUUUAUAGGCAUACAAACUUGCCUAUUAAGAAUCUCUUUCAUUUUAAAAUUUUUUUCUUCAAAUCAAACUUGCUUAUUAAAAAUCUCAUUUCUCUUAGAAUUCUUUUUAUGCAAGUCUUUUUGUCCAUCAAGUAAUAUCUAACAAAUCCUAAAUAAAUCUCUUAUAGGAUUUAAGUUACUAUUCCUAACAAUCUCUAUCUUGACUCAAAUUUCAUCAAAUCAUCUGUCUUCAUGCUAGACAUGCUUGACUCCACCUAGAAUGUAAGUCUCAUAAUCAUCUUCUCUUGUGUGUUUUUACGCUUCACACAAAUCGAUCCUCAAAACAUGAACUCGAACUUUUUCCUUGAAUCAAGCUCUUCUAAGCUUGCCUCUUUUCAUGUCUCGAACCCUGCUAUUUCUACGUCUCAAACCUUUAGCCUGAUACCACUUGUUGGGCCAAAAGGCCUUAAUCCAAUCACACUAGUGAAAGUAAAAUCAAAUAAUCAAUCAAUCACACAAGAGAUAAUAAUUUAACGUAGUUCAGUCCAAUCGACUUACAUCCACGAAUGAGAAAUAAGAUUUACUCGUUGUAAAGAAUUAUAAACCUACAUUAAAAUAUAUCAAUUACUCAACAAUCAAUACCCAUAGACCCUCUUAAUCUCCUAUAAUCUUAUGAAGUAUUCUCAACCUAAACAAACGCAUAUCCAUGUUCACCCUUUCAACAUAACUAAACACAUACCCAUAUGCACUCAUACAUAAUACCUGUGUGGACCCUAUCAGUUUCUUCUAGUCUAUUCGUAAACAAAUAUAUACGUCUAUAAGACGUAAAUUUUCAGUAGUCUUAUGGGAUGUCUACCUGUAAAAUCCUACAACUCUCUUACAUCUUUUUCUCAUACCUAACUCUAUAAAGACUUCAUCUAUUUAUAAGCAUACAAACUUGUUUAUUAAGAAUCCAUUUCUUCUUAUAAUUCUUUUUUUGUAAGUUAAAGUUACCUAUUAAAAAUUUUCUUUCUCUUAAAAUUCUUCUUAUGCAAGUCUUUUUGUUUAUCAAAUAAUAUCUAACAAAUCCUAAAUAAAUAUCUUAUGAGAUUUGAGUCACUAUUCAUAACAGUAACAACUAGAAUUUAAUUCUCUUGUGCAACUUGCAUAGAUAUAAGUCAAUUGCAUUUCAGACAUGUUUUGUGAGAUAACAAGGAAAGGAGAAGAAAGAAAAAAAAGCAAGUAAAAUGCUCCUAAAACAGAAAGAACAACAUAAUAGUGCUUCAUCUUCUUCCAAUGUUUUUCAAUAAUUCAUAAAUAUGAAGUUUUGGCCAAAAUUAAUUUUUGAUUAAUUAUUUAUGUUACAUCAUUACCAAACUUUUAGUUUGCUAAGCUAAUUAUUUUUAUCUAAGUUCGCUACUAUUUUUUAGGAUUUACCACUUUGUUAAAGCUUAAUUUAUUACAAUAGAAUAAUUGAAUAAAGGCUCUCAAUAAAUUAAUACUUUAUUUUGUGAAAAUGAGUAUAAUUUGAAAUUUGAUCAAAAGUAAAGGGUUAAUUAGUCUUCACCUUAUAAAAUAUUUUUAUUUUUUUAUAAAACACAUAUAUGCUUUCAUUCUAUGAUUAAUGUUACUAUAAAUCAGUUUUAUGCAUAUAUUAUGUAUUAAUUUAUUAUUAUAUAAUAAUACUGAUAUAAUUUUAAUUACUUAUAUUUAUAUAAUAACAAUACUUUUACUAAUUAAUUAAUGUUUUGGAGUGAUCCUCAAGCUUUUGAUUUAGUGAUUAAAAACAUUUAAAAAAAUAUUAAAAAUUUGAUUUUAAGUCAUAUUUUUUAAUUAUUAUUUAUACUAAGACUUUGUCUUCUUAAUGUAACCAAAAAAAAAAAAAAGUGCUGGAGUGAGAUAAUAAUAUCAUUUUUUGAGGUGACGUGAUUACCCCUUCUAGAAGUGAUGUAUUAUCAAAACUGCUGGAGAAUUAGACACGCCGUGUGUGAGACUUCAAUUAAAUAAUUUUAUUUCUAUAUUUGCAAAUUUUGCUUUGAAAAUUAUAAAUAAUUUUUUGCUAUUGAAUUUUGCUAAAAAAAGUCUUAAAAAAACAUUUUAAAAUUACUAUAUUAAAUAAUAUUUCUUUCAAUAAAGUAAAAAUUAAUAUGUUAAUUGUCAAUUAUUCAUUGAAUAAAAAUAUUAUUAUAAAUAUAAUAUUAAUUCAUCUUAAAAUUUUCUUAGAGAUGCUCGUUGACAAAACUUUUUAUUAUUAAUUAUAUCAACUUUUUAUUAUUAAUUAUAUCAUUUCCUAUCACUGGUAUCAACCACUCCCCUAGAAAAAGAAAGCACUUAAACUUCUUGGAAAAUCAGUAAGCCUGUCACGACAUUGCAAUUUUCAACUUAAAUUAGGAUCGAUGGGUAAAGUUUUUUGUAGAUUUAAUAAUAUGUAUAUUUAUAUAAUAAAAAAUAUUAAAAUUUAUAUAUUUGUAUUAUAUUUUAUAUAAAAAUUAUAUAUUAUAAUUGAUAUCAAUAUAAAAAUAAAAAAUAUAUUUUUUAUUUUAUUAAAUUUAUAUAUAUAAUUAUUAUUAAAAUUUAAAAUUAUAUUUUUUUAUUUUUUAUUUUUAUAUUAUAUUUAUAUCGUAUUAUUAUAUUAUAUUUUAAAUUAUCAAAUUUAAUUAUUUGGAUGCAUUCUAUGUGACAUUUGAGGUAAAAAUCAAUUCAACGUGCAGUUAAAAUAUUAUUUGCUAACAAGAAGAAGCAAAUGCACCCUCAAUGUGUGGCAUUUGAGGUAGAAGUCGAUCCAAGAAGCAGUUGAAUAUUAUUUGUUAACAUCAAGAAGCAAAUGGAAAAUUCAAGGGAAAGAGAAAGGGAGAGAAAAUCAUUGAAUCUACGUAUAACGUUAAACAAAUAAAGAAAUGGCCGAUAUAGGUUUUCCACAAGUGGAGUCGCUCCAGGAAAGUGCUUUUAGCCCUUUCACCACUGUAAAGCUGGACGAUGCGCUGGAUACCUUACCCUACCCAAAAUAGUAAGUUCUAUGAUAACGAACCGCACUGGAUAUCUUGUCUUGUCCGAAUUUCAUUGGGGUAGAUACCGUCGUUGUCAACUUGUCCAUAAAUAUUAGAAGUACUAAUAAUGCUAAAAUAACAAAAAAUAAAAAAUAACCCUUGAAUUUUAUAAUUUUUAUAAUUUUAUUAUAUUUAAAAAAUAUUUAAUAUUUAAUUUAUACUUAAACAAUUGCUUAACAUAAAUCAUUUUUUCAUUUGAAAUAAACACUUAUUUAGUUACAAAUUAAAGUAUAAAAAUUUAUUUAGAUAAAAGAAAAAUAUAAAAAUUUAUUUAAAAAUAGUGAAAUAAUUCAAAGUUUCUUUUUAAUAUUUUGACCUACUAAUAAUUAUGUCUUGCAUACGUUCAUGUGAGACAAUUAUUAAAACUUGCCAAACUGAAAUAGGUGUCGAGUUAAUGUAUUAGAAGGAUAUAAACGUUAGAUGGCCUGUUAACAGAAUAAUCUCAUUAAUAUUCUUGUUAUAUUUGAUAUGAACAAAAAGGAAUAGAAAAUUUUUAACAUUGAACCUAUUCCUAUCAAGAAGAAUUUACAGUAGCUAAAUUAAAUUCAUCAAUUUUUUUCUCGGUUAAAUAUAUUCAGGGGGCUGAUAUAUUAGAUAUUGUCAUCUGAUCAGGUAGCGCAUUGGAAAGGAAUUAGGAUCUCCUGACACAGGUAACAAAUUAUGGAGUUGGCUACAUUCAUGAUUUCAAGAAUAACAGUAAAUAUAUCAGUUAAUUGUUGUAUAAAUUUCUUAUAGAAAUGUAACUAUCAUCAGGUUGCUAGCAACUCUUUCUUCAACUUAACUGUUAUAAGUUGAUUUACAUACUUGUGCUGAUCCUGAUUUGCUUGAAAACAUCUACUUUUGUUUUAUCUAGGGGGGGAGGAAAUUAUGCUUCCCCAAAUCACUUGUUCAAGCCAAGAUAAUUCUACAACAAGCAUAUUUACGGGUUAAAUAUAGCUUCUUCAUUAGUAUAUAAAAUUGCAAGAGACAAUUGAUGAGCAACUUAUUUGAUUUAAUAAAACAUGAAGAUUACUGCAGAGUAUCAAGAUUUUGGGGCUAAAUAAAUUUUGUAUAUCCAGUUCAUACAUAAAGUGACUGGAUCAAGUUCACAAGUACCACUACUGAAUUAUACCAAAAAUUCACAACUUUGGCAGAAAAAUGACUUAUUCAACAUUGGCAGAUUGCUAUCUACGCUGAGGAAGCAUCUAUUAACUCACUUUACCGAGGAUCUAAUUCAGAAAUCGAUGCUUCAUUGAUAGACCAUGGCAUUGAUUGACUAGUGGAUUGAUCAGACUCCAGCCCCAUGUUUGGCAUACUUCCCUCUGUUCUGCUGUGAAGGAAAAAUGCCGGUUGGUUAGGCAAUGGUAGUGUGACGGAAAAACUGUUAAGCAUGAGAACAAUGGUAGCCAUCGUAGGCCUGUCAACCGGAUCGUCCUGAACGCAUAAUAACCCAAUUUGGAUGCAUCUAAUGACUUCAUUUCUAGAGUAAGUAUCCCUCAGAAUAGGAUCCAACAAUUCUAAUGGUGUCCCAUCCUUCCAAUGUUUCCAAUCCUGCAGUGGUUCAUCAAGUAAGAUUCAAAAAGUUACCUCACCUUAAAUUUUAAUUUCGUAUUUCGUAUAGGCUGAAUUAUACUCACGUAGCUAAUGAGGUCCUCAGCACCAUCUGUUUGAUAGAAAUUAGUGUUCCUUUGGCCACUUAUAAUUUCUAGAACUAAAACACCGAAACUAUAUGCAUCUGAUUUCACAGAAAACUGCCCUUGCAUUGCAUAUUCGGGAGACAUGUAGCCACUGAAGAACCAUUAGCAAUGUUAGUAUAAUGACAAGAACAAAUAUUUUUAGUUUGAUCUAAUAAUUUAUAUAUGUUAACAACAAUCAGGAUAGCUUGUUAUAAAUGAUUUAGCUGGAGGUGUUAAUAUGUCGCAAGGAUUCCUAAAUUCGAUUAGAACCAGGGUAGAAUCAAAAUGAACUUUUAUUUCUUUAAGUUGUUCAACAAUUAGGAUGCAACAACUCAUGGUUAAAUUGCCUAUGAAACUUAUGCUAAACAUGUUCAAAACUUACUAGAUACCAACAACUCUUCUGGUGGUUCCUUGAGUUUGAUCAACACCAAAAAUCCUUGCCAUGCCAAAAUCUGAAAUUUUUGGAUUCAUUUCACCAUCUAAUAAUAUAUUGCUGGCCUUGAGAUCACGGUGUAUAAUUCUAAGCCGAGAAUCCUCAUGCAGGUAAAGCAUUCCUCGAGCAAUCCCUCCUAUGAUCUUGUAACGUCUUGACCAAUCCAAUUGUCCUUGUUUUGCAGGAUCUACAAAAAUAAAUAAAUAAAUAAAUAAAUGAAUAAGCAGUUUUGUUCACACAGUAAAUCUUGGCAGUGUUUAAAAUCAAUUCAAAGACCCAACAAAAUUCUGGCAACAGCAUAUUACACGUACCAAAAAGAAAACAGUCAAGACUUUUAUUGGGCACAAAUUCAUAGAAGAGUAUCUUUUCUUCUCCUUCCAAGCAAAAUCCGAGUAGUCUCACUAGAUUUCUGUGUUGAAGCUUGGCAACCAAUACAGCCUCAUUUUUAAAUUCCUCCACCCCUUGCCCUGAACUUCUCGAUAACCUCUUAACAGCUAUUCCUUGCUCGUUAGGAAGGGUACCCUGAGAAUGUAAGAUACCCUUCAUUAGAAAAGCUUUCCGAGAGUUUGAGUUUGGACUCUGUAUGCAUGGAUAAAAUGGCUACAUGUAAUUUAAUACUAAUAAUACCUUGUAAACUUCACCAAAACCACCUUCUCCUAGCUUGUUCCUAUCUGAGAAGUUGUUUGUGGCAACUUGUAUCACGCUAAAAUCAUACUGCAGUGACUCUAUUGUGGUUAUAUCAUUUCCUGCUGUAAAAUCAAAAUUGCAAAUGUCAUAUUCUGUAAAAUAUUAUCAAAGAACAGGUAAGACCGAAGCAAUGAGAUUCUUUUGGCACAAAAUAAGUUGUGUUUUACCAUUUUCUCCUUCUAUAGGUUUGUACUUCCUUGCUCUCCUUUUUAAUAGACAACAACCCACGAAAAAAAGCAGAACAGAGGAAAUUGGAGCAACAAUGGCAACAAUUAUAUGCCACGACUUUUGGCUUUUUCCUGCAGAAGCAAUAAAGAAUUAAAGAUGUGUCACGAUAAUUUCUAAUACUUCUCACCAUAAAGGAUACUUAGAAGGUGGAGAGAAUACGAGGGAGGCUACAACCAUCAAAUAAAAUCAAAUUCAAAUUCAUUUGAUCGCUUUUAAUUGGAGAUGUCUCUGCAGCGCAAUAUCUCGGGUACCAGAACUUUCCAAAUGUCAAUUCCAUCAAGGAAAGGCAAAUUUUAGUGUUGGUAAUUUUUUUGAAGAAAACUGUAAGGCAUAUAAUCGUCCUAAUUAUAAUUAUUUAACUCAACUAACAAAAAUAAAUAAAAAGGCAAUAGUACGGAUGGUAUGACUGCACCUGGAGCUGCUGGAGAAGGAGUUAUCACAGACGGAGGUGACGGAACUGAAACUGCAGUUUGAUUAUAGAACGGGUAAACUUCAUAUCUAAUGUUGCAGCUAGGAUUCAGCACUCUUCCCCCUUGCUUUCCACUGCAACAAUUGGGCAGAGCCGCUAUAUUCCUCGCAGACAUGUAUUACAAUCCGAGCUUGACAGGUCAGGAGUACACUGCACAAGGCUGUAUAGUGUUUGAAACCCUGAAAUAUUCGCCUCUCUGGUCGCGAAGUUUUUUAAACCUAACGUAGCAUUUACAGCCAGGGUUGCUGCAUUAUUCAUCGUAUCAGCCAGUAUCUGAUCAAAGCGGUCUUGGUCCGUGACAUUUCCCGUAUUCCACAUAUAGAAUGCAGGAACAACAGUCAUAAAUGGAAAAGAUAGAUCGAUUCGAGUAAUGUAAAAGGCUAUUAUCAUACCAAAUCACAGCAAUUUUUUCAAUAGGACAACGUUGAGUGACGUCGUUGAUGGCGGUAGACACACAUUCUUCGCAGCUACUAUUUGAAACAUCACCCUUGCAGAGAAACAGUCCGUAGACCACGUCAGAGUUUCUGCCAGAGGUUGUGUUGUAGAAUCGAUAGCCACGGGUGGCGUUGGAGGAUAGAGAGGAGAGCAGGUGAUUGAGACCGGCUUGGUAAGUACCGUUUGUGGGAAAAGUGGUCGUGUUCGAACAGCUAUGGUAGAGGUAAGUUUGUUGCGCUUCAAUGGUAAAGCUAAGCAAGGAGAGGACCAACAGAGUUAUGAAGGACUUGUAGACAAGCAUUUUUUCUGUUUCUUUUUUCCUCGGACCAUAACAGAGAUGAUCUUCUGGGUUUUCUACCGGCACUGAAAGAACUGUACAUCAAGACGCAAACCUUGAAAAAGCAUGUGAAGCUAAAUUAAUAGGGUGUGUUAGUCAACCUUGUUGAAAGAUGCAAAGAUAGUUACACGACUUCGACAGAUGGGAUGCGAGUUAGAGAUAUCACUUUCACGUCGACCUACUCAUGGCCUCCGUUCGGCCCAAUUUUAGUAAGUCCAACAUUCAGCAUUUUAAAUAAGUUUAAGUUCAGUCUAAAAUUUGAGUUUUAUUUUUUAUUUAAAUUUAAUUUUAUAUGUAUUAAUAAAAUUUAAAUUUGUCCAAAACACUGAUAUUUAAAAUUAAAAAAAUUUUAAUUUUUUUAAUUAUUAAUUUAAUUAAUUUUAAUUGAAUUUACAAAUUAUUUUGAAUUUGAGUCUAAUUUAAUUUUAUUAAAUGUAAUUUAAAUUAAAUAAUUAUUGUGUAUAAAAUAAGAUUUUGUCAUAUUAUAAAUAAUAAAAUAAAUAUGCUUUGUUUAUUAUAAAAAAAUAAAACAAGUGAAAUUUGUUCCACUAUAAUAAAAAAUUUUUUUUUUUUAUUUUUUGAUUGGAUCGGGUUCAGCUCAACUUUAUUUUUGAGUCAAAUCUCAUUUAUUUGUAUAAACUCAAUAAAUUUAGUACUUUUGUUUAAACCUUUUAAAAUUUUGAAUAAAUUUUUGGAUUUCUGACGGGGUACCCGACCCAUAAACAGGACUAUUAUCAUGGUGUCUUAAAAUUGCAGGCCCACGCACUGAUUGGAAGUUAGUGCUCUUGAUUGUAACAGAUUUUUCUCAUUGCAUAUUUACAUUUACAUUUACAUUUUUUUGUUCCUCUGUCCAAUUUGUUUCUAGUUUGUUAUUCAUACAGGUGCACGAAUUAAUUUAAUUUAUUUAAAUAUUUAUAGAUAUAUAAAUUAAUAUUAUUUAAUUUAUAUUUUUAAAGUAUAUAUAAAUUACAUAUAACAAUUAAGUCCAACAUGAUUGUCGUUUUUAUUUAUAAAGAUUUGAAUUAUUAUCAUUUUUGAAUUAGAAAAUUAAAAGAAUUUAAUAAUAAUAAUAAUAAUUACUAUAUUCUUUUUUUAUAUGUUUAUUGGCAAAUUUUCAUUUAAUAUAUAAAUAACAUAAACAUGUUAAAUAAAAUUUUAAAAAAAUUUCAUUUGUCUAAAAGGAAUAAAAAAUAGUAUGUACAAUAUGACAUAAGUUAAUAAAACAGUUACUAUAUUUUAUUAUUAUCAUUCACCGGUCAUUAAUUUGUAUCAUUCAAUUCGUUUUAGAUUUUCAGUUGAUAUGUAAAAAAACACAAAAAAUAUGCAUCCUUUAUUUCUGAAUAUUAUAUAAAAACAUAAAUAUAGUAAUAGCAUGGAAAAUUAAGGAAAGCAAUAUUCAAACAUAUAUAUAUAUAUAUAUGGUAGCAAUAAUUAAUUAAUUUACUGCAAUAUCAUGUCCCUUAUUCUUCAAAACAGCCGAACAUGAUGUAUAGUUACGUUAGAAAUCACCAAAAAGCAUGAAAAUUUAGCUUGAGAAAUUGAAAACAUUUUAAAACUACUGAAGAGCAUGACAGAAAAUGGAAGACUAUUUAAAAUGAAAACAUUUAUUUGUAAAUGGAAGGUCCAUCCAAUUGGUUUGUUGAAUGUGAUGAGGGAUGAGUUUAUACAUGGGAUAAGGGAAUUUUAUUUGAAUUUAAAUUGGUUUUUUAUUUAAAUUUUAAAAUUUUUAGAUAAUUUAAUAAAUUUUGAAAUAUAUUUUUUUAAGAAAUAGUUUAAAAUUAGUAAAUAUGUGUCAUUAAAAAGAGUAUUUGUCAAAAAAAGAAUAUGUUUAUGUAAGCAUUCACGUAAAUAAAUUUUAUCUAAUAAUUAUGUAUGUUGCAAUAUAUAUAUAUAUAUAUAUAUAUGAUUUACAUUUACAUUUCUUUGUUCCUUUGUCCAAUUUAUCUCUAGCAUCCCAUUUAUCUAAAGGAGGUUUUUUUUUUUUUUUAAAUAGUAGUAUAUAGUAAUUUUAAUGAUUUAUUUUUCAAAGUUCUUUAAUCGUUUGGUCUAAUAAGUAUACUUUAACAGUAAAUUAUUUAAUUAAUUUUUUGAAUAAAAAUGGACACACUUUUGAAAAAUAAAAUCAAAUACAUCUAUAGUCAUUUUUUUCUCUUUUGUAUGUUGAUAUAUGAAGAUAUCUCCAAUUCUUUUGUUGAAAAAAUUAAGUACAUUUUAUGAUUGUCAUUAAGUCAAAAAAGGCUUAGCAAGUGUUGAGAAGCUAGCAUCCUUAGAAUAGUAAAAUAAAGGAAGAUCCAACCAUUAAUCAAUCACCGAGGCGAGAUAUUUGAAAUUGUAACCUCAUUAACAGAACAGACUCUAUCAUUUGAAGUGGAUUGAAUUGGUUCUGCAACAACACUUCCAACAGAAAAUGAAGGUUCUGCUGGUAUAGGAAAUGUUAUGGUUUCGCUUGCCAACAUGACAAUCACAGAUGACAUGGUAGGUCUACCUGCUGGGUCUUAUUGCACGCACAAUAGCCCGAUACGGAUGCAUUUAAGAACCUGAGUGAGAACACCCUAUUGAACAAGGAACGGAUCUAUUAGCUCCAUUCCUUGACCUUUAGACCAUCGUUUUUGUUUGGAAUAUGUGGGGUUUAACCCCAUGUAAUUAGUUUUGGCCAAUUAAAAGGCCUAAAGCCCUUUUUGUUUUGACCUAAAAGAGCUCUACUUAAUAAAAACAAGAUGGAGGCUAUGUUAAAAGGUGAGAAACAAAGGGUGGAGCUAACAUCGAGGGAAAAAAAAAGCCAAAAAAAAUAGAGAGAAAAAAAAAGUUGAUUGAAUAUAAGUUGAUUUGUGAUUUGAUUGAGCUAAAAUUUUAUUAAUAGGUUUAUGAUUCAGAGUUUUACAUUUUGAAUGGUAAAAAUCAAGUUUGAAGCUCUAUAGAAACAAAUCUAAGGUAUAUUUGUUGAGUCAUUUAUUUUAUGAAAUUUCUCUAAUCGUCUCUCUAGUUGUUAAUUAGCUCUAGUUUUAGUUAGAAAAAAACUUUAUAUAUCUAUUAUUUGAUAGUGAAAAUUUUUCUGUGGUCCAUGAUUUAUGCUUUAUUUUUUUUGCAUUGCUUAUUAUUGGUUAUUGAUUGUUUUCUAUUACUGUGAGAUUAUUAUGAUAUAUUGCUUCUACGUUGUUGUGUUUAUUGCUUCGGGCCCAACAAGUGAUAUCAAAACGAGUGGUAUUUUGAGACAUCAAUGUAGAAGUAACCUAGGAUAAAAAUAAAUUUUGUUUGAGAUCAUAGAAUGUGAUACAGGUUUCAUGAUAAAAUUGAUAAUAUCAAAUUAUUCAAUUUGGAAGCCUAUGAUGAAGGAUCAUUUAUACUACAAAGAUUUAUAUUUGUCGGUAUUGGAUGAUUCGACUAAAUUAAUAGAUACGAAAAUGAAAGUUGAAAGAAGUUAAACAAAAAGAUAUUGGCUAUAAUUAGAAAAUUGAUUAAUAUCAACGUGUUCCAUCAUGUAGUGUGGGAGAUAAAUGCCUUUGCUAUUAAUGUCUUUGAUAAAGAGGGAUAUGAUAGUCAAUAAAAUAAUUGACAAUGAAAGCUUCUUAAAGGAUUUAUGGUAGUUACUAAGAGAAAACUAUGCUACACAAUGUAUAAGAUAUGGAUGCAAUUACACGGUAACCAAAUAAAUGCCGUUGAAGAUGAUGCUUCAAUAAAUCUGUGGCACAAGAUGUUGACACAAAUGAGUAAAAAGAGAUUACAGGUUUUGGCAAGGUAGUCUCUCAUUACCUUGAUCAAAUGGAUUUCUCUUGAUUCAUGUGAUCAUUGUUUGUUUGACAACAAUCGUAGAGUUUCUUUUCAUAAGAGUUUUUUAAGGAAAGAAAACAUAUUGAAAAUGAUUUAUUCUAACGUAUGUGAUCCCAUUAAGGUUGAGUCAUUAAAUGGUAGUAAGUAUUUUUUUACUUUUAUUGAUGAUGCUUAACGUAAGACUUAGGUGUAUAUAUUAAAAAUAAAAGUAAAAUAUUGUAGUAUUUUCAAAACUUUUAUGCUAUGGAAGAAAGGAUGACAGGGUUGCCCUUGAAGUGUAUUCGAACUAAUAAUGGUGGGAAUACACAUCCAAAUACUUUAAAGAGUAAUGUUCAAAAUAUAGGAUCAAACAUGAGAUGAGAAAACCUAAAACACCACAACAAAAUGGUGUAACUGAAAGGAUGAACUAUACCAUUAUAAAAAAAGUCAGAUGUAUAUUGAAGAUAGCAAAAUUACCAAAACCAUUUUAGGGUGAAGCCAUCAACAUAACUUGUUGUUUGCCUAACAUAUCACCAUCACUUUUUUUAGGCUUUGACCUUCCAAAAAGAUUAUGGACAAGAAAAGAUGCUUCAUACUCUCACUUGAAAGUUUUCGAGUAUAAAACAUUCAUGCAUGUACUGAAAGAACAAAGGUCAAAGCUUGACAGUAAAGUUACAUAGUGUGUAUUUGUAGGAUAUGGUGAUGUAAAAUUUAGCUACAGUGUAUAGGAUCCAGUGAAGAGAAAGAUAGUCAAAAGCAAAAAUGUGAUCUUUUAUGAAAAAAAAUCAUAGUAGAGAUGUGGUCUUCCAUGUAAAAAAAAAAUUUGGAGAACAAUGAGAAGAUUACAUGGGUUAUUAUUGGGUGUGAUGUUUCAACACUGAUAGAAAUUCCAUAAGAAAGAGUCACAGAUGAUGAAAAUGAGCAAGAAAUAGAAUUUAAAGAUAUGAAUGAGCCAGCCACAGUUAAUAAUGAGUCAAAUGCAAUCAAUUUUGAACAGGGAGAGCAAUCAUUUCUACCUAAGAGUGUUAAGUAAGAUGAGCACUCCUCUCAACCAAAGACAGUGAAGCAAGGAAAGCUACAAUCGACAUCAAGUGGUGUAAAGUUUUAGCCUAAGAGAUCUACCAGAGAACACAUGCCAUCCACCAAGUAUCCAAGUUCAGAUUUUAUUUUAGUUAUUAGUGAAAGAGAGCUAAAAAGCUUUCAAGAUGUAUAAACUACUCCGAAUAGAGAGUACUGAUUAAAAGCAAUGAAUGAAAAAAUGGUACAUAUGAUUUUGUUAAACUUUUGAAAAAGAAGAGGCCAUUGAAAAAUAAAUUAGUGUUCAAGCUAAAAAUGAAAGAUGAUAAACUAGUGAGCUACAAAGCUCGAUUGGUCGUAAAGGGUUUUUCUCAUAAACUUGACAUCGAUUUUGAUGAAAUCUUUUCUCUAAUUAUAAAGAUGAGUUCCAUUUGAGUAGUAUUGGAACUAGCAGCUAGUUUGAAUCUUGAUCUUGAGCAACUUAAUGUUAAGACUGCAUUCUUGCAUAGUGACUUGUAGAAGGACAUUUAUACAAAUCAACUUAAAGAUUUUGAAGUGAAAAAAAAAAAGAGUAUUUAGUUUGCAAACUAAAGAAAAACUUAUAUGGCUUGAAACAAGCUCCACGAAAGUAGUAUAAAAAGUUUAAUUUUUUUAUAGUAAGCCGCAGUUAUAAAAGAAUAGCAGCAGAUCUUUGUAUGUAUGUAAGAAAAUUAUUUGAUGGUAACUUUAUUAUUUUCUUAUUAUAUGUUGAUAUUGUGUUAAUUAUGAGACAAGAUGUUGGUAUGGUUUGUAGGUUGAAAGAAUAAUUAUUUAAGUCUUUUAACAUGACAAAUUUAGAUCCAACAAAGUAGAUUUUUAGUAUGAAUAUUAUUCAUGAUAGAAGAGCUGAAAAGCUGUGGUUGUUAUAGGAAAAGUAUGUUGAAUAGGUACUUUGUAGAUUCAACAUGUAACAUGCUAAAUCAAUUAGCAAUUGACUUGCCAACUAUUUUCAGUUGAAUAAGAAAUCUUGUCUGAUAACUAAAGAAGAACAACUAGCUAUGUCUAAAUUCCUUAUUCUUCUGCAGUCGAUUUUUUAAUGUAUCUUAUGAUUUGUACAUGACUUGAUAUUGCUUAUGCAAUUGGUAUAUUGAGUAGAUUUCUUUUCAAUCCGAGAAAAGUUCACUGGGAAGUAGUGAAAUGAAUUUUCAAGUAUUUAAAGGGUAUUUCAAAAAUGUGCUUGAAUUAUAGAGUUUCACAACUAGUUCUAGAAAGAUUUAUUGAUACUGACAUCGUAGGUGAUCUUAAUGGUAGAAAAUCUAUUGUAGGAUAUUUGUUUGCUUUUGCAAGAAGAGCUAUGUCUUGGCAGUCCAAGUUACAGAAGUGUGUUACUUUGUCAACUAUAAAAAUUAAGUAUAUUGCAGCAAUUAAAGCAGGUAAAGAAAUACUUCGAAUGAAAUAUUUUCUUCUUGAAUUAGAGUUAAAUUAGAAAGAGUAAAUGAUAUUUUGUGAUAGUCAGAGUACUUUAAAUUUGAGUAAAAGUACCAUGUACAAUGAUAAAACAAAAUAUAUUAAUGUUAUAUAUCAUUGGUUAUGUUCGGUGAUUAAGGAAUAGCAGAUGCUAUUGAAUAAAAUCCAUAUUAAUAAGAAUGUAGUAGAUAUGUUGACUAAAACAUUUCUUAGAGGGAAAUUUAAACUCUUCAAUAACUUGGUCGGAAUGGAUUUCUUAGCCAAGUUAAGUUCUAAAUGAAACUAUUAUAGUGAUGAAUUUACACCUAAUGGGGCUGAACGGGGAGAUUGUUAGAAAUAUGUAGGGUCUAGCCACAUGUUUUUGGUUUUGACCAAUUAAAAGGCUUAAAGCCUUUUUUGUCUUUGGCUUAAAAGAGCCUUAGUUAAUAAAAAGAAUAGGGGGCUAUGUUAAAAGGUGAGAAAUAGAGGGUGGCGCUAAAACCAAAGGAAAAAGAAAGCCAAGAAAAAUAGAAAGAAAAAGAAGAAAGGAGAGUUAAUUGAACGAAAAUUGACCCGUGAUCCAAUUAAGCUAAAAUUUUAUCAACAUGUUUAUAAUUCAGAGUUUUACAUUCUGAACGAUAAAUAUCUGGUUUGAAACUCUCUAAGAACAAAUCUAAGGUGUAUUUGUUGAGUCACUUAUUUAGUGAGAUUUCUCUAAUUGUCUCUCUAGUUGUUGAUUAGCUUUAGUUUUAAUUAAAAAAGAACUUUGUAUAUCUAUUAUUUGAUAGUGAAUAUUUUUUUAGUGGUCCGUGAUUUUUUUUUCUUACAUUAGAAGGUUUUUCACGUAAAUUUUAAUGUACUUUAUUUUUCCUGUAUUGUUGAUUAUUGGUUAUUAUUUAUUGUUGUGAAUUUAUUACAAUAUGUUACUUUUACAUUAUUGUAUUUGUUGCUUCAAGCUCAAUAGUUUCCAUGCCUGUAAUGUUAAUAUUAGAAUGGUACAGCACUACAGCUAUCUAUUUUUUGAAGACAAAGAUAGGAUAAAAACGUACAAAGGUUAGGAGGCUUUCACCAUGCUCCGAAAGAUGAAAGCCAUUGUUCCUUUUGCCGCUUAUUAUCUCCAGUAAGAGGGCUCCGAAACUGAAAACAUCGGAUUUGACUAAAAAAGUCCUUCCAUAGCAUACUCUAGUGCCAUGUAUCCACUAUUUCAGUUCACAGGAAUAGAUAAAAUCAGGUUAGAUUAUGGAAAUCUCAGAACAAAGAAUCGUUAAGUUUGAACAUUGUGCAGUCGUAAAAUUGAAGAAUGAUUACAAAUUUUAGAUUCUAAAGGGCAGCCAUGUUCCUCUGCAAAAUAAACCUCAGCAAAGACUGUGAUCAGAUGUAUAUUGCUUUUCCAUUUUACGAGUUCGAUGAUGAUUCUUUCUUUUCAAUAAAAUUUUAUUUGACACAGAUGCAAUGUUAAAGAUCAAAAGAAAACUACUGAAGAACCUAGAUUGAUAAAAAAUAAAAGAACUGUGAGUCUAGAAGUGCAUGGGAUAGUGGACUUACUAUGUUCCAACCACUCUAUUUGUAUUUGCUUCAUUUUUAUUUCCACCAAAAAUUCUUGCCAUUCCAAAAUCUGAUAUCUUUGGGUUCAUCUCGUGAUCUAGCGAAACAUUGCUAGUUUUAAGAUCCCUAUGAAUAAUUCUAAGACGAAAAUCCUCGUGUAAAUACAGGAUGCCUCGGGCAAUGCCAUUAAUAAUGCUAAGACGCUUCUGCCAAUCCAGUUGCACACCAAUGCUUGAAUCUGGAAAAGAACCCCCCAAAAGAAUAAUAGUAGUUAGUUGAUUUUUUACCAUAUUUCAUGACGAAUCCUGUUAAUAAAUAGAAUGACUAAAGCAGAAACAAGAAUUUUUUGUUUGAGGAUCAAACCAAAGAGGAACACAUCAAGGCUUUUAUUGGGCAUGUAUUCAUAGACAAGCAGUUUUUCGUUUUGCUCCAAGCAGCAGCGCAGAAGUCUCACAAGAUUUCUAUGUUGUAGUCCGGCAAUUAACAUGACUUCAUUCUUGAACUCAAGUAAACCUUGCCCAGAAGUUCUAGAGAGCCUUUUAACUGCAAUUUCUUUACCAUCUGCCAAUUUGCCCUAAAAGAAGGAAUGAAAAAGCGUCAUAGAAGAACUAAUUAUGCGAAGUUGAAGGGGUCCAUCGUAUACUAAAAGUAUAAUGCACCAUCACCAUAGUCACCUUGUAUACAGGGCCAAUCCACCUUCUCCAAGUUUAUUUUCAUCACAAAAUUGUUUUGUUUCUGUUCGUAAAACAUCCAACUGAAUCGAAGGGAACUCCUUAGAUCUCACCCCACUCUCACCUUGAAAAUUUUCAUUUGAGUAAUCAUCGCUAACUCCUCAUCCUAAUUCAAGUAACUGAACUUCUUGGCUGUUAAGAUCUAUAUUCUCUUCAAUAGAAAACAAUUAAUUGGCAUAACAAUUGAGUCAAGAAAAAAUAAAGUGGAAGUAAGAUCCAAUGCAUACCUUGAAAAUUUAUCCUUCUCUAAAGGAAAAUACCUCCAGAACAGAACAGAGUGACGCCAAAAAUCGCGGAUAAACUUGCAACAAUAGGAAUCCACUUUGAUUCGCCUUGUUUGCCACCUGCUAAGUCUGUUACUACAAAAGAAAGUGAUCUUUCAGUUGAUUUUUAGUGGAAUAAAUUUCUUCUUGCUGUUUCUGUUUUGCAGAUAUUAAUUACUUUGUUAUUAGUUUCUGUGGCAGUUAUUUUUCCUUCUUUCUUUUUUGAUGGAUGAAAAUUUCAGUAUUUAAAAAUUAGACAAGCUAAAUUCUCCAGCAUCUGAUGAUACUAACCGUUUGAGCCACUUGUUUUGUUUACUGAAGGAAGGGGUGCUUCUGAUUCAAUUCCAGGAUUCUUGGUUAUCGUAGUGUUUGGUGAUUGGUCUCGAGGUUUUCCAUAAAAUGGAUGUGUCUCACUCUCAUACCUGAUGUUACAGCUUGGUCGUAAAACUCUCGCACCUUGUUCUCCAGUCGCGAAAGAUGGGAUUACAGCAAUUGAUCUACGUAGACAAAUAUAUAAACUUGCUUAUCAGAAAUUCUUAUGAAUAUUUACCCUAUAAUCCUAUAAUUCUCUAACAUAUUUUUUUAUAUCUAAAGAUUUUAUUAUUUAUAAAUAUACAAAUUUAUCUAUCAAAAAUUCUUUUUCUCUUAUAUUUUUUUCUCUUGCAAGUUUUUUAUCUAUUACACAAUAUUUAAUCAAUUUUAAACAAAAUUUUUAUGAACUUUAAAUCACUAUUCUUAACACUAUUUCCUAUAUCAACUUGUCAACGAACAUUAGAAGUAUUAAUAAUUAAUUAUGUCUUGCAUGCAUAGUAGAGACAAAAUUUGUUAAAACUGAGGUAAACGAAAAUAAGUGUCAAGCAUUAAUGUAUUAAAAGGGUGUAAACGUUGGAUGUCCCGUUAACAGAACAAUCUCAUACAUAUUAUUGUUACAUUUUAUUUGAAUAAAAAUGGAAAAGAAAUUUUGAACAAUGCUCCUAUCAUGAGUCGAUUGUUUGCAAAAUCAAGAUAGUGUUAACAUGCUUAAAACCUUCACGAUUUAUAAACUGAUAGAUAAACGUUCCAAACACAAAGCUGCAAAAAUUUCUUAAAAAUUAUUAAAAUCCAUGCUUGAUGCAAACUUAACUGAAUAAAAUUAUAAGAAAAGCCACAGCAAUGCAGCGUCUGCAUCUCCCGGUCCUUGUUGAAUCUAGAUAAAAAAAACACUAAAGAUUGAGAUGUGACCAUUUCUAGAAGUAAAUGAGCACGGCAUCUGGCCAAAAACAGAAGGGAGAUUAAUGCGAGGCUAGAACUAGUCCAUGGCAACAUGGGAAAAUUCCUUGGUUUGGUGGUUAAACUCUGACUUUGACAAGUCAAAAGUAUGGUAGUUAAUUCGAAAGCUAAGUCCCUUGGUGUGUCAACAUUUUCAUGUAGAAACAUCAUCGAAGGUGUCAUCUGUUCUCUGCCUAUUUCUGUUCUUUAGGAACCAGGGCAAAAUUCUGCCGCUGACUUGGACAUCUUUAUUAGAGAACUGAGGAUUGCUGCUAGUUUAAAAUAUAAUGUAUCUCAUAUUACAUAAAAAAAAAUUAAUUAUUGAAUAAAAUUAAUUUUUAUAUUAAUUUUAUUUAUAUUUUAAAUAAUUAUAUUUGAAUAAAAAUAAUUAUUAUAUAAUAAAUUAUCAUAACUAUUUAAAUAUAAAUAUAUUAUUGUUUAUAAAAAUUAUGAUUAUAUAAAAGGUGACAACCAUUUGAAAAGAAAUUUAUAACUGUUCAUUUAUUAUAAAUAGAUCUUUCAGGGUAAUCAUUUUUAUUAUUUCUGAUUGAAAAGUUUGAAACUUUGUUAUAUCCUAAAAGUAUAAUUAUUUAAAAAAAAAUGUUUUGCACAUCUCAAAGUUAAAAUUAAUUUUCUAUUAUUUCUCUUUUUUUAUUUAUUUUUUCUAAUAAUUUAAAGAUAAUUAUGAAUAAUUUUUUAUAUUUCGUAUUUAUGGAGAUGCAAGAGAAAGAAAUUUAUAAAUGUUUUGGUGAAAUCCAAAUUCUUGAAAUAAUUAUAGAUAAAGAGAAAAAAAUUCUCUACCAUGAUGUCAGAUAAGUUUUUUUUUUUAAUUUUUAUUCAAAAUUAGUAUAUUAUUAAUUCAUUGUUUGAUUCUGGUGCAUAAAUCCAAUUUCAUUAUUGUUUUUCAUAUUACUUGGGUUUUUGGAAUUUAUUAAUUGUGCAUUUCAAAAGUUUCACUGAAAUGGAGUUUUUAAAAUUGUAUGCAUGAAAAUUGUCAUUGCUUUUGGAUUGGAUAAUAAGCCAAGUGCAAGUUUAUACAUGAAGUUAUAAUGUGAUUAACUGAAAUUGGCUAAGAUAGUAAGCCGAAAUGGGCUCUAUAUAUAUGAUUAAAAAUGGAUUUAGACAUAAUAAAUGAUCUCUUUUGUUCAAUACUAAUGAGAAUUUGGAAAAGAAAAUGAGUUUUAAGGAAACUGAGAUAAUUGAUUGGGAUCUUUGUUCACAAUAAAAGUUAAUAGAAGUGAGCUAGAAAUGGAGUGUCCCAAUAAAUUUAUUUUUAAUUAUUUGUGGUUAAUUAAUACAUAUAUUAAUUAAAUGCUUGUUUAUUACUUUUUUUAUGCUUAUAUCGUUUAUUCAUGCUCGUAUUAACAUGCUUGGAUUUAAAUGGAACGUUUAUAUAACGGAGUUAAAUGGAACGUUUUUUUUUUUGUUUUUUUUUUUCUUAAAAUUUUGAUCAAAGCUCCUGUAAGUAGAGGCUCAAUGACUUUUAGAAAAAUAAAUGGCUCCAAAGGCUCAAUGACUUUAGAAAAAUAAGUGGCUCCUUUAAUCGGAGGCUUCAAUGACUUUUUUUUUUAAAAAAAAUAAAUGGCUCAUUUAAUCAGAGGCUCAACGACUUUGAAAAAGUAAAUGCUCAUUGACAAUCAUGUCUAAAGGAAUUGAAAAUCUUGUUUGAAAGAAUUUCAGGAGAUUAUGCCCAAAGAUCUUAUAAAUCAACCCUGAUACCAAGAGACAUCCUAUUUCAAGGAUUAGGAACUUACCUAACAAGUUUCUUCUCAAAUUUGAAAAUGUCUUCACAUCUGUCUUUUUUAUGUGGGAUUUUAGAAUACCCUUGCUUCUUGAAUUUAUGUAGAAUAUGCUAUGCAAUGCAUAUGAAAUUCAAUGCAUGUUAUGCAAAUGUUGGCUAAUUAACUUCUAUUCAAUUGUGGUACUCAAGUUUCUCAAACCCUUUUUUUAGGCCUCGAACCCUUGAUUCUUCAAAGACCCAAUUACACUGCUUUUCUAAGAUCGAGCCAGUAUAGCUCUCAAUCAUCUCUUCCACUCACAUUCUUUCUAUAAAAAAUCUCUUUACAAAUUCAAUGUCCUUAUUAGGAACUGAACAUCUCAAUCGUGUCUUUAUCACUCUUGACUUAUUCAAUGUAAUGUAAAAAUCUUUCAUGCCAUUAUUCAUUCAUCAAUCAUUAUUUCAAACUCAAAAAGUAAGAAUGCAUUUGCAUAUUUCUUCCAUUGUAGGGUAUUAAGUAGAAAAGAAUAAAAAUGGUUAAGAAACAGUAAAAAAAAAAAAAAGACACAAAGAGUGAAAUAUAAUGUCUUUUAUUAGCAAAAAUGUUGGCUAAUUUUGGCCAAGGGAGAAUUACAAGGAUAAGAAUGGGGAUAAAACCCAAAAUGAACAAUCAGAUAAUCAUGAUAACACAUCUCAAAGUUUUUUUUGAAAAUCCAACCCUCUGAUGUAUUAAACAACUUAGAGCUCUUCCGAAUUUGCUAGUUCUCCAUGCCAGCGAAUUUUCAAAUUCGAUGCCGUAUUCUCUUUAUCUAAGCUGUCUUUUCAGGUUUUCAACUUAGACAAACCCCCUAUGACUCACACCGCCCUUUUAGGGUUUUCAUCUUGAAUCUUUCUUUUUCAUUCACUUUUUUUCUUUUUUCCUUUUUUUUUUUUUUCAUUUUUUUUCAUUUUUUUCAUUUUUUCAUUUUUUUCUUCAAGCAUAGUAUUUUUUCACAGCAUCAGAAUUUAUAAGAUGGGAUAAAUUAUUUCCAUCCAUCUCAGUCAGUAUCAAUGCUCCACUUAAGAAAGCCCGUUUCAUUACAUACCGCCCUUCCCAAUUCGGAGUCCAUUUUUCUCUACUAUCGUGCUGGAUUGGAAGGAUUCUCUUCAAGACCAACUCUCAUUCUUAAAAGCAACGGGGUCGAAUCUUCUUAUCAUGAGCCCUCAUCAUUUUUCUUUGAUAUAGCUGACCAUGACAUAGUGCAGUCAAUCUCUUUUUCUUCUAUGAAAUUUAACUGUUCAUAGCGUUCUCGAAUCCAUUCAGCUUCUUCCAACUUAACUUCUUUUAGAACCCUCAAAAAGGGGAUCUCUACUUUCACUGGUAGUACAACUUCCAUCUCAUAAAUCAAAUAAAAUGGGAUUGGCCCAGUAGAGGUGCGAACUAAUGUUCGAUAUGCAUAUAGUGCAAAUGGUAACUUCUCAUGCCAAUCUUUAUAAGUCUCAGUCAUCUUUUUCAGAAUCUUUUUUAUGUUCUUAUUGGCUGCCUUAAUUGCCCCAGUCAUUUUCAAACGGUAUGGUGCCGAGUUAUGAUGCUUGAUCUUGUAUUGAGCACAUAUUUCUUGCAUCAUCUUACUAUUUAGAUUCUUGAUAUUGUCUGAAAUAAUUCUCUUCAAAAGUUUAUAUCUACAGAUGAUCUCUCUUUUUAUGAAUUUACAAACCAUAGAUCGUGUCACACUUACAUAUGAUGCUACCUCUACCCAUUUUGUGAAGUAAUCUAUCAUCACAAAAAUAAAUAUGUGCUCAUUAGAAGCCUUUGGGGUGAUUGGACCAAUGACAUCUAUGCCUCACAUUGAGAAUGGCCAUGAUAGUGCCAUAACAUGUAAAGCAGAUGGCGGGACAUAGAUCUUUUCAGCAUAUAUCUGGCAUUUAUGGUAUUUAUGAGCAUAGUCAAUGCAAUCAUUUUCCAUCAUCAAUCAGUAAUAUCCUACUCUCAUGAUCUGUCUCGCCAUCAUAUGUCCACUAGUAUGUGCACCACAUAUUCCAUUAUGCACCUCUUCAAUAAUGUUUUUCGCUUCAGUCUUACUUAUACACCUCAAUAAUACUUGAUCCCGACUUUUUUUGUACAUAAUAUCCUCAUCUAGAAAAAAGCUCAUAGCCAAUCUUCGGAUGACCCUUUUAUCAUUUUUUGUUGCUUGAACUGGGUACUGCGGAUCCUUAUAUACUAUAAGAUGUCAUAAUACCAAGGCUUUCCAUCUUCUUCUUCUUCUACAUUAGAGCAAUAAGCUGGUAUACCCUUAACAUCUAGCUUGAUAGGCUGAAUGUCAGUACUGUCAUUAAUUCAAAUCAUUGUAGCCAGAGUAGCUAAUGCAUCAGCAAUCAAAUUCUCUUCUCGAGGUAAGUGGUCAAACUGGAUAUCUUCAAAUUAUUUCAUCAACUCUAGAAUAUACUUAUGAUAUGGAACGAGUUUUGAAUCUCUCGUCUCUCAUUCUCCUUUCAAUUGAUAUAUAACUAGAGCUGAGUCCCUGAACACUUUUAAUGCUCUCACUCCUCUAUCUAUAGCAGCCUGUAAGCCCAUGACAUAUGUCUCAUAUUCAGCGAUGUUAUUUGUCCAAUUAAAAUUUAACCUUGCUGUUACAGGGCAGUGUUGUUUUUUUGGAAAAAUCAAAAUUGCCCCAAUUUCAUGCCCCAAGGCAUUGGCAGCUCCAUUAAAGUACAUUCUCCAACAUUUUUCUCCAUGCUCCCUUUCCUUUAGUUGGAAAAUAGUCAUUAGGUCUUCAUCAAGGAAUUCUAACUUCAUUGGCUCAUACUUUUCAGUAACACGAUCUGCAAGAAAUUUUGCUAUAGUGCUCCAUUUUAUUACUUUUUGACUCACGUAUAUAAUAUCAUAUUUCGAGAGCAUUACUUGCCAUCUAGCAAUUCUUUCAGACAAAAAAGGCUUCUCAAAGAUAUAUUUAAUUGGAUCCAGUUUUACUAUGAGUCAUGUAGUAUGAUAGAGCAUAUACUGUCUGAGUCUUUUGGCAGUCCACGCUAAUGCACAACACAUUUUCUCCAAUGAGGAAUACUUGGAUUCAUAUUCUGUGAACUUUUUACUCAGAUAGUAAAUAGCUAUCUCCUUUCGACUAGACUCGUCUUGCUAUCCCAACACAUCCCAUUGAAUUUUCACAUACAGUUAAGUAUAAAAUUAAAGGUUUCCCUGGAACAGAUGGCACUAACAUUGGAGGGUUCGAUAAGUAUUGUUUAAUUUUAUCAAACGCCUCUUGAUAUUUCUCAUUUCAUUUUUCAGAAUUAUUUUUACGGAGAAGCUUAAAUACGAGAUCACAUUUGUAAGUAAGCUGAAAGAUAAAUCGAGAAAUGUAGUUCAAUCUCUCAAAAAAACCUUAAACUUUUUUUGGUGUGUUGAGAGGUGAUAAAUUUUGAAUGACCCGUAUCUUAUCUGGAUCGACUUCAAUUCCUCUUUCACUAACCACAAAGCCCAGUAACUUCCCUGACUUUACCCUAAAAGUGCACUUGACUGGGUUUAAUUUAAGUCAGAAUCUUCUCAACCUCUCAAAUAACUUUCUGAGGCUGGUGACAUGAUCUUCAUCCUCACAAGACUUUGCAAUCAUAUCAUUUACAUACACCUCAAUCUCUUCGUGUAUCAUGUCAUGGAAGAGUGUUACCAUGGCCCUUUGAUAUGUUACCCCAACAUUCUUUAACCCAAAAGGCAUGACUUUGUAACAAAAGGUUCUCUAUAUAGUCACAAAAGUAAUCUUUUCCAUAUCAUCUACAGCUAUUUUUAUCUGAUUAUACCCUGAGAAAUCAUCCAUAAAAGAGAAAAUCGAAUGCUUAGCCGUGUUAUCCAUCAACGUGUCGAUAUGAGGUAAAGAAAAGUUAUUCUUUAGACUAGCCUUAUUCAAGUCCCGAUAGUCUACACACAUUCGUACCUUUCUAUCUUUCUUAGAAACUGGUACUAUAUUGGCUACCCACUCUGGAUACUUAACCACUUGUAGAAAACCUGCAUCAAAUUAUUUUUUUACCUCUUUUUUGAUCUUUAGUAGCAUUUCAAGCUUUAUUCGUCUUAGUUUCUGUUGAACUAGCUUACAUUCUAGCUUUAGGGGUAAUCUGUGCUCCACUACCUCCGUGCUCAACCCUGACAUAUCCUGGUAAGACCAAGUAAAUACAUCUAUUAAUUCUUGAAGUAGGUCUGCCAAUCGUUGUCUAUCUCCUGAUGAAAGUGAAGUGCCCAUUCUGACAUCUUUCUUAUUCUCUUCACCUCUCAAAUUCAUUAAGUCAACUAUAUCCUGAUGAGGCUCAAUUGGUUUAUUUUCUUGUUCAAUCAAUCUCAUUAGGUCUGGAGGCAUAACAUAUUGCUCAGAAUUCUCUUCAUUGUCAAGUUCAUCAAUGUUAAUUAAAUUCUCAAAACUAACCUUUUAAUCGUUAUCAUGAUUAUCUUCAUGUUCAUUUAAAGACCUGAAAUUGGAUGAAAUGGGAUAUGUUGGUAAGAUGUGCUUGGAAAGAUGAAAAUAAUAAAGACACAAGAAGAAAUGAAUGAAAAUGCAUCUUUUUUAUUUUUUAUUAAAAAUAAUAAAAGAUAAAUGGCCCAAACAAGAAAGAUCACCCCAAUGCCUUGGACGAUAGCUAUUGGGAUGUUACGAUUACAUUGUAUUAGUCUAAAAAGUCACAGACAUCUCGAUGGCACUUCAAUUAUUCAGCUCAUAAUCUGGUAGACAAAGGUGAACCCACUCCUUUUGAUUAAGCCUCACUUCUCUUCAACAACAUUAAUGGUUAACUGGGCAAAAGUGUUUUCCACAUUUUUUUCUAUAUUUGGGUACAUGAAUCCUCCAGGUAUAAAAGUCUCAUACAGGUGUGGGAUAACCAUUAGUCUUGCUGUCUUUCCUUUCGACCUUCUUUUGACCUCUCAUUCUACCAUCUCAUAGCCUAAGCCUAAUCUAUCGCUAUUGUUUAUCACCAUCGGGGGUUUUUUUAUUCCUUGCAGGUUCUUACCCAGCCCCAGUCUUAGAUACCAACCCUUAUUGAUGACUUGGCCCAUCACUAUCCUUGAAAAGAGUUAAUUUUUAAAUCCUUCACCUAUAUAAUUAACCAAUUCAAAAGAUCGAUAAGAGCAUUUUAAUGCUUUUUCGACGGCCUCUACAUAUGGAGUAUUCAAUGGUUAGGUCACUAGCAUGUCUUCCUCCCCAACUACCAUUACUAAUUGACCUUCUACAUUAAACUUGAUCUUUUAGUGCAAAGUAGAGAGCACAGCUCCUGCUAUACGAAUUCAUGGCCUUCCUAACAUACAGCUAUAGGAUGGAGAGAUAUCCAUCACUUGAAACUUCACAUUGAAAGUACAUGGCCCAAUUUGUAAAGGCGUCUCGAUAUCCCCCAAGAUUUCUCUUCUGGUCUCAUCAAAAGCUCUUACAAUCAUCUGACUAUCUUUCAUAUGAGAGUAGUCAAUGGGUAACCUUGCCAAAGUUGACAUAGGCAUGAUAUUGAUAGCAAAACCAUUAUCGAUAAGGACCUUGGCUAUGAUAUGGCUCUUGCACUUGAUUGUGAUAUAUAGAGCCUUGGCAUUUCUUUUUUCCUUCAAAGGAAUCUUAUCAUCGCUGAACGAAAUUUGAUUCGAUAUGACUAAAUUUUUAGCCAGGUGGUUUACAUAUUUAACAGAUACAUUAUGUGCCACGUAUGCCUGAUUCAACACUUUCAGUAAGGUAUUUCGGUGUGACUCUGAGUUUAACAGCAGUGAUAGUAAUGAUAUUCGAACUGACAUUUUAUUCAACUAUUCAACAACUGAGUAUUCACUAUGUUUUACCAGCUUCAGAAAUUCACAAACUUCUCUUUUCGAUAUUGACUUCGAGCAAUCUUCUUCAGGUUUUAUUUCAAGAUUAUUUAAUCUUUCUUCUUCCUUGGCCUUCUCUCUUCUAGCCUUCUUUAGUAUUUCUGAAGUGUAGCACCUUUCACUUCGGGUAAUACCUCUUACACCAAUUAUGUUGAAAGCAUUAGGUUUGGAGACAUCAUCUUUUUACCCCUGAAUUACAGUAUCACAACCAUAUUUUCAGGGUAUAAAUUUAUCGUCCUUGUAUGGAAAGAAAGUCAAAACUUUAAAAGUUACUAGCCUAGGAAUGAGUUUGUCUAUGUAGACUUUGGCUUGUUUUCACAAUGGAUUGUUACCGAUUUUGGAAAUAGCUUUACAGGCUUAUCAGUCAUGGACACCUCCACACUUUUUAAGUCUUCUCUUCUUUCAUAGACUUUCAUUUGAUAUAAAUCCAAGAGUUUUUGUAUCUCUUGGUGAAACUGCUCACAGGUUUCAAUAGAAUGGCCUAUUACCCCACUAUGAUUAGUCAAUGCAAUCAUUCUCUAUCAUUAACUAGUAAUAUCUUGCUCUCAUGAUCUGUCUCACCAUCAUAUGUCCACUAGUAUGUGCCUCACAUAUUUUAUCAUGCACUCCUUCAAUGAUUUUCCUCACUUCAGUCUUACUUACGCACCUCAAUAAUACUUGAUCCUGGCUUUUUUUGUACAGAACAUCUCCAUCUAGGAAAAAGCUCAUAGUCAAUCUUCGGAUGACCCUUUUAUCAUGUUUUAUUGCUUGAACUAGAUACUGCUGAUCCUUAAUAUACUGUAAGAUGUCAUAAUACCAGGGCUUUCCAUCUCUUUCUUCUUUUACAUUAGAGCAAUAAAUUGGUAUACCCUUAACAUCUAGCUUGAUGGGCUGAAUGUCAAUAUUGUCAUUAAUUCGAAUCAUUGCAGCCAGAGUAGCCAAUGCAUCAGCAAUCAAAUUCUUUUCUCGAGGUAAGUAGUCAAACUGAAUAUCUUCAAAUUAUUUCAUUAACUCUAGAAUAUACUUAUGAUAUGAAACGAGUUUUGAAUCUCUCAUCUUUUAUUCUCCUUUCAAUUGAUAUAUAAUUAGAGCUAAGUCUCCGAACACUUUUAAUGCUCUCACUCCUCUAUCUAUAGCAGCUUGCAAGCCCAUGACACAUGCCUCAUAUUCAGCGAUGUUAUUUGUGUAAUUGAAAUUUAACCUUGCUGUUAUAAGGCAGUAUUGUUCUUGAAUUACCCCAAUUCCAUGCCCCAAGACAUUGGUAGCUCUAUCAAAGUACAUUCUCCAACAUUUUUCUCCAUGCUCCUUUUCUUCCAGUUGAGAAAUAGUCAUUAGGUCUUCAUCAGGGAAUUCCAACUUCAUUGGCUCAUACUUUUCAGUAGCACGAUCUGCAAAAAAUUUCGCUAUAGCAUCCCCUUUUAUUAGUUUUUGGCUCACGUAUAUAAUAUUAUAUUUCGAGAACAUUACUUGCCAUCUAGCAAUUCUUUCAAACAAAGAAAGCUUCUCGAAGAUAUACUUAAUUGGAUCCAAUUUUGCUAUGAGCCAUGUAGUAUGAUAGAGCAUAUACUAUCUAAGUCUUUUGGCAUGCACAACACAUUUUCUCCAAUGAAAAAUACUUGGAUUCAUAUUCUGUGAACUUUUUACUCAGAUAGUAAAUAGCUUUCUCCUUUCGGCUAUACUCGUCUUGCUGUCUAGCACACAUCCCAUUAAAUUUUCACAUACAAUUAAGUAUAAAAUUAGAGGUUUCCCUGGAACAGGUGGCACCAACACUGAAGAGUUUGACAAGUAUUGCUUAAUUUUAUCAAAUGCCUCUUGACAUUUCUCAUUCUAUUUUUCAAGAUUAUUUUUACGGAGAAGCUUAAAUAUGAGAUCACAUUUGUAAGUAAGUUGAAAGAUAAAUUGAGAAAUGUAGUUCAAUCUCUUUAGAAAACCUCAAAUUUUCUUUGGUGUGCUGAGAGGUGACAAAUUCUGAAUGGCCCGUAUCUUAUCUGGAUUGACUUCAAUUCCUCUUUCACUGACCACAAAGCCCAGUAACUUCUCUGACUUUACCCCAAAGGUGCACUUGGCUGGAUUUAAUUUAAGUUGAAAUCUUUUCAACCUCUUAAAUAACUUUCUGAGGUUGGUGGCAUGAUCUUCAUCCUCACAAGACUUUAUAAUCAUAUCAUCUACAUACACCUCAAUCUCUUUGUGCAUCAUGUCAUAGAAGAAUGUUACUAUGGCCAUUUAAUAUGUUGCCCCAGCAUUCUUUAACCCUAAAGGUAUGACCUUGUAACAAAAAAUUCCCCACAUAGUCACGAAAGUAAUCUUUUCCAUAUCAUCUGCAGCCAUUUUCAUCUGAUUAUAUCCUGAGAAACCAUCCAUAAAAGAAAAAACUGAAUGCUUAGCCAUGUUAUCCACCAGUGUGUCGAUAUGAGGCAAAAAAAAGUUAUCCUUUGGACUAGUCUUAUUCAAGUCUCGAUAGUCUACAAUAUUCGUACCUUUUUAUCUUUUUUAAAAAAUGGUACUAUAUUGGCUACCCACUCUGGAUACUUAGCCACUUGUAGAAAACCUGCAUCAAAUUUUUUUUUACCUUUUUUUUUAUUUUUAGUAGCAUUUCAGGCUUCAUUCGUCUUAAUUUCUAUUGAACUGGCUUACAUUCUAGCUUUAGGGGUAAUCUGUGCUCCACUACCUCCGUGCUCAACCCUGGUAUAUCUUGAUAAGACUAAGUAAAUACAUCUACGAAUUCUCGAAGUAGGUCUGCCAAUCGUUGUUUAUCUCCUAAUGAAAGUGAAGUACCUAUUCUGACAUCUUUUUUAUUCUCUUCAUCUCUCAAAUUCACUAAGUCAACUAUCUCCUGAUAAGGCUCAAUUGGUUUAUUUUCUUGUUCAAUCAAUCUCAUUAGGUCUGGAGGCAUAACAUAUUCCUCAAAAUUUUUUUCAUUGUCAAGUUCGUCAGUGUUAAUUGAAUUCUCAAAGCUAACCUCUUUAUUGUUAUCAUGAUUAUCUUCAUGUUCAUUUAAAGACCUGAAAUUGGAUGAAAUGGGAUAUGUUGGCAAGAUGUGCUUGAAAAGAUAGAAAUAAUGAAAACACAAGAAAAAAUGAAUGAAAAUACAUUCUUCUUAUUUUUAUUAAAAAUAAUAAAAGAUAAAUGGCUCAAACAAGAAAGAUCACCCCAAUGCCUUGGGCGAUAGCUAUUGGGAUGUUACGAUUAUAUUGUAUUAGUCUCAAAAGUCACAGGCAUCUCGAUGGCACUCUAAUUAUUCAGCUCAUAAUCUGAUGGACAAAGGUGAACCCACUCCUUUUGAUUAAACCUCACUUCGUCUUCAACAGCAUUAACGGUUAACUGGGCAAAAACGUUUUUCACACUUUUUCUUGUAUCUGGGUAUAUGAAUCCUCCAGGUCUGAAAGUCUCAUACAGGUGUAGGAUAACCAUUAGUCUUACUGUCUUUCCUGUCGGCCUUCUUUUGACCUUCCAUUCUGCCAUAUCAUAGCCUAAGCCUAAUCUGUCGCUAUUGUCUAUCACCGUCGGGGGUUCCUUUAUUCCCUACAGGUUUUUACCCAGCCUCAGUCCUGGAUACCAACCCUUAUUGAUGACUUGGCUCAUCACUAUCCUUAAAAAAGGCUAAUUUUUAAUUCUUUCACCUACAGAAUUAACCAAUUCAAAAGAUUGAUAGGAGCAUUUUAAUGCUUCUUCGGUAGCUUUUACAUAUGGAGUAUUCAAUGGUUGGGUCACUAGCAUGUCUUUCUUCCCAACUACCACUACUAAUUGACCUUUUACAUUAAACUUAAUCUUUUGGUACAAAGUAGAGGACACAGCUCCUGUCAUGUGAAUCCAUGGCCUUCCUAACAGACAGCUGUAGGAUGGAGAGAUAUCCAUCACUUGAAACUUCACAUUGAAAAUACAUGGUCCAAUUUGUAAGGACAUCUCGAUAUCCUACAAGACUUCUUUUUUGAUCCCAUCAAAGGCUCUCACAAUCAUCUGACUGUCUUUCAUAUGAGAGUAGUCAAUAGGUAGCCUUGCCAAAGUUGACAUAAGCAUGACAUUGAUAGUAGAGCCAUUAUCGAUAAGAACUUCAGCUAUGAUAUGGCUCUUGCACUUGACUGUGAUAUGCAGAGCCUUGGUAUUUUUUUUUCCUUCAAAAGAAUCUUAUCAUCGCUAAAUGAAAUGUUAUUCGGCAUGACUAGAUUUUCAACCAGGUGGUUCACAUACUCAACAGAUACAUUAUGUGCCAUGUAUACCUGAUUCAAUACUUUCAAUAGGGUAUUUCGAUGUGACUCUGAGUUUAACAGAUGAUAGUUGAGUUGGCAUUUUAUUCAACUGUUCAACAACUAAGUAUUCACUAUGUUUUACCAGCUUCAAGAAUUUACAAACCUCUCUUUUUGAUACUGGCUUCGAUCAAUCUUUUUCAGGUUCUAUUUCAGAAUUAUUUCAUAUUUCUCCUUCCUUGGCCUUCUCUCUUCUAGCCUUCUCUAGCAUUUUUUAAAUGUAGCACCUUUCACUUCGGGUAAUACCUUCUACACCAGUUAUGUUAGAAGCAUCAGUUUUAGAGACAUCCUCUUCUUGCCCCUGAACUACAGUAUCACAGCCAUAUUUUUAGGGUAUAGCUUUGUCAUCCUUGUAUGGAAAAAGAGUUAAAACUUUAAAAAUUAUCAGCCUAGGAAUGAGUUUGUCUAUAAUAGACUUUGGCUUGUUCCCAUAAUGGAUUGUCACUGACUUUAGAAAUAGCUUUACAGGCUUAUCAGUUAUGGAUACUUUCACAUUUUUUAAGUCUUCUCUUCUUUCAUAGACUUCUAUUUGAUAUGAAUCCAAGAGUUUUUACACCUCUUGGUGAAACUGCUCACAGGUUUCAAUAGAAUGGCCUAUUAUCCCACUAUGAUAUUUACAACUAGUGUCGACUACAUAUACUCCAUGAUAAUUAUGCAGACUCACCAAUUGUAUCAUGUCAGCUUUUCACAAAAUAUCAAACAACUGAUUAAGAGGUGUCUUAAUAUCUACCAUUUUUUUCUUCACAUAACGCUCUUGUUCUUUACUUAUAGCAUUCACAUUAUGAUUCGGUAAAGGAUUGCCAUUAACAUUCGGUGCAGUUACCCCUCCUAUAUCAAAGCAAAUCAUUUUGUCUUUGAUCAACCGUUACACUUUACAUUUCAGGGCAGUGUAAUUUUUGAUGGAGUGACCAACGAUCCCAUAAUGGUAGUCACAAUGGGCUGUGGGAUCAUACCACUUAGGAUAAGGUGACUUAAGGGAUUCCAAUUUACUAGAAGUAAUUAAAUGACUAUUGUAAAGCUCCUUAUAUAAUUCUGUAUAAGUCAUUGGAAUUGGGUCAAACACAGGUUUCUCACGGGUAGUUCGUUGCUCCCGUGAACCACCCAUGGGGUUAGUUGGGUGAGUUUGAGGUUUUGGGGUAGGUUGAUUGUUAGGACUGUAUGUGGUAUUUUGAGGCCUAUGAGGGGUUUGAUAUGUUUGGGGUUAAGGUGACUAUACAAAUGGUUGAUAUAGGAAAGAGAAGUGUUAUUUAUAGUAAGGUAAUAUGAUAGGUACCCUGGUGGUGAGUAGGGUUGAUAGCCCCCAAAUUGCUGUCUAUCAAAGCUCACAACCUGAGCUUCAGUUUCUUUCUUCGAGACUUUUUUGCUAGAUGCUUCAUUUCUUUUCAGCUUACCAUUCUUGAUGACACUCUCAAUAAUUUCUCCUAAGAUUACCAUAUCAACAAAGUUUUAUGUUACAUUCCCUAUCAUAUUUUCAUAAUAAGGAGGUUUCAAAGUGCUAACAAACAGCACUGUGGUCUUUUUCUCAGUCAGUGAAGGUUGUACCUGAAAAGCUAUAUCCUUUCAUCUCUGGGCGUACUCUUUAAAAGACUCAUUUACCUUUUUUUUCAGGUUCUAUAAAGACAAACGAUCAGGAGCCAAAUUGAUAAUAUGUCGAUAUUGACUGAUGAAGUCAUGAGCCAUAUUACUUCAAGAGCGAAUGCGGGUCCUGUCCAGCUGAACAUACCAUCUGGCAGCAGAACCAGUAAGGCUAUCUUGGAAAACAUGCAUCAAGAGUUUUUCAUCAUGAGCAUGAGCUGCCAUCUUCCUACAAUACAUGGUGAUGUGAGUUUUGGGGCACUCAUACCAUCAUAUUUUUUAAAUUCUGGUACUUUGAACUUAUGAGGAAUGACCACAUCAGGGACUAAGCAAAGCCCAGCAGCAUCAACUGAACCAUAAAAAUCAAAACCUUCUACAGCCUGUAGCCUUUGUUCUAGCAUACUAAUCUUGAAGCUUUCUUGAGUUUUCACUCUUAUCUUUUUUUUCUCCUUCUCUUUGAAAUCAUCUAGAUCAGGAAUUGGUUCUACUACCUUUUCAGUAAAGACAGGAUUUACAUAGCUAUUAUAAUGCCCUGGGUUAGAAGCUAACGGUAUUCCAGGAUAUGUUGGAUAUGUGAAGUGUUACGGUGGAACCUCUUGAGCAGACUGGGCUUGAGAGGGGCCAAAACUUAGAGGAUACAAAAGGUCAGCCACUUCUUACAAUAGGGGAACUUGUUGGCUUGUAUUUUUUUCAACUUUUUUUCCCUUAUUUAGCUUAUUGAGAGCAUCCAGAAUCUCGCUCAACUUACUUUCAAUCUUUUCCUAUGCUUUUUCUAUCUUUUCAAAUUAUGAGAAUUUUUUUGCUCCAUUUGUCUGGCUCUGGAUCUUGUGUUGUAUCGAUGGACAAGGUUCUCGCUAGAUGGAGCUAUCUUUGAACCUUGAGUACCAUGUCUUAGAAUUAGUAAAUUUGUAUGACUAUCAUAUGGUUACUUUAUGAGAAUGCAAUGAAUGAAAAAUACAUGUAUGCAAAGAACAUUUGCCUUAAAAGCGGUAUUCAACUAAAAGUUUUCAUUUAUUUCAAAAACUUUUUAUCUACAAUGAGUUUAUCAUCCUAGAAUUAUAAUCAUAAAAUUAUUUGAUCUGUUCAUAUUGAGCCUUGACUUCCUUAAUGAAGUUCAACAGAUGCUGUCCAUGUUCUCUUACUAGGGUCACCACUUUUUUCAAUGCCUCUACCUCUUCCACCAUCUCUCUUGCCUUGCAUACCCCUUUAUGGAUUUGGAUCGUUAGGUGCUCAAUGUAUUUUUGUCUUCCUAAGUUCUCUCUUUUACCAUAUCAGACUUGGUAUGAUAAUUCUCUAUGCUCCCUAACCAAUGCAGUAAUGUGGUCUUCUUGUUCAUUCAACUUUUACCUUAGCCUACUCAGAUAACUAUUUAGCAUGUUACUCUCUAUCUGUACUUGGGUUCUUUCUUCUUUCAAUUUAGCUUACUCUUGCUUCAAUCUUGCAUUUUCUUCAGUCAGCUCGAUAAUGGUUAUUUCUUUGGCCCUUUCUCUCACAUAUAACCUUUUAUGCUCUUGGUGUAGCUUUGCUCAGUCUUCAAUAGCUGCAUCACGUUCUUUAGCAAUCUUGUGAACUUUAACUUCAUGACUUUUAACUCUAUUUUUUCAUUGGUCUUUUUCUUCUUGAAGCUUUCUGGAUUUCUUUCUUUAACUUACCCUUUUUCAGACUCAAAUUCUUUUGUUGCAAGCUCUAAUUCUGAUGGUGUCUCUUUGAGUUUAAUUUCUUUUUCUUCCCCAACCCGAUUCGAUUCUUUUAUUUAUUUCUUUUUUCUUACGAUACGACAAUUUUGAUUAUCAGAUUUUUUUAAUAAAGCAUCAGUCUACGUUUGAUAAUUUUGAGUCAAUUGAAGCAGAUACAAAAAGAAUUCAAAUACAAAUUACAGGGCGUAUCGACGAAAAAGAAAUUACGCGUGUCGAAUGGAUCCGGGAAGGUAGGGUUCCUUUACAAAUGAUUGGAGCAAAAAUUGAGUAUUGCUCCUAUAGAGUUCGAACUAUCUAUGGGGUAUUAGGAAUCAAAACCGCUCUUGCAAUUGGGUCGUUGCGAUUACGGGUUGGAUGUCUAAUUGUCCAGGCGGUAAUGAUAGUAUCUUGUACCUGAACCGGUAGUAAAGUUUUUAGUUUUAAAUUAUUCGAUAUGCACGUUAAUCAAUUUUUAAAUUAUGGAUAAAUACAAGCGAUCUUUUCGUAGGCGUUUGCCCUCGAUCCAAUCGGGGUAAGUUUUCAAGAAACUGCUCGAGUUUUAGCAAAAGCUGCUCUCCGAGGUCGUAUCGAUUGGUUGAAAGGCCUGAAAGAGAACGUCGUUCUAGGGUGUAUGAUACCCGCUGGUACCGGAUUCAAAAGAUUUUUUUUGUUGGUGGUUGAAAGAUUUCAUAAGUGAAUACCAUUUCUUGUCUUCUUUUUAUUCUCCAAACUAAGUACCAUGGAGUGACUUUAUCAGUAAAUGGUUCAAGACUCACUCUUCAAGGAUUUUUCUAUGCUUUAAUCAUCUCAUUCAUCCUCUGAAAUGCUUUAGGCUCAUUGUAAGAAAAAUCUAACUGAUGAAGCCCAUAAGUCAUAGGAAUGAAUUGUUCUCCCCCAAAUUUCCUUCUCACUAGGAGUGGUGAAUAAUUUGCCGUUCCCCAUAAACCCAGAAGUGGGACCACUAUACUAUCCCCAUAUUGAUACAACAUAAGCUCACGAUUCAUCUAUGGGGCCAACCAUUUCACCUUGGCGCUGGUCAACUUUUGUAGGAAAGUUAUCCAUUCCUUUUUAGACUUUCGUUUUGACCACCCACUUUCACAGAAUUCUUUGAUCGGAGCACAAUUACGGAUAUAAAGCUUCGAGAAAGCACCAUUUCCCCAUUCAAAAUGGCUUUUCAUCCAUAAGUACAAUAACUGUAUGCAACCUAUGAAGUGCCCUCCAUUCCGACGAUAAUAACUCAAAAAUCUGAUAGUCUCUGCUAAUAUUACCAUUGAAAGAUUACAACCAUUGAUCACACUCUCGAAGAAGUCAACCACCGCUAUCUUAAUAUAUCCCAAAACCUUUGAAAAGAUCACCAUUCCGUAUACGGUCAAGGCAAAUAUAUCUAACCCCCAUUCUUCAUUGGCAUGUUGCACCAGAAACUCACGAAAAAACUUCCAAGGUAGGUAAACCUAUUCUUAUUUCUUCUUUGUAUGAGAAUCCACAAUUUCCUUGUCUAUCCCCAUGAGUUGAGCCAGACCUUUACAAAAUCUUAACUUGUAUUUUUUGACAUAUAUUUUGUCAGGAGCCUUGAGGUGCAAACCUAACAAAAUCGAAUAUUCUUCGAUGGUGAGAGUCAUAUAAGCUUCGUUAAAGAUGAAACACUUGUAUGUAAGAUCCCAGAAUUGUACUGUAACUCUGAUUAGUUGAUCAUCAAUAACUACUGUUAGAAGGUGUGCUAUAUGACCAUGUCUCUAGCAAAACUGCUCUUGUCUUGACGGACUCAUCUUCCUCUAGAUAUCAACCAAAUCUUUUAGAUUAUUCUGUUUGAAGAGGAUAGAUAUUUUUUGAGACAGAGUAGAAUCAUACCCGAUUAGCAAGCAAUCUCCCAUCUUCAGUUGAAUCUUUUCUGACUGGGCCCUUACUUUUGUUGGGUGUCUCACAAGGUGCUAACACGGAUGAAGAACAAACUAGUCGUUCAGUGGAGUCCAUGAAAAAUUUUGUUGAAGACCGUCUUUCAAGCAAAUGUUCUUUAUGCAACUUUAUGAUAUGCGUAUGAACCAAUGCAAAAGAAUGAAAAAAAAGUUAGUAUGCCUAGAAAAAAAAAAUAAAAAAAUAACUAAGUAAAUUAAAACAUCACACAGAAAAAGAGGAAUGAACCCUAUACUUCUGGUCAAUUCUAAAAAGGAAGAAUGAUAGCUCUAUCUAUAGGUUAGGCACUCUUAAUGUUCUCUAUAUGUGGUUUAAGGUCAAAGUCUAAAGGUUUCCAAAUUGCUCCUUACAUCCUUGUCUAUCAUAGACUAGUAAAGCACCCUAAUCCUCACCCAUUACAGGCUACGAGCGAAAAAGGUUCAAUUUGAGUGGAAGUAUUUCGCUAACCACUACGGAGGCAUUAGACCUCACGAAAGCAAUAUGUAUUUUACUCCCUCCUAGAGGGACGGAGCUUGGGUAUAGAGCUCAUGUUAUGCACAUGUAUAUAAAUGACAUAAUUAACAAAGUAAAUAAACAUGAAUGAAUAAUAACAUAUAUACAAAAAGGUUCAAUUUUAUUAGGCUUUUGGAUAACACAAAUUAUUUGCUGGCCUGACUCUCAGAGUCUCCAGUGGAGCGUUAAGCUGUCAAAACGUCUAGAUUCAAGGAUUUAUUGCUAGACAUUGACUUAAGGAGUCACCACCAAUCUUUUUUUUUAUCUAGGUACGAUUGGCCACCUAAAGAAUCUGUCCUUUCAGGGAACGCCUAAGUUUAAGGGUCCCUAAAAGAAUAGGUUCAGGUCUACUAACCAGAAUAGGGUUUGGGAGUUCGGUUACGUGUGAAGAAGGUUAUAGCACCUUCACAACGCUCAUCAAAAGAUGGUACUAGCUUAAUUUUCUGUUAUCCAAUAACCUUAAAAAUUUACCAAGUGAUUAGCUGUUGAAAAUUGUUCUCAAUUAACUCUAAUACUUUUAGCAUAAAAUUGAAAAAAUCUCAUCUCAAGAGUAUGCAAGAAAACUACUGUUUCACUCGCAGAGGCUCCAUCGUCGGAUUAUUUAACAUUAAAAAAAAUAAAAAAGAAGAAAAAAAAAUGAUUGUUUUUGUGUAGGAAAAAUUGAUACUUUCAACUUUUUCUCAAAAAUUUAUUUUUGAAAACUUAUUUUUAAGGAAAAUUGAUACUUUCAACUUUUCCCUAAAAAUAUUUUUAUUUUUGGAAACUUUAAUUUCGAGAAAAAUUGAUACUUUCAACUUUUCUUCAAAAAUAUUUUUUGAAAAAAACUUUAAUUUCGAGGAAAAUUGAUACUUUCAACUUUUCCUCAAAAUUUUUUUUUUUGAAAAUUUAGUUUUAAGAAAAAUUGAUGCUUUCAACUUUUCCUCAAAAUCUUUUUUUUGAAAAUUUAUUUUUAAGAAAAAUUGAUACUUUCAACUUUUUUCCAAAAAUAUUUUUUGAAAAAUUUGAAUUUCGAAAAAAAUUGAUACUUUCAACUUUUCCUCAAAACCCUUUUUUUUUGAAGAUUUAUUCUUAAGAAAAAUUGAUACUUUCAACUUUUCCUCAAAAAUAAUUUUUUUGAAUUUUAUUUAAAAAAAAUAAAAUAAUAAAAAAUGAAAAAAAACGAAAAUAAAUAAAAAUAAAAAUAUUAAACAAUUUUGAUAUAAUAAUAAUAAAUAAAUAAAAAUAAAAAUAAAAAUAAAAAAUGAAAAAAAAAAACUUGGAAUGGCUCGGCUAACGGCUCGGCUCGACUCGGCUUAAGGAAGAAAAACGGCCAGGAGAAGCAGUUCAGGAGUGUCGGCUCGACUAACAGCUCGAAAAAACGGGUUGGAAGCGGGUCGAGGCUCGGGUUGGGUCGCCCGAUUUCAAAACACGUGGAUCUUAUUGGCACAGUAACGCCAAAACGACAUCAUUUUCAGUGGAUAUAAAAAGCUAAUUCAUUCAUUUUUUCAGCAGACUGAACCUUCCCUCUCUCUCUCUUCCUUCUUCUUCUCUCUUUUCUCUCUAAAAUACCCGAAUAACUUCGGUUGAAUAUUUACAGGAUUCUAGAAAUUUCGUCAGAAUCUGAGUUUUUUGCUGAAAGUUCACCGAAAAGUUAGUUGGCUUCUGGAAAUUCCUACCGAAAACUGGGCAGCUAGCCGAAAAAUUCAAACUUGGCCGGAAUAGAGUCGAAAAAUUCAACCUUCGUUGAAAAAUUCAACCGAAAUCUAAAAAUUUUUCAAAAAUUUUCAGAAAAAAAAAUUCACAAAAAUUCUCCAAAAAUUCCUACCGAUUCCUAGAGCUGUUCUAAACGUACCAAAACCUUUUUUACUUUUAAAUCUUCUCUGUAUCUGCCUUUUCUCUCAGCCAGUAACUCUUUCUCUAUGUUUUUUCCUUUGAUCCGAGGGUCUUUUUAUAAGAAUUGAUCAGAAGAGUUUCUGAUUAAUCUCAACUCCUCUUCGAAUUGAGAUUCAAUCAUUGAAUCCAAUAUGAACUCUGAUUGAAUCCCAAUUCAUAGUAGGAUUCCUCCAAAACCAAUCCAAUCUUCCACCGAAAAAAAUCAAAAAAAAAAUUAAAAAUAUUAAUAUAUAAUUAAAUGAAGAUAAUUAGAUAAAUAAAAAAAUUAACAGAUAAAUUACCAGUAAUAAUAGAUAAAUGAUAAUAAAUAUAUAAAAGAUAAAGAAAAGAAAAAAAGAAAAAAAUAUAUAUAUACAAAAAAUAUAAAAUAAAAAUAAAAUAUAAAAAUACAAAAAUAAUAAAAAAUAAAGUGAACCAACCUAUUUGGACCAGGCCCAAUUGAUCCGGACCUGGACCAAAUUAGGUGUCUACACACGUGCCUAAAAAGUCCAACCACAUUAUUAAUGUCACAUCACGUCGAUGUCAUAUUUAAAAGAAAUUUUCUAAAAAAUUAUAAAAUAUUUAAGCAAAUUUAAAUUUUUUAAAAAAAAUAGGAAAAGCACAAAAAGAUUCUAAAAAGUAUUAAAAAUUUUAAAACAUUAUAGAUUUUUUUAAAAAUAUUUUAAAAGUUCUCAAAACUUUGAAAAUUUUCUAAAAAGUUUUAAAACUUCAAAAAAAAUUUAAAAAAUUUAUAAAAAUUCUAAAUAAUUCUAAAAUAUUUUAAAAAAUUCUAAAAAAAAUUUAAAUUUUUUUUAAAUUUAUAAAAAAAUUAAUUAAAAAACACUAAAAAAAUUUUAACAAACUUCUAAAAUUUUUUAAAAUGAUUUUUAAUGUGCAAUUUUUUUAAUUUCUCAAAAUAUUCAAAAAAUUAUAAACAACAUUAAAAAAUUCUAAACAUUAUCGAAAAAUUAUAACAAAAUUUUUAAAAGUUUGAAAUUUAUAAAAAAUUAAAAAUAUGAAAUAUUUUAAUAAAUUAUAAACAUUAUCAUAAUGUGAAAAUUUUUUAAAAUUCUGAAAAUUUCUUAAAAAAUAAAAAAAUUCAAAAAAAGUUUAAAUUGAUAAAAAUUUAAUUUUCUUAAAGUUUAAAAAAUACUAAAACUUAAAAAACUAAAAAUAAGAAAAAAACCAAAAAAUUUUAAAAUCUUUUCAAAAAUUAAAUAACUUCAAAAUUUUCAAACAUUCUUUUAAAAUUCAAAAAUAUAUAAAAAAAUAAAAUUUAAAUUUAAAUAAAAAUCCAAAACAUAUAAAAAUUUUGAAAAAUUAAAAAAAUAUAUAAAAAGCUGAAAUUGUAAGAUUAAAAAAUAUGUAAAAAUUUUAGAACCUUUAAAUUUUUUUAUAUUCUUUUAAAAAAAAGUUUAUAUUCUUUUAAAAAAAAUUUUAGUUUUUCUUUUUUUUUAAAUUUAACAAAAAUUUAAAUUUUAUUAAAAUCAUCAUUUUUUCUUUUUAUAUUCUUUUUCUAUUUGAAUUUUUAAUUCUUUUGAAUUUUCAAAAUUUUUUAAUUUUAAAAUUUUCCAGAAUUUUUUAGAAAUUUUUAAUUUUUUUAAAUUUGUAAAAACUUUUAGAAUUUUUAAAAAAUUUAAAAAAUUUUAAUUUUCUAAAAAAUUUUUGAAAUUAUUUUAGAAUUUAUAGAACUUUUGAAAAAUUUUUAGAAUUUUUUAAAAAAUUUUCAUAAUUUUUUAGACUUUUUGAAAAUUUUAAUAAUUUUUUAAAAUUCUUUUUUAUUUUUAAAAAUUUUUUAGAUUUUUUAUUUCAAUUUUUUAAUUUUUUUUAAAUUUUCAAAAAAAAUUUAAAAAUUUUUUAAUAUUUUUAGAAUUUCUUAAACUUUUUUUUUUUUAGAUUUUUUGAAGUUUUCAAUUCUAUGAAUUUUUAGAAAAUUUUAAAAUAUUUUUAUAAUUGUUUUCGAAUUUUUUAGAAAUUUUCUUUUAAAUCUAAUGUGGGCAUAACAUGGGCAUGAUAGUGGCAUGAUAUGGUAAUAAUGAUUUGGCAUUUGGCUAGACUUUUGACACGUGUCAAUAUCUUAUUGGAUAUUCAUAUUAUGUUAGCAAAGUUAACUAUCUGCGUUAGUCAAAGUUACCAGUAUGAUAACGAUUUGAAAGCUCAGGUAACAAUAUGAUAGAAAAAUUUUUUAAGUUCCAAUGUGACCAAAAUUACAAAAUUCAGGGCCUAAAUACGUAUUUAACCCUAUACUUUAUAGUUUAGGUAAUAAGUAUAUGCAUUAUUAAUAUAAUGAUUAUGACUAUGUAUAUAUCCAAGGUAAAAUGCACUUAUAUUUAAUAUAUCCAUCAUGCAUAUUGCAUUUGUAAGAGAUCUCCGAAGGAGAUACUAUGGAAUUAUAAUAGAAAAACAUAUAAAAGGGUAAUGUUCAAUAGUGGUGCCAUAAAAAUCUUAGCAAUGUUAAGAAUAUAAGGCAUAUAUCCAUUUUUAUAUUUAUAUGUAUAUCACUAAAAAUGAAUAUUGAGUUUUUCAAGUCUUUUAAUUUAAUGAAUGAACAAAGACCAUUUAAUGAUGUUAAAUUCAUGGUUUCAUGGGUUAUCACAUUUCGUGGCUUGAAUACAUAUUUUGUGAAUUUUGCAUAUGGUAAUGACUUGAAACAUCCAUGAGCCUAGAAUUGGAUAUGGAGAACAUAUGCAUGGUUUACCAUAUAUUAAGAAAAUGAAAAUGGAUAACUGCUUGAAUGGAAACUCAAAUUAUCUUAUUAUUAGUAUAUAUGGCAUUUACAUGCAUAACAUUGAAAAUAAAAGUGGACAAGUCUUUAUGGUACACGAGUUUUUAUAAUUUCAGGGUAAGGGUAUUGAUGAGAGCUUAUAUAUACAACAUUAAUAUAUGGACUUGAUAAUGAUGAUAGCUUUCAAUAACCUCAAUCCUUGGAAUUGAUCACUAAAUGAGUUAUUCAUGGAGAAUUAGGUAUGACCCUUAAAUGAAUCGUGCUUUUGAUAAAUUUAAAAAUAUUUAUUUGUAUAUAAUACAUAAAUGGGUUUUCUUAGUGAUUUUUGCAUAAAAGUGAUAUUUGUUUAAUUUUAUUUGAUAAUAAUCAUGGCUUGUAUAAAUGAUUUAAAUCUUAUUAUUUUAUUAAAAGUUUUGAGAUAUAGUGAAAAUAUAAAAUUAUAUUCACUUUGAAAGUCAUGAGUGAUUCAAAUAUUUUAUGAAUAUAAAAAAAAAUAGCAAGAUGAAUGCUAUUUGAUCCAUUUGGGUGAUGGACAUGGUUUUGCUCAUGACAAAAUUAUGGUUAGUAGUGUUCAUGAUGAAAUAUAUUCAUAAGUUUUCAUGAGUUCGCAUAAAAGUCUAAAUAAAAAGAUUUUAAAAAACAUAAUUUUACUAAAAUAAAAAAAAUUAGAGUGAUUAUAUUUGACAUCAUUCUUAUUGAUAUAUACUUUUAUACUGAGUUUAAAUAAAAGUUUGAAAACUUUUAUAAGAAGAAAAUAUUAAGAUAUAGAAUAUUUGCUAGUUAUUUUUUACUAAAGGUAGAUUUCAAGGUCUCCUACUUAAAAAAAAAAAAUCACCUAAUAGUGAAAAGAUAAAUGUAAUGGUAACUUAAUUAAGUAUAUAUGAUAUCUUGAUAAUUAAAUAUGGCAUUCUUUAAUAAAAGAAUACAUAUUUUGCACAUGAUGGAGGUGAUAAGAAUCAAAAGAUAUAAAAUUCACCAUCAUAGUGUUGUAAGAUUUUAAAUAUAAUUUUAUGAGCAAAUUAAUCAAGCUAGUAAGUUUAGUACACUUAUUAAAAUAAAAUCAUAAAAAAGUUCAUAAAAAUUUUAAAAGGAUUAAAAUGACUUGGUUUAUUCACUGAGUUGAUCCAAUUAUAUUAGAAGUAUAAUUAUAUUAAAGAUGUAUAAAAGUGUAGAAAUAGAAUGGUUGAAAUUUAUGAAUAUAGAGUUGUUGCCAUAACCAAUAUCAUUUUAUUUUUUAAAAUGACAAGAACAAGGUAAUAAUAUCUAGAGCAAAUAAAUGAUAUGCAAAAUGAAAAGUUUGAACAUAUUAGUUUGAAGUAAUUAUAUUAGAGAUUCAAUCUCAAGUGGAAAUAAUUAUUAUAAAAAAAAAUUGAAUUCCAAAAUAUUUAGUUAGUAGCACUGCAAGUAUAAUAGAUUUAAACCCUAGUUAUUAGACACUAAUAAUAUGAACUCAACUUUGAAUUAGUAAUAUCUAAUUACAAAGUUUAAUAGGUAAAAAUAAAUUAUUGUUAUGUAUUUGUUAAGCACUAGUAAAAUUCAUUUAAAUUUUAGAAACUAAUGUGAUUCACUGCGUAUGAAUGAUGUGUUUUUAUAUUUUUAAUGGAGUUUAUUAUUUAAAUGUCUAAAGCAACUGGGAUAUAAUGAAAAUUCUACCUAUAUAAAUAUAAAAGUGGUGUUGCUUCGACAAAAAAAUUUAUGAUUUAUAAAUAUUUAUGAAUUUGAUAAGCGCAUGGAUAUAAUAGUCUAAAAUGGUUAUAAAUCUCUAACAGAAUAAUAAAUAAGUAUUAUGUGUGUUAUAUCUUUAAUUUUAAUACUAUGAGUUAAGGUUUAAUUAUUGAAUAAAAAGAUUUAAUCAUUGAUGAAUAAAAUUAAUUUUUGUACUAAUUUUAUUCAUAUAUUAAAAUAAUUAUAUUUGAAUAUAAAUAAUUAUUAUAUUAUAAAUGAUCAUAACUAUUUGAAUAUAAAUAAAUUAUUAUUUAUAAAAAUUAUGAUUAUAUAAAAAGUUAUAAUCGUUUGAAUAUAAAUUUAUAUAUAUUUAUUCAUUAUAAAUUAUUCUUUUUGUAUGAAUAUUUUUAUUAUUUUUGAUUAAAAAAUUUGAAAUUUUAUUAUAUCUUAAAGACAUAAUUACUUUAAAAAAUAUAUUUUUUAUAUCCCAAAAUUAAAAUUAUUUUAUUAUUAUUUUUUAUCUUAUUUAUUUUUUUUAACAAAAUUAUGAAAUAAUUAUUGAGAAUUUCACACGUUUUAGAAGACAAAUUUGAUUACAUGAUAGAAAAAGAGAUUGACUCAAAUGAAAAAAUUAUUUAUCUUGAAGUAAAAAAUUUGACUUUAAAUUCAAUUGAUAAUUUUUUAAAUUAUAGGGUAUAAUACAUUUUAUUUUAAAAAAUUUCAUAACUUAUUUAUCUUUAAAUUUUACGUAAAAAAAAUUUGAUUACGUUAUACCUUUCAAAAUAUUAAAAAAAAAAAAUUAAGUGAAUUGUUAAGCAGAGACAAGGCAGAGAGUAAAACUUGAUACUUUGUAAGAUUUAGUCAUAAUCAUACUAAUUCGGGUGAAUUUUUUUAAGAUAAAGUUGGCUUUUUUUUUUUUAGAAAAAAAAAAAAAAAGCGAAAGCAAAUAUCUUUCUCUGAAAUGGGGAAGUGGGAUCUGUGGACUGUCAAAUCAAUCAGGCAAUGACGGUGAUUGAUAAAGAUGCAAGAACUUUGCUAUGGUCUAAUCACCCUUCUCAGUCCCAAUCAAAAGCCAUAUUUAUUAAUUUAUAGUCUCUCGGAAAGUUAUUCUUGACUACAUCGAGAUGACACUGAAAAGUAAGGUGAUUGAAAAUUUGUUAACGACGGCGGAAGUGAAUGAAUGAUAUCUAACGGGCGGUUUUUAAUUCCUGGAAAGUUGAAUCAGUCUGGAAAUCAUUUAAUUAUUUUCUUACUAUUAGAAGGUGAAGGUAAAAAGAUCAUUAUAAAAAUAAUUGAAAUAAUAUGUAAAAAAUUCGUAAGAGAUUUCACAGAGAUUUGGUCAGCAUGUUUAAAAAGAUGUUAUCCGUAUUUUUUAUAUACGUGCUGUUACGAGGAAUAUUAUAAGAAUUAUUAAGAAAUUUUAAAUAAUUAUGUAUUUGACGUUUGUUUUUUUUUAAAUUAUUUAAUAAAAAAUUAAUAUAUCUAAUUUUAUAAGAAAGUGAUAUUCAUUAAAGUAAAAUUUAAAAAUUUAAAUUUUAUAUUUUAUAAUUAAAAAUUUUUAAUAUAAAAUGAUAAUAAAAUUUUAAAUUUAUCACUUUUAUAAUUAUAUGUCUAUUUAAUUUUAUCUUUUUUUUUUAAUUAUUGAUCAAAAUUUAUUACUUGUAUCUACUCGCAAUGGAAAAAGUUUCCCUUACACAAUUCAUAUUCCAUUGUGCCGAGACCUUUUUUUUUUUUUUGCCGUUUCAUUUGUCAAAUGAUCAGAUAGAAGAACAGUCGUAUUAUUAGAGAGAGAGAGAGAGAGAGAGAGAGAGAGAGAGAGAGAGAAAUGUGGUCUUACGAAGUGGGUACUCAGCUUCGCCAUAGUUUCUGCUACAUGUCAACUCAAUUCUCAGGAGGUAGUGCAUUGGAAAGGAAUUAUAGGAUCUCCACACACAGGUAACAAAUUAUGGAGUCGGCUACGUUCAUGAUUUCAAGAAUAACAGUAAAAAUAUCAAUUAAUUGUUGUAUAAAUUUCUUAUAAAAAUGUAUCUAUCAUCAGGCUGCUAGCUACUCUUUCUUCGACUUAACUGUUAUAGGUUGAUUUACAUACUUGUGCUAAUGAUGCUGAAUUGUUUGAAAACAUCUACUUUUGUUUUAUCUGGGGAAGAUUAUGCUUCCCAAAAUGACUUGUUCAAGCCAAGAUAAUUCCACAAUAAGCACAUUUACAGGUUAAAUAUAGCUUCUUCAUUAGUAUAUAAAAUUGAAAGAGACAAUUGAUAAGCAACUUAUUUGAUUUAAUAAAACAUGUAGAAUACUGCAGAGAAUCAAGAAUUUGGGGGGUAAAUAACUCUUGUAUGUCCAGUUUAUACAUAAGGUGACUGGAUCAAGUACACAAGUACCACUACUGAAUCAUACCAAAAAUUCACAAGAUUGGCUGAAAAAGGACUUAUUCAAAAUUGGCAGAUUGCUAUCUAUACUGAGGAAGCAUCUAUUAAAUUACUUUACCGAGAGUCUAAUUCAGUAAUCGAUGCUUCAUUGAUAGACCAUGGCAUUGAUUCAUUAGUAGAUUGAUCAGAUUCCAGCCCCCAUGCUUGGCAUACUUCCCUCUGUUCUGCUGUGAAGGAAAAAUGCCGGUUGGUUAGGCAACAGUAGUGGAACAGAGCAACUGUUAAGCAUGAGAACAAUGGUAGCCAUCGUAGGCCUGUCAACUCGAUUUUUCUGAACACAUACUAAUGAUUUUAUUUUGUUGGAUCUAAAUUAAUAAUCACAAUAAUACAGAAGUAAUAUAUCGUGAUAAAUUUAAAAUAAUAAAUAAUAAUUAAUAAUAAAAAAUUUUAAAAAAUAAAAUACAUCAAAAUUUAUAUGAGAAAUCUUCUAACGUAAAAGAAAAAAAUCACGAACCAUAAAAAAAAUUUUCACUAUUAAAUAAUAGAUAUGCAAAGUUUUUUUUUUUUAGCUAAGAUUAGAGCUAAUUAACAACUAAAGAGAGAUAAUUGGAGAAAUCUCAUCAAAUAGAUAACUCAACAAAUACACCAUAGAUUUUUUUCUAGAUAUCUUCAAACCCGAUCUUCACCAUUUAAAAUGUAAAACUCUGAAUCAUUAACUUGUUGAUAAAAUUUCAGUUCGAUUGGACCACAGAUUGACUUCCAUUCAAUCAACUCUCCAUUCUUUAUUUUCUCUCUUUUUUCCUGACUUUUUUUUCCCUUUUUUUUUUUUUAAUUUGCAACGCCAUCUCUUUUUUUCACCAAAACCAGCACUCACCUUUUAUUAUGUAGGGCACUCUUAAGGAAGCCUAAAACACAAAGCCCAUGACUUUUAAAUAGUCAAAUAACACAUGGGGCUAGACCUCACAUAUUUUAACAAUCUUUCCCUCCAACCCCAUUAGGAAAAAAUUCAUCACCAUAGCAAUUUCAUUUGGAACUUACUUUGGUCAAGUUACUGUAGAGCUCAAGUUUCUCCCUGAAAAGUAUUUUAGUUAAUAUAUCUGCUACAUUCUCAUCAGUAUAAGCUUUCUUUAAUAGCAUUUGUUGUUUCUCAAUCAAUGAAUGUAACCAGUGAUAUCUAACAUCAAUAUGCUUUGUUCUAGCAUGAUACAUGACGUUCUUACUCAAAUCUAAAGUACUUUGACUAUCACAAAAUAUCACAUACUCUUUUUGAUUCAACCCCAAUUCAGGAAAAAAAUGUUUCAUCCAAAGCAUUUUUUUACCUGCUUCAGUUGCUUUAAUAUACUCAGCCUCUGUAGUUGACAAAGCAACACACUUCUAUAAGUUAGACUAUUAAAAUACAGUUCUUCCUGCAAAAGUGAAUAAAUACCCUAAAGUAGACUUUUUACUAUUAAGAUCACCUGUCAUGUUAGCAUCAGUAAACCCUUUUAGAACUAGUUGUGAAACUUCAUAAGUCAAGCAUAUUUUUGAGGUGCUUCUCAAAUAUCUAAAAAUCAAUUUCACUACUUCUUAAUGAACUUUUCUCAGAUUAAAAAGAAAUCUGCUUACUAUACUAACUACAUAAAUAAUGUCAGGCUGAGUACAAACCAUAAGAUACAUUAAAGAAUCGACUGCAGAAGAAUAAAGAAUACUAGACAUAGCUAAUUACUUUUUUUUAAUCACCGACAAGAUAUUUUACUUAAGUGAAAAUGGUUAGCAAGUGAACUGUUAAUUGAUUUAGCAUAUUACAUGUUGAAUCUAUUACGCACUCGUUCAACAUACUUUUUCUGUGACAACUAUAGCUUUUCAACUAUUCUAUCUUAGAUAAUAUCUAUAUCGAGAAUCUACUUUAUUGGACCUAAAUUCUUCAUAUCAAAAGACUUAGACAAUUAUUCUUUCAACCUGUAAAUCAUAACAACAUCUUGUCCCACAAUUAAUAUAUCAUCAACAUAUAAUAAGAGAAUAAUAAAGUUACCAUUAGAGAAUUUUUUGACAUAUACAUAAGAAUCCACUAUUGUUCUUUUAUAACUGUGGUUCACCAUAAAAGAAUCAAACUUUUAUACCACUAUCGAAGAGCUUGUUCUAAACCAUACAAGCUUUUUUUUAGUUUACAAACUAAGUGCUCUUUCCUUUUCACUUCAAAAACCUCAUGCUGAUUCAUAUAAAUGUCUUUCUGUAAGUUACCAUGCAAAAAUGUAAUUUUAAUAUCAAGUUGCUCAAGUUCAAGAUUCAAAUUAGCUGCUAAUCUUAGCACCACUCGAAUGAAACUCAUCUUAACAACUGGAAGAAAGAUCGUAUCAAAAUCGAUACCUGAUUUUUGAGAAAAAUCUUUUAUCACCAAUUGAGCUGUGUACCUCACUAGUUUAUCACUAUCUUUUUUCAAUUUGAACACCUAUUUAUUCUUCAACGACUUUCUCUUUUUUGAAAGUUUAAUAAGAUCAUAUGUACUAUUUUUUCAUAACUCCAUCUCUUCUUUUAUUGCUUUCAAUCAAUGCUCGUUAUCCCGAGUAGCCUACACAUCUUGAAAGCUUUUUGGCUCUCUCUCACUGGUAACUAAAAUAAAAUCUAAACUUAGAUACCUGAUAGAUAGCCUACAUUCUCUAGUAGAUCUUUUAGGCUGAGACUUUGUUAUCACUUGAUGUCAAAGGUAGCUCUCCCUGCUUAACACUUUCUGGUGAAGAAGAUUACUCUCUCUACUCAAAACUGAUUGCAUCUGGCUCAUCACAACUAUAAUUGACAAAUUCAUAUCUUCAAGUUUUAUUUUUUGCUCAUUUUUACCAUCUAUGGCCCUUUCUUAUAGAACCCCUGUCGAUGUGGAAACAUCAUAUUCAAUAGUAAUCCAUGUAAUCGUAUUAUUUUUUUCAAGGUCUGUUAUGAUUUUUUUUCAUGAAAAACUACAUCUUUGCUUCUGAUUGUCUUCCUCUUCACUAGAUCCCAUACCCUGUAGUUAAAUUCAUUAUCACCAUAUCCUACAAACACACAUUGUGUGGUUUUAUUAUCAAGUUUUGACAUUUGUUUUUUUGGCAUAUACAUGAAUGUGUUAUACUUAAAAGCUUUUAAGUGAAAGUAUGAAAUAUCUUUCUUUGUCCACACUUUUUCUAGAAUGUUAAAUUCUAAAAGAAUUGAUGGUGAUUUGUUAAGCAAAUAACAAGUUAUGUUAAACGUUUUACCCCAUAAUGGCUUUGGUAAUUUUGCCAUCCUCAACAUGCAUCUAACUUUUUUCACAAUGGUGCGGUUCAUCCUUUUAGCUACACCAUUAUGCUAUGAUGUUUUAAGUUCUAUCAUCUUAUGCUUGAUCCCAUACUUUGAACAGUAUUCUUCAAAGUUUUUAGAUGUGUAUUCCCCACCAUUAUUAGUCCAAAUACACUUCAAAGGCAAUCCUGUCAUUCUUUCUAUCAUGGCAUGAAAUUUUUAAAAAUAUUACAAUACUUGACUUUUGUUUUUUAACAUAUACACCCAAGUCUACGUGGAGUAUCAUUAAUAAAAAUAACAAAAUACUUACUACCACCUAAUGACUCAACCUUAAUGGGAUCACAUACAUCAAAAUAUAUCAAUUCCAAUCUAUUUUCUUUUCUUUGAGAAUUCUUACGAAAAGAAACUCUAUAAUGCUUACCAAAUAAAUAAUGAUCAUAUGAAUCGAGAGACAUACCUUUGGUCAAGGGAAUGAGAGACUGUUUUGUCAAAACCUGUAAUUCCUUCUCACUUAUGUGUGCCAGCCUUUUGUGCCAUAAGUUUGCUGAAGUAUCAUCCUCAAUGAUUUUUAUCUGGUUGCUGUUCAAUUGCAUCAAUGUCUUAUACAUUAUGCAAUAUAAUUUUUUUCUUGUAACUACCAUAGAUCUUUUGAGAAGGUUUCAGUGUCCAUUUUUUUGUCAACUUUUAUAUCUCUAUUUAUUAAGGACAUUAAUAGCAAGCAAGUUCAUUCUCAUAUCCGAAAUAUUUUUAACAUCCCUCAAAGUCAACAUGUAAUUUGUACUAGUUUGUACAACAAUAACACCAAUUCUAACAAUCUAUAACAUGCUCUUGUUUCCCAUCUUGGUGCAACUAAAGUCUUCUGCUUUAUAAGUUGUAAACAGCUCUCUUAAGAACACAAUGAUAUGUCGCUUAUGUGUCAACUAUCUACUCAAUAUUGAGAUCACCAACAUGAUUACAAUCACCAUGUGUAUAAAUCAAAAUAAUUAAAUCACUAUCUGAAUUCACUGUUACAAUAUUGCCAUCAUCUGAAUUCUUGUUUUUCUCAUUUUUUGGCUCUUACUUUAAGAUUUUAUAAAAUAAUUUUAUAUAAGCUACUUUAUCACAACAAAAAUACUUCACUUUAUUUUUGAACUUGGAUAUAUAUUUAGACUUACUACAACCUUUUGAGUUUUAACCUCUGUCAAUAUUUUUACCCUUGUUCUCUAUGACCAGAGCUUGAUUCUCAAGAUCUACAUCUUUUUGUUUUACUUUUUCAUUAAGCAUAUUAUCUUUUACUAUCUUCAAUGUCACAUUGUAAUUAAAAGCUGAAUUAAAAAUAAUCAUAAUUAUAGUAUUUCAACUGUCUGAUAAUGAAUUCAAAAAAAAUAACGCUUUCAUUUCAUUAUCCAUCUUAAGCUCCAUAAUAAUCAUCCGAUUAAAUAUAUCUUAAAAAUCACUCGAAUGUUUUGUAAUAGAUCAUCCAUCUCUGUAUUGUAAAGUUGUAAGCUUUUUAACAAGCAUAACUUUAUUCAUAUUUAUUUUCUCCCAUACAAUGCUACCAAUUUUUUUCAAAUAGUGUGACAUUAAUAUCCUGCUUUACAUGAUAAAACAUGUUAAUAUCAACUUAUUUUUUUAUUGUAACCAACGUCUUUCUACCUAACUUUUUUCAACUUUUAUCUUUUAUAUCUACUGAUUUAACCAAAUUACCUAAUAUCAACUCAUAUAAAUUUUUAUAAUAUAAAUGAUCUUCCAGCUUUCAAAUUGAAUAAUUUAAUGCUGUAAAUUUUAUCAUGAAACUUGUAACACCCUCUACGAACUCAAAUAGAAUUUACUUUUAUCUUGAACUACUUCUGUAUCGAUAUUUCAAAAUAACUUUCGCUCUGAUACCACUUAUUAGACCUGAAGCAAUAAUCACAACAAUGCAAAAAUAAUAUAUUGUAAUAAAUCUACAGCAAUAGACAAAAGUCAACAAUAAAAAAAUUGAAACACAUUUAAAUUUACGUGAAAAACUCUCUAAUGUAAAGAGAAAAAAAUCAUAGACCACAAAAAAAAUCUUCACUAUCAAAUAAUAGAUAUACAAAAUUCUUCUCUAGCUAAAACUAGAACUAAUCAACAAAUAAAGAGAGACAAUAGAAAAAAUCUCAUCAAAUAAAUAACUCAACAAAUAUACCUUGAAUUUAUUCUUAGAGAACUUCACACCCGAUCUUCACCGUUAAAAAUGUAAAACUCUGAAUCAUAAAUUUACUGAUAAAAUUUCAAUUCAAUCAAAUCACGAAUUAACUUCUGUUCAACCAACUCUCCCCUUUUUUUUUUCUCUAUUUUUUUAGUUUCUUUUUUCUCUUUCCUUUAGUUUUUUUUAGUUUACGAUACCACAUUUUUCUUUUUUUCACCAAAAUCAAACCUCACCUUUACCUUUUAUUAUAUAAGGCUCUCUUAAGAAAGCCUAAAACACAAGGUCUAUAACUUUGAAUAAUCAAAUAACACAUUGGCUGGACCCCACAUAUCCUAAAACAUUUCUAGAGUAAGGAUCCCUCAAAAUAGGAUCCAACAAUUCCAAUGGUGUCCCAUCUUUCCAAUGUUUCCAAGCCUGCGGUAGUUCAUCAAGUAAAGAUUCAAAAAGUUAUCCCACCUUAAAUUUUAAUUUUGUGUUUCGUAUAGGCUGAAUUAUACUCACAUGGUUAAUGAGGUCCUCAGCACCAUCUGUUUGAUAGAAAUUACUGUUCCUUUGGCCACUUGUAAUUUCUAGAACUAAAACACCGAAACUAUAUGCAUCUGAUUUCACAGAAAACUGCCCUUGCAUUACAUAUUCGGGAGCCAUGUAGCCACCGCAGAACCAUUGGCAAUGUAUGUUAACAACAAUCAGGAUAGCUUGUUAUAAAUGAUUUAGCUGUAGGUGUUAAUAUGUUACAAGGAUUCCUAAAUCCGAUUAAAAGCAGGGUAGAAUCAAAAUAAGUUUUUAUUUCUUUAAGUUGUUCAACAAUUAGGAUGCAACAACUCCUGGUUAAAUUGCCUAUCAAAGUUAUGCAAACAAAUGCUAUACAUGUUCAAAACUUACAAGGCACCAACAACUCUUCUAGCGGUUCCUUGAGUUUGAUCAACUCCAAAAAUCCUUGCCGUGCCAAACUCUGAAAUUUUUGGGUUCAUUUCACCAUCUAAUAAUAUAUUGCUGGCCUUGAGAUCACGGUGUAUGAUUCUAAGCUGAGAAUCCUCAUGCAGAUAAAACAUUCUUUGAGCAAUCCCUCCUAUGAUUUUGUAACGUCUUAUUGACCAAUCCAAUUGUCCUUGUUUUGUAGGAUCUACAAAAUAAAUAAACAAAUAAAUAAGCAGUUUUUUUCACACAGCAAAUCUAAUAUUAAGAUAUACCCAUCUAUCUCUCUUGGCAGUGUUUAAAAUCAAUUAAAAGUCCCAACAAAAUUCUUGUAACAGUAUAUUACACGUACCAAACAGAAAAUAGUCCAGACUUUUAUUGGGCACAGAUUCAUACAAGAGUAUCGUUUCUUCUCCUUCCAAGCAAAAUCCGAGUAGUCUCACUAGAUUUCUGUGUUGAAGCUUGGCAACCAACACAGCCUCAUUUUUAAAUUCCUCCAUCCCUUGCCCUGAACUUCUCGAUAACUUCUUCACAGCUACUUCUUGUCCGUUAGGAAGGGUACCCUGAGAAUGUAUGAUAACCCUUCAUUAGAAAAGCUUCCUGAGAGUUUCUCAAACUCUUUUGGACUCUGUAUGCAUGGAUAAAAUGACUUCAUAUCAUUAAAUACUAAUAAUACCUUGUAAACUUCACCAAAACCACCUUCUCCUAGCUUGUUCCUAUCUGAGAAGUUGUUUGUGGCAACUUGUAUCGUGCUAAAAUCAUACUGCAGUGACUAUUGUGGUUAUAUCGUUUCCUGCUGUAAAAACAGUAAAAUCAAAAUAGCAAAUGUCAUAUUCUGAAAAAGAUUAUCAAAGAACAAGGUGAGACCUAAGAAAUGAGAUUGUUUUGGCUCAAAAUAAGUUGUGUUUUACCAUUUUCUCCUUCUAUAGCUUUUUACUUCUUCCUUGCUCUCCAUUUUAGUAGACAACAACCCACGAAAAAACGCAGAACAGAGGCAGAAGUUGGAGCAACAAUGGCAAUAAUUAUUUACCACGAAUUUUGGCUUUUUCCUGCAGAAGCAAUAAAGAAUUAAAGAUGUGUCACGAUAAUUUCUAAUACCACAAAGCAUACUUAGAAGGUGGGGAGGAUGUGUGGAAGGCUACAACUAUCAAAUAAAAUCAAAUUCAAAUUCAUUUGUGACUUUAAUUCGAGAUAUCCCCGCAGCGCAAUCUCUCGGGAACCAGAACUUUCCCAUAGUCAAGUACUCAAUUCCACCAUGGAAAUGCAAAUUUUAGUGUCGGUAAUUUCUUGGAAGAAAGCUAUAAGGCAUAUAAUCGUCAUAAUGAUAAUUAUUUAACUGAACUAACAAAAAUAAAUAAAAAAGGCAAUAGUACGGAUGGUAUGACUGAACCUGGAGCUGCUGGAGGAGGAGUUAUCACAGACAGAGGUGCCGGAACUGAAACUGCAGUUUGAUUAUAGAACGGGUAAAGUUCAUAUCAAAUGUUGCAGCUAGGAGUCAGCACUCUUCCACCUUUCUUUCCACUGCAACAAUUAGGCAGAGCCGCUAUAGCUCUCCGCAGACAUGUAUUACAAUCCGUGCUUGAUAGGUCAGGAGUACACUGCACAAGGCUGUACAGUGUUUGAAACCCUGAAAUAUUCGCCUCUCUGGUCGCAAAGUUUGUUAAACCUAAAAUAGAAUUUACAGCCAGGUCGCUGCAUUUUAUCGGAUCAGCCAGUAUCUGGUUAAAGCGCUCUUGGUCCGUGACAUUUCCCGUGUUCAACAUAUAGAUUGCAGGUACAAUGGUCACGAUGGAAAAGAUACGUUGAUUUAAGUGAUGUAAGAGGCAAUUAUCAUUCCAAAUCACAGCAAUUUUUUCAACAGCACAACGUUGAGUGAUGUCGUUGAUGGCAGUAAAGACGCAUUCUUCGCAGCUACUAUUUGAAACAUCACCUCUCCAUAGAAACAGCCCAUAGACCACGUCAGAGUUUCUGCCAGAGGUUGUCUUGUAGAAUCGAUUGCCGCGGGUGUCGUUGGAGGAUAGAGAGGAGAGCGAUGAUUGAGAUCGGCUCGGUAAGUACUGUUUGUGGGAAAAGUGGUCGUGUUCGAACAGCUAUGGGCGAGGUGAGUUUGAUGCGCUUCAAUGGUAAAGCUAAGCAAGGAGAGGAACAACAGAGUUAUGAAGGACUUCUAGACAAGCAUUUUUU